CGAUGACUUUCCUUCUUUUUCCAUUGAAUCUCCAACCUCGAACCAGCCUUCAAUUUCUAAAGAAUUGAUUUUUCAACUUAUGAUCACAUGCACAUUAAAUUAGGAUAAAAAUUAGAAGAUAGUAAUCACAUGCGCACAAGUAAAAGAAAAUGCAAAAUAAUUAUUCCUAGUAAUUUACGGUUUUAAGUAAAUAAAUGAAUUGGUGAAAGUAAUAAAUAGCAUGUCAAAAUAUAUAUUUUACGUUGAUUAGACUUGAUAGGUUACUCAGAGUGGCGCACAAGUAUAUACACUAAUAAUUUUUCAAGAAUUUGGACCAUAAUAUAUACUCCUUCUAUUCUAUAUUAACUGAAUUUGUGAGACAAUGCACACAUAUUAAGAAAAACAUUUAAGAACAUAACUUAAACCAUAAUUUUUACUAUUGUCCUUUGCGAAAUCAUAAAUAUAGCUUUGUAAGUAGUGUAAUUUAUCUCAUAGAAAAUAUAAACUCCAAUAAUUGAAAGGGUAAAUAUGAAAAAAAUUUCAAACAUUCAUUUUGAACUUUGAACAAUUCAAUUAUUCUGAACAAUGAAAAAAAUCUAAAAAAUUUACUAAAUAUGAAAUGGAAGAAGGACUAAAAAGAUGAGAUCUAAAUUUAAACAAACCAUGAGUGCGUUUGGUAUGAACGAAAUUAUUUUCUGAAAAUAUUUUUUUAACUAAUAAGUGGGUUUGUUAUUUUUUUUUGUGUGUGUUUGAUAUGUUUUCUAAAUAAUAAGAGCAUGUUUGGUAUUGCUGUUAAAAAUUGCUUAUUUUUGAAAAGCACUUUUUUAAAAUGACUUUUUAAAAAAGUGCUUUUGAAAAAAAUAAUUUAUGUUUGGCUAAUUCAUUUGAAAAGUGAUUUUGAUAAACAAAUUGUAUUUUGCUAAUCUUUUUAAAAAAAUGCUUUUGAGAGUCAAAUUACGAAAAAGAGUAAGUAUUAAUGUGCUUUUAAUAUUAAUAUUAUUUUAAAGAGAGAAACUAUUUUAAUUAUCUAUUACAAAAAUUUUAGUUACAAUUUUAUUUUAAUGAUAUUAAAAUGUACAUAUUCAUAAAUUUAAAAAUCAUUCCACAAAUUAAACCACUAUAUACAAAAAUUCACCACAAAAAUAAAUAAAGUCUUUCAUAUGUUUAAUCCUACAAAAUAUUGUUGUUACCUUUAUUUCUAGUUCUGUAAAAUAAAACAUAUAAUAAUAUAUAAUAAUCUAUAAAAUAUAAAUAAUAAUAUAUAAACAUUAAAUAAAUAAUUUAUUAUAUAAAAAUAAAAAAUAAAAUACUUUAAUGAAUCUUAACCAAACUUAUAAGAUAUGCUAAUUAGUUAAUAAGGGAUAUAUUGAUAAAUAUGUAUAUAUGAAGGGGAUAUUUUAGUCUUUAAAAAAAUAUUUUUUUGAGAAGUUGAAAUUUUUAACUUCUUCCCAACGACAACAGAAAAUCUGCUUCUGCUUCCAUUUAAAAGCAGUUUUAAGGACUUGCCAAACACUUAAUUUUUCAAAAUAAUUGUUUUUUCCUAAAAAAAUAAUAAUAAUUUUAGCCUCCCAACAGCAAUGCCAAACAAGCUCUAAGUAAUCAAACGAAAACAUUGAAAAAUAUAUAUUUCCUCCGUACUGAACACACCCUAUAUUAAAAGUGUUUUCCGUAUCAAGAUAUAUUAAGAUCUUAAAUAUAGAGCCAACCAAGAUAUAUAUCUACAAAACUACGUUAAAAGGUCUUCUUCUAUAAAUCAUUUUUCUAGUUCUUAUUAUGUAUGUUUCUUUCAAAUCAAGUGAAUCACAGAAAUACAUGUAAAAAAUGAAAUAGAAAACUAGAAAAAUAUUAUAUUAUACCUUUUUGUUUACUUCCAAGCUAAUAAUUCCUCUCAAAUGGUAGUUUGCCUUGUUGCAGAUUUACAGGAAGCAAAUGUUGAAGAACCUAAUUCACUUAUUUAAAAAGCUUUAUUGUUAGAUAUCUGCACAUGUGAAAAUAGAUUAGUUUAAGUUUAGUAUUGUUUUGAAUUAUUAAAGCAAAGUCUUUCUAUAUAAUUUCCGACAGUCCAUAAAAAUAUUUGUUUGAAAAAAGUUAUUCAAUUAGUCCUAAUCAAGUAAGUUGACAAGAAAAAAAAAUGGCAUUUUAAUGUCACAUUAUUAUUAUAAAAUAAUAAUAAAAAAAGCUAUGAUGUUAAUGCACCAACAAUUGCAAUUAUGUAUUUUUUUGUUGUCUUGAUUUUUGGAAUCAAGUGAAGUGGUUGAUGUUUGAUUUUUGGAACCAAUUCUCAACCAGUAUUUGCUUGACUUUUCUUUUUGUUUAUAAAUUAUUUUUCUACAUAAAUAAAAUUUUAAAUUAUUUGUUUUAACUAAAUAUUGUGUAGUUUUGAUUUGAAAAUUUUGAUGUACCUAUUCAUUUACCACUUCUCCAAGUUUGAACACACUUUUUUUUCUUAACUAAUAUUGUCGUUACGCCGUUGUUUUUGCCCCUCACAAUAAAUGGUAUAUUUUUUUUAUUGUAGCUUAAGUUUAUAUUUUUAUAUCAUAAUAUUUUAUAUAAGUUAUGUUUUUAGUUUGUAAACAACUUGGCAUAAAUUUGUGAAGUUGGUCAAAGUGCAAAGUGGAAUUAUUAUUCUAUCUCUAUUCUAAAUAAAAUAUCUAAUUCAUUAAAUAUUAAAUAAUAUCAUAUAUAUUGUACAAAAUACUAAUACCGGAAAGGUGUUAAAUCAAAAAGUUGAAUAAACUUUUAAAUACAAUCAAAUGAGAAAGACAUUAAAAAUAUGAUAAUGAAACGAUCAUGGCUGAUUUUUGGAACCAAUUCUCAGCUAGUAUUUGCUUGACUUUUCUUUUUAUUUUUUAAAAUUAUUUUUCUACAUAAAUAAAUUUUAAUAUUAUUGUUUAACGAAAUAUUGUGUAGUUUGAUUUGAAAAUUUUGAUGCACCUAUUCAUUUUAAAGAAAAGGAAAAUGGUCUGAUAGACCCUGGUACUUGUAUGUGUUUGUAUUCUGAACCUUUCUACUUACCUCUUUGUCAACUGAACCCUUUAACUCAAUAAAAUUCAACAUCUUAAACCCUUUUGACCAUUGACCAAACUUAUGUGGCAACUUAAUUGUUGAGUUGGCAUAAGUACGUGAUUUUAUGUAAAAAAGGAGCGUGAAAAUAAAAAUUUAGACUAAAAAUAAUUAAAAGAAAAAGGAAAUUACAAUAAAAACAACAAAAUAAAAAUAAAAAUUAUAAACUUCACUCUUUCUUCUUUCCUCCACCCCGUUCCAUUUCUUUCACCUUUGUCACGACCUGAGCCUACACCCUGGACAUGGCUGGCACUCGAGAAUCAUUGCUAGUCCCCAAGCGAACCCUCAUCCUGGCUACCUAUAAGUGAAAGACUAACUCAAGCAUACAAAGCUUAAAACAUAAUGAAAUUCAUGAAAAACUUAAAUACAAGCUUUAACUCAAAAGAAAACUCUGAAUAAAAAUAGAAUAUUCAACUAGCCAACAAUAGGCAACUCAAAUCUUUAAUACAUUUAAUAAGAUAAAUGAAACAGACUUCUCAAACUCUACUAUCUAUCUAUGAAGCCUCUAACUGACAAAGAUGAAAGUUAAGACAAGACCCACGACAUCCUAAAAACUGAUAUAACUAAAAAGCAAAUGAAAUCCUCCGGAAUCAAGGAGACUCACCAUAGCUAACUCGAACUCCAUGUGGUAUCAAUAAAGCUCCUGUUGAUGAUCUUGAAUACCUGAAUCUGCAUCAUGAAAGGAUGCAGGCCAAAUGGCUCAGUACAUGGAAUGUACGAACAUGUAAGGGGAAUUCUAAAGCACAACAUAAGCUUGAACUUGAUAAAAAGGAAACAUACUUACCUCUUCUCAACUCACUCAACUAACUCAACUCAGGAAUAAGAUUCUCAACUGAAAGAUAAAAUAUUCAACUCGGUGAAAUAAGGCUCAACUCAAUAAUAAGAUAUUCAACUCAGUGAAAUAUGACUCAACUCAAUAAUAAGACACUCGACUCUUAGUACUCAAACUCUGGAUACUCAACUUUGGAUACUCAUCUCAAUAUAAAGCAACACUAAUAGAUGCAAUAUAUGGAAAGUUUUUAAAACAAUAGAAAGCAACUCAAUGUAUUUAAGAAUACAUUAUACUCAGUUUGUAUGCAAGGAUACAAUAUAAACUCUGUUUGUAUAUGAAAAUACAAGUAAACUUUGUGUAUAUAAAAAUACAAAUAUCUCUAUGGGAGUUUCUCUAACCGACAACCAUCACUUGAGAGCUAUUGUGAUAAUACAACGUUUUGCCUCACGCUGGAAGGGCCGUCCUAUACCUUGCCAAGGGUAUUGAACCUGACUACUAAGUGGAAAGCACUAAGGAAUCAUCUAAAAAGUAUGACCCUUUUCUACCCAUGGUGGCUACAUGGUUUAUGGGGGCUGUGAGUUAUCUGAACUCCCCCCUCCCAUAUCGGUGCUCAAUACUACUCCCAAAAUAUGAUACUAGCUCUUAUGUUUAAAAACAUACUUCUUUCUGUGAUUUGAGAUAAUUGCUCAAAACUUAGCUCAAAGGCUAUCUUGGAAAUCAAAGUUUUAUCUCUCGCUUAAUUGUGAAAGCAUUUACUCUUUUCUGAAAACUAGCUCAAAGGCUCUUUGGAAAUCAAGGUUUCCUUUUCUUGUUUAAAUGUGAAAACAUUUUCUCUUUGGGAAUACUUAGUUCCCAUAUAAUCUUUUGAAGAAACUGAACUUCAAUUUUACUCUUACUAAAACGUUUGUAAAAGACUUCCUAAAAUAUGGUUCAUGCCGAAUUAUGGACGUGAACGACUCAAUGCAAGGUUUUCAAUAACCAUAGAUAGAACUCAAUACUCAAGACUUAGAACUUGAAGAUACUACUCCUCUCAAUGAUGCUCAAUUUAUGGAGUUCAUGUGGAAUUAUAUGCAUGAACGACUCGACUCAAAGGUCUACAUAACUACAUGGAUCUCAUGUAUAUGACUCUUCUCAUUCUCUUACUUACUUCCUCAAAACUUAGUUCAAAGCAAUAGUUGAUCUCAAAGAAUUCACAAUCGAACUCAAAGACUUUCUUGAACUCUACUCUUAAUUCUCUCUUGAAUGUGAAUUAUGAAUUCAAGAGUUAUAGUUCAUGAUAUGAAGGAUCUCGGUGAUAGUGUAGACUCAUGAAAAGAUUCUCCUCACUCAUAUUCACUUACUUGAGUCUUGAAACAAGUUACUAGAAGUUGUAGAAGACUCCUCAAAAGGACUCAAAAGGGCUUUCUUAAAUGUUCAGAAGAACUCUCAAGACUCAACUCUUAACUUUACCUUGAAUUGGAAUUAUUAAUUCAAGGUUAUGAUUCAUGUUAAGAAUUAUUUCUAAGUGUUUAGAAGUAGUUUAGAGUGAUUAAAAUAAAAGGGAGUGAAGGUACACUUAAAUGGGACUCAAACGGGACAACCAACAGAAAAAGAGUGGGGGUAGGCGACCUUGGCGCGUUCCGGGCGUGGGGCGCCAGCCCCAAACUUAAGAGGCUGCAUAUGGGCGCACUGCAAGGGCGCCGCCCCAGCCUCUCCCCAGGCCGAGUUCGACGAAUUUUCCCUCUCGUUUUCUGAUCUUAAAUCGCUUUUAAUCGAUUUCUUUUCUCAAGUUUUCCUUAGAUUCAAUUACCCAACCUAAGUACACACUAACCCACUCAAAAAAACACUCAAAACAAUCACUUUCAUCUCAAGAAAUCAUCAAAACCCUAAUAAAAUAAGAUUUAGAAUGAACUUCAAGAACUUAAAUCAUUCUACUUUUGAGAAUGAAAUUAAGCUGAAAAUAACAUGUUUGGCGUACGGGUGACAAAUCCAACACUAUGGAAGCUUACAUACCUCUUAGGGAUCAAACCCAUGGCGAAAAUCCACGACAAAAAUCAAGAACCUCGACGAACGCCUUGAUCCUUUCUCUUUUCUCCUCUUCUUUUCUCUUCUUGAACUCUCAACUAAAACCCUAGGCGUAUAUUAGGAUUAUAAAACUGAACCUAAUCAGAUUAGACCUAUAAAACAUUACUAAAAAUGAAUUAAAUCUGAUUGGGUAAGGAAAAGACGAAAAUACCUCUCUAAAAUCCGGUUAUGAUUGUCCUUAUCUAGACAACCCAACUUCUAAUGAACAUAUCUCCCUCAUAUGAACUCGAAACUGAGCAAACUCGGUGGCGUUGGAAAUAAUUCAAAUAUUUUUCCUACGGUAUAUGAUAGAACACCUAACUCAUCCUUAGCUACGAGUUAUGGUCGGUUGAAGUCGACCCUAAACUCAUACUUAGCUUAACCAGCAAAAUUUCAGAUUUUGCUAUUUCUAAUUUAGUUCUUUUUGGAACUCAAGGUGCUACAUCUAGUGACCUGACCUUAAUACUUAAGAAAUUUGAAAUUCCUUAGUGAAAUCCUACUCACAACGAAGGAUGAUUAGAGUCUCAGUUCGUAAAAAAUUUCUGGGGUGUUACAACCUUUCUUGAUCUUCCCCCACCCAAUUCCCCAUUACUUUCGUUCUCCCUUCCUGUACUCCUUUCCAUUUCCUUUUCUCUUUUUCCUUUUUCAUUUUAUCUUUCCCAAAUUAGAAAUGAUAUCGUGCAAAAAAUGAGAACAAAAUGAGCAAAGGAAAAUCAAGAAAAUUGAUGCAAUACCCAAAUCCACGGAAGAAAUAUGUCUAAUGAGUAUCAUGAACUCUUUUUGUUGUUAAAAUUGUUAGCAAUUUUAGUGCUCCAUCUUUAAAUUUGUUAUUGUUCUUGAUUUGUCUUUCUUUUCCAUCUUCUAGGGUUAACUGACAAAGAUCCGGUAGUUUUGAAGGAUAAAAGUAAUUGUUGAAUGUAAAUUAGAUGAAGUAUGUUGGAUAAAUAUAAAUAUUAUAAUCUAUUGAAAUACUUCAAUGGUGAUUCAUUGGCAUCCAUGGAGAAAAGGAUUUUACAUGUGUUGGUCAAGUGAUAUGAAGAUGAAGAUGGAGUAAAAAAAGAAGAAAAAAAAUAAUUUAUUUUAAAAAAUUAAAUAAUAAGUGACGUGUCAUAUAAAAUCUGAUGUGGGUGAUGACAUGUCAUUUUUAUUGUGCGUUUGAAGUUCACACAAGGCCAAAGAGAUUUAAAAUGCUGAGUUUUAUUGAGUUUAAGGGUUCAGUUGGUAAAUGGUUAAGUAAAAGGGUUCAAAAUACAAACACAUACAAGUACAAGGGUCCAUCAGACCAUUUCGCCCAAAGAAAAUACCACUUCUCCAUGUUUGAACACUUCUAACUAAUUUUGUGGUCGCGUCAUUGUUUUUGCCCUCACAAUAAAUGAUAAUUGUUUAUUGUGGCUUAAGUUUAUAUUUUUAUAUCAUAAUAUUUCAUUUAAGUUAUGUUUUUAGUUUGUAAACAACUAGGUAUAAAUUUGUUAAGUUGGUCAAAGCGCAAAGUUGGAUUAUCAUAUUAUCUCUAUUCUAAAUAAAAUAUCUAAUUCAUUAAAUGUUAAAUAUAUAUUAUAUUAAAUACUAAUAGAGAGAAGGUGUUAAAUCAAAAAGUUGAAUAAACUUUUAAAUACAAUUAACUGAGAAAGAUAUAUUUAAAUAAAAAGGUUUAAUAAACUUUUAAAUAUAAUUAAAUGAGAAAGACAUUAUGUAACACCCCGGACUUCAAAAGAGCUAAAUAGAGGUUCGUACAAGUUACCCAUCGGUUUUUAGUUUUGGGUCAACUUUAAAUGACCAUAUCUUUAAGCACAUAAAGAAUUAGGUGGACCAUGAGCUAUCAAAUCGAAGGUGUUUGAGUCCUCUUUCCAACGCCACCAAGUUUGCUUAAUUUCGAGCUUGGUGUAAAAAAUUAUGCUCAUUUGAGUGAAGUCUCUGUUUAAGUCUUUUUAUUCUAUUAUAGAAGGGUAUUUUUGUCUUUUCCUUUUCCCACUAGGCCUAGCAUGUUUUUUCUCUCCCAAUUAAGGGUCUAAUGAUAUGCUAAACCACUCUUGAUCGUUUCUAAACACUUAGAAAAAUAAGAGAAGAGUUCAAGAGGAGAAAGAGCUAGGUUUUGAGCGUUCGUCAAGAUCCCGUCGAUUUUCGCCAAGAACAUUGUUGUUUCCAGGUAUGUAAGACUUCUCACAGUGUUGGAAUUGUUCUUCUUCAUCCCAUACAUCUAGUUAUCCACGAAAUCGUUGUAUCUAAAGGCUUCUUGAGUAGUUCUUGAUAUUUGUUCAAUUCCUUAACAAUGGAGGUUGCAAAUUCUUAUGCUUUGUGAAUCUUUAGUAAAAGUUGUGCUUCCCAAAGGGAUUGUGUUGAAUUCCUCAUGUAUUCGUAUUGGGCUUGAGAAUCAAGAAGAGUUAUAGGAGAAUUUUCCCCCAUUCUAACUGAGUUAGGACCCUAAAUUGAGUACAAAAAUUCUUCGACUUUUUGGGUAUCCGGGUGGGGCGGCACGCCACGCCACCAAGGUGCCAGGAAUUUUGGUAUGUAGUUUGGGGCCUGGAGCCCCACGCCAGCAGUGUGCCCCAAACUUUGGUUAGUAGUUUGGGGACUGACUCCCCAUUCCAGCAGUGAGCUAGGGUCGCCUAAACCUUUUUCUUUUCGUGCUUCAUUCCGAACGUGUUCCUUUGAAUCAUGACUACGUUCUCUUCUUUGUAUUAGCUCCUAAAGGCUCCAUUCAUCCUUGAGAGAUCAUAUGUGUCCUAAUCACAUGUCUUAAUUUACAUUCCAAACUAAGUGAGUUUAAGAGGAAAGCUCAAGAGGUGUUUUUGAGUCAUUUUGAGGAUUCUUUAAUCAACAAUGGUUUUGAACUAAGUCUUGAGAAAGUAAAUAUGAGAAAAAAGAAGAGUUGUAUUCAUGAUUGAAAAAGAGUAUAAGGGAAGUAAAUAUUCCCAAAUGUAACACUUUUACGAUUUAAAGAGAGAAACAUUGAUUUCUAAAUGAGUUUAUGAGUUCAGAGAUAUUUUAGAGUAUUGUUUUAUACAUUUGAGCAUGAGUUUAUAUAUUAUAGGGAAUAAUAUUGAGCAUCAAUAUGGGGAUGAGUUCAGACAACUCACAUUCCUCAUAAACCAUGUAGCCAACACGGUUUAUGAGCAUUUUUUGAGUAAUUACUUUAAAUUGAGAAAUAGUUAUGUUUUAUACAUUUGAGCAUGAGUUUAUAUAUUAUAGGGAAUAAUAUUGAGCACGGAUAUGGGGAUAAGUUCAGACAACUCACAAUCCUCAUAAAUCAUAUAGCCAACAGGGGUAAAUGGUUGUACGUACUUUUUAGAUGAUUCCUUAUUGAUUUUAAGCAUAGCUUAGUAGAUCCACUUAGUUGAGGUGUCCUAUACCUCAACAAGGUUUAUGACAGUGUGGGCGAGACACUGUAUAUCACAUAGCUCAUAGUGAUGGUUGCCGGUUAGAGAAUCUCCCAAAUAAGAGUAAAGGAUAACUUAUUGUAUUUUUAUACAUCAUUGAGUUUAUAUUUUCUGUUUUAUAAUGCUUUAAACAUUGCAUCUCUUGUUAUUGCUUUUAUAUUGGAGUUGAGUUGAGGUGAGUGUCUUCCAGUCUUAUUGGUUUAGUUAUCUAUGUUUUCAGUUUCCCCUUACAUGCUCGUACAUUCAAUGUACUGAUGUCAUUCGACCUGCAUCUUAUUAAUGAUGCAGAUACAGGUGUCCAGGGUCAUCAACAAGCGAUUCGUUGAUACCAUUUGCACUCCAACUAGCUUUGGUUAACCUUCUUGUUUUCUAGAGGGCUUCACACUUAUUUCCUUCUUUUGAUUAAGUUGUCGAGGGUUCUGUCCCGACAUCUAUCUUAGUAUUUAGAGGCUUCAUAGAUAGUUAGAGUUGAGGAGUCUCUCAUUAUUUUCCUUAUUGAUGUUUUGAGAUCUUGAGACAGUUACUUAUAUAUUAUUAAGUAUAUCCAGAUGUUCAUUUGAGUUAAGUUCUAUUUGAUACUUUUAAGUUUAAUUAUGCACUUGGAGUUCCCAUUUUGUGUGACAUCUUGGAAUUUGAAAUAACUAUGAAGAAGCUUAUAAUUGGAAAUAGUCAUUUUUGGAAAGAAUGCAAAUCUGGAAAUUUAGUCAAGUAUGGAAAAAAUUGAUUUUUUGGUCAACUUCAAAUGGUCAUAACUCCUAGAUCAGGAUUAUUUAGGUGUAUUUCCAGUUAUGUUUGGAAAGCUCUUGGAAUGAUCUUUCCAACGCCGCUGAGUUUGCACGAUUUCGUGUUCGUAUGAGUGAGUUAUGCCCUUUGGAAGUUGGGCUGUUGGGAUAAGGGAAGUUCAAUCCGAAUUUUUAAGGGGUAGUUUUGGUCUUUUCCCUACCCAUUUCUUUGGUUAUAUUAAGGGUCUAAGCUGAUUUUAUAUCAGUUUUCCCUUUAAAAAGUGAGAGUUAGGGUUGUGAGAGAAGAGAGAAAGAGAGGAGAAAAGAGAAGAAGAAGCAAGGUUCGUCAAGACUCGUCGUGGAUUUCAUCGGGGGUGAUCCCUACUAAGUUAUGUGAGAUCACAUAGUGUGGGGUUGGUUCAGUCCCCCACACGCCAAACUUGUUUCAAUUCCGAGAAAAAGAUUGGUUGUGUUUUGUUGAAUUCUUGUGGUUGUAUUGAAGUUUCUUGUUGAUUUGGUACAUGUUUCCGGGUGUAAUUUUGAGUUGAAUCUAUUGUAUGUUAAGGGUUUUAAUGAUUCUAAGUGUUUGGGGAAAGAACCUUUGAAGUUAACAGGGUUUAGAAUUGGAGAAAUGAAGAAGAAAAGUCGGGUUUUUUUUUUGAAAAAAAGGUGGGGUGUCGCGCCAGCCAGCAAGCCCCAAAAGGGACUCUAAAGUUCCCCCCUUGGGACGACGCGCCAGCCAGUGCGCCCCAACAUGCCCUCUGAAGUUUGAGGGCUGGCGCCCCAAGCCUCUCAGAGCGCCAGGGACACCAAUUCUCCCCAUUCGUUCCCCACUUUUUUUGUACGUGUUCCUUAGUAAUGUACCUAUGUUUUCUAGUUGAUUUCAACACUCUAAGGUACAUCUAAACAUCACAAACUCAUCCAUAAACAUGAGAUCAUGAACCUUGAAUCCAUAAUCCAAAUUCCAAGGAAAGUUAGGAUCAAAGUCAAGUGAAGUUAGAGUCAAGUCUAGAAGUUAAGAAGUAAGUCAAAGCAAGUUUUUAAAGUUUUCAAGAGUCUUUACUGAACGUUUAAACUUCGUUUUAAGGCUCAAGUUUCAAGCAAAGUAUAGAGUUGAGUUCAUUUCUCAAAAGUUAUUAGGGAACUAAGUAUUCCCAAAGAAGUUUAUAAAUGUUUUCUCAUUUGAGUAAGAAAGGAACUAUGUUUUCCAAGAGAGCCGGUGGGCUAGACUUUGAGUAAUUAUCUCAACUAAAGAAAGAGGUGUUUAAAAACACAUAUGAGCUAAAGUAUAUUUUGGGAGUAGUAUUGAGCACCGAAUUGGGGACGCGAGUUCAUCUUAAACUCAACUCUCCAUAAGAACCAUGUAGCCAACAUGGGAUUUAACGGGUCAUACUUUUAAGAUGAUCACGUAAGUUAAGCUAGUGGAUCCACUAAGUUCAGUAAGGUCUUAUAUGUAACACCCUAGAGAAUUUUUCGAACUAAGACUCGAGUCGUCCUUCAUGUGGAGUGAGAUUUUACCGAGGAAUAAAAUUUCUUGAGUGUUAAGUUAAGAUUCCUAGAUGUAGCACAUUGAGUUCCAAGAAGAGUUGAAUUGGAAAUAGUAAUUUUUGGAAAGAAUCUGGAAAAUUUGGCUAUGGAAAAAAAGUGAGUUUUUGGUCAACUUUGAGCAGUCNNNNNNNNNNNNNNNNNNNNNNNNNNNNNNNNNNNNNNNNNNNNNNNNNNNNNNNNNNNGUGUGGGUUGAUCCUUUCCCCCACUCACCAAGCUCAUGUUUAUAGUUUGAGAAAAGGUUGGAUUUGUUGUUGAAGUUGUUAGUUGUUGUUGAUGUUGUUAGUUGUUGUUGAUGUUGUUAGUUGUUGUUGAUGUUGUUAGUUGUUGUUGAUGUUGUUAGUUGUUGUUGAUGUUGUUAGUUGUUGUUGAUGUUGUUAGUUGUUGUUGAUGUUGUUAGUUGUUGUUGAUGUUGUUAGUUGUUGUUGAUGUUGUUAGUUGUUGUUGAUGUUGUUAGUUGUUGUUGAUGUUGUUAGUUGUUGUUGAUGUUGUUAGUUGUGUUGUUGAAGUUAUUGUUGGUUGUGGGACAGGAUUGGGCUGUGUAUUUGAGUUGUGAUCUAUUGUAUGUUGAGAGAUUGAUGAUCCUUAGUGUUGGUUGGUUCAUACCCCCACACACCAACUCGUUUUUAAUUCCAAGAGAAGAUUUAUUGGUUGUUGAAGUUGUAGUGGUGUUGUGUUGAAGUUCUUGCUGGUUUAGUACAGAUUUCUGGCUGUGAUUUUUGAGUUGAAUCUAUUGUAUAUUAAUGGUCUUUAUGAUUCUAUGUGUUGCUGCUGAAACCUUGAGGUUGAGAGAGUUUAGAAUUGGAAAGAAACAAGGGGAAAAAGUCAGAUUUUUGGGGGAAAAGGGCUGGGCUGUUGCGCCAGCCAGCGCACCCAAAAAAAAUGGGAUGCUGAACUUCCCCUUUGGGGCAGAACACCUGGCAGAACGUCCAGCAGUCCCUCUGAAGUUUGAGGGCUGGCGCCCCGCGCCUCUUAGAGCGCCAAGGACGCCAAUCCUUCCCGUUACCUUCAUUCCCCACUUUUUCAUACAUGUUCCUAGGUAUUAUACCUAUGUUUCCUAGUUGUUUCCAACACUCCAAGGUACUUCUAAAAGUCAAGAACUCAUCCGUAACAUGUGAUCAAACACCUUGAAUCCAAAAUUCCAAUUCAAGGAGAGUUAGAUAGAAAUCAAGUGAAGUUAGAUUCCAAGUCAAGUGAAGUUAGAUUUCAAGUUGAGUCAAGAGUUUCAAGUCAAGUCAAAAGUUAAGAGUUUCAAGUUGAGUCAAGAGUUUAAAGUUGAGUUCUUUUCUCAAAGUUAUUAGGGAACUAUGUAUUCCCAAAGAAGUUUUAAAGAAAUGUUUUACAUUUAAACAAGGUUGGAAACUAAGAUUUCCAAAGAGCCUUCGGGAUAGUUUUUUUUGAGUAAUUAUCUCAAUCAGCAGGAAGACAUAUGUUUUAAAAACAUANNNNNNNNNNNNNNNNNNNNNNNNNNNNNNNNNNNNNNNNNNNNNNNNNNNNNNNNNNNNNNNNNNNNNNNNNNNNNNNNNNNNNNNNNNNNNNNNNNNNNNNNNNNNNNNNNNNNNNNNNNNNNNNNNNNNNNNNNNNNNNNNNNNNNNNNNNNNNNNNNNNNNNNNNNNNNNNNNNNNNNNNNNNNNNNNNNNNNNNNNNNNNNNNNNNNNNNNNNNNNNNNNNNNNNNNNNNNNNNNNNNNNNNNNNNNNNNNNNNNNNNNNNNNNNNNNNNNNNNNNNNNNNNNNNNNNNNNNNNNNNNNNNNNNNNNNNNNNNNNNNNNNNNNNNNNNNNNNNNNNNNNNNNNNNNNNNNNNNNNNNNNNNNNNNNNNNNNNNNNNNNNNNNNNNNNNNNNNNNNNNNNNNNNNNNNNNNNNNNNNNNNNNNNNNNNNNNNNNNNNNNNNNNNNNNNNNNNNNNNNNNNNNNNNNNNNNNNNNNNNNNNNNNNNNNNNNNNNNNNNNNNNNNNNNNNNNNNNNNNNNNNNNNNNNNNNNNNNNNNNNNNNNNNNNNNNNNNNNNNNNNNNNNNNNNNNNNNNNNNNNNNNNNNNNNNNNNNNNNNNNNNNNNNNNNNNNNNNNNNNNNNNNNNNNNNNNNNNNNNNNNNNNNNNNNNNNNNNNNNNNNNNNNNNNNNNNNNNNNNNNNNNNNNNNNNNNNNNNNNNNNNNNNNNNNNNNNNNNNNNNNNNNNNNNNNNNNNNNNNNNNNNNNNNNNNNNNNNNNNNNNNNNNNNNNNNNNNNNNNNNNNNNNNNNNNNNNNNNNNNNNNNNNNNNNNNNNNNNNNNNNNNNNNNNNNNNNNNNNNNNNNNNNNNNNNNNNNNNNNNNNNNNNNNNNNNNNNNNNNNNNNNNNNNNNNNNNNNNNNNNNNNNNNNNNNNNNNNNNNNNNNNNNNNNNNNNNNNNNNNNNNNNNNNNNNNNNNNNNNNNNNNNNNNNNNNNNNNNNNNNNNNNNNNNNNNNNNNNNNNNNNNNNNNNNNNNNNNNNNNNNNNNNNNNNNNNNNNNNNNNNNNNNNNNNNNNNNNNNNNNNNNNNNNNNNNNNNNNNNNNNNNNNNNNNNNNNNNNNNNNNNNNNNNNNNNNNNNNNNNNNNNNNNNNNNNNNNNNNNNNNNNNNNNNNNNNNNNNNNNNNNNNNNNNNNNNNNNNNNNNNNNNNNNNNNNNNNNNNNNNNNNNNNNNNNNNNNNNNNNNNNNNNNNNNNNNNNNNNNNNNNNNNNNNNNNNNNNNNNNNNNNNNNNNNNNNNNNNNNNNNNNNNNNNNNNNNNNNNNNNNNNNNNNNNNNNNNNNNNNNNNNNNNNNNNNNNNNNNNNNNNNNNNGUUUUACAAGCUUUAUAUAUUGCAUGUGUCUUAUUGCUUUAUAUUGAGUUCAGCUAUUCAUGAGUUGAACAGAGCCAAGGUAAAUUCUCUUUUAUAUCCCUUUCAAGCUUAAGUUGUUGUUAAGUUGUCCUGCUCGCAUACUCGUACAUUCCAUGUACUGAUGCCAGUUAGCCUGCAUCUUAUUAUGAUGCAGACGCAGGUACCCAGGAUCAUCAUUCAGCACGCCGUUGAUCCAAUUGAGCAUUCCAGAGUCAGUGGUGAGCCUCCUUGCACUCCGGAGGACUCUGUUAUUUCGUUUUCCUAGUUUUGCUUUAUUAGGAUGUUGUGGGGUCUGUCCCAACAUCCAUCUCAGUGUUAUAGAGGUUUCAUAGACAGUCAGACAGUUAGUAUUGAGUCUCUCAUCUAUGUAUUUACAUAUUUUCUAUUUUUGAGACACGAGUUGCCUUUUUGGCCAGAUUUUAUCAUUUAAGUUGCUUUAUGAUCUUUUAUUGUAUUGAGUUGUUCCACUGAGUUUAGUAGCCAGGCCAAUGGUUCGCUUGGGGCCAGCGAUGGUCUUCGAGUGCCAGUCCCGCCCAGGAUGUAGGCUCGGGGCGUGACAUUUUGCAUGAUUAAGUCUUUCGUUAAGUAGUCAGUCAGGCCAAGGGUUCGCUUGAGGUCCAACGAUGGUUCUCAAGUGCCGACCACGUCUAGGGUGUAGGCUCGGAGCAUGACAAACUUGGUGUCAAAGCACAAAGUUGAAGAGUCCAAGGGUGUCUAUCAAGUCGUGUCUAUAGAGUCAUUUUUAUCUAUGUGAAGCGCGUCACAUCUAUGAUUAAGAGGCUACAACAUUUAGAAAACAUUUCACUUUCUUCUUACUCUUGUUCGUGCGAUAGAGUUCAACUUUAUAAAAGUUUCCUCUAACUCGUGCUUAUGCGUGUCUUUUCAGAUCAUGCCUCCAUGAAGAGUUGUUCGAGGAUGUCCUGCUAAAAAGAAGGUGAAUCCUCAAGGUCAAGAAAUUCCCAAUGCACCAGAAGUGCAACCACCUCAAGAGGAUGUCACCAAUACUGGAUUCAGGAAUGCUAUCCAGAUGUUGACUCAAGUGGUGGCAAAUCAGGCUAGUCAACAAAGAGCAGGUCAUUAGGAUGUGACUGGUACAUUCAUAAUCUGUGAGUUCUUGAGAAUGAAUCCCCAGAGUUCAUAGGGUCGAAUAUCACUAAGCAUAAAAAGAACUUUGUGGAAGAAUGUCACGCCCCGAGCUUACACCCUGGACGUGGCUGACACUCGAAGACCAUUGCUGGCCCCAAGCGAAUCCUUGGCCUAGCUUCUUAACUCAGUGAAAACCAAACUCAACAGAAAACUCCAUGCAACGAAAAGUCAUAAAACAACCCAACUGAUAAAAUCUGGCCAAAAAGGCAACUAGAGUCUCAAAAUAGAAUAUUUACAUAUAAACAUAGAUGAGAGACUCAACACUAACUGACUGACUGUCUAUGAAGCCUCUAUAAUACUGAGAUGGAUGUUAGGACAGACCCCACAACAUCCUAAUAAAACAAAACUAGGAAAAACGAAAUAACAGAGUCCUCCGGAAUGCAAGGAGGCUCACCACUGACUCUGGAAUGCUCAAUUGGAUCAACGGCGUGCUGAAUGAUGAUCCUGGGUACCUGCGUCUGCAUCAUAAUAAGAUGCAGGCUAACUGGCAUCAGUACAUGGAAUGUACGAGUAUGCGAGCAGGACAACUUAACAACAACUUAAGCUUGAAAGGGAUAUAAAAGAGAAUUUACCUUGGCUCUGUUCAACUCAUGAAUAGCUGAACUCAAUAUAAAGCAAUAAGACACAUGCAAUAUAUAAAGCUUGUAAAACUAUUUAAAACAUGACGUAAAAAUCAUAUUUAUAAUAUCAUGAAAAUACCAUUCUUCCUCUCAAAGUCUACUUGUGCAAUGCAUGAAUGAAGUCUCAUACCCCCAUCCAUACUAAGCAGAACCCCUCGAGGAAUCAUGCAAUUUCUAUUGUGGAGUUUCUCUAACCGACAACCACCACUACAUGCCUAAGUGGUGAUACAACAUUUACCUCACGUUGCCUAAGGACCAUCCUAUACCUUGCCGUGAUAUAUGACCUUACUUUAACUUUAACUUAGUGGAUCCACUAGCUUAACUUUACGUGAUCAUCUAAAAAGUAUGACCCAUCAAAUCCCAUGUUUGGCUACAUGGUUCUUAUGGAGAGUUGGUUAAUAUGAACUCGUGUCCCCAAUUCGGUGCUCAAGACUACUCCCAAAAAUACUUUAGCUCAUUAGUGUUUUAAACACAUCUUUCUUUAGUUGAGAUAAUUACUCAAAACUUAGCCCAAAGGCUCUUGAAAAACUACUUCUAAAAAGAACAUAUCAAAAACCAUAUUUUAAUAUGAUCAUUGAUGACUCGGGAAAGUCAUACUGCAUAAACAUUGAUGGUAUAUCUAGAGACCAUACUGUUUAACAUUGAUGACAUACUUGAUUUGUCAUACUAAUCAUGUUUUAGAAACUCUUUCGCAAAAACUCAUCUUUUCUCAAAAAGAGAUAGUACUCAAACUUCUCAAAACUCUUUUGGAAAUCUCAGUUUCCUCUCAACUUAAAUGUGAAAACACUUAUAAACUUCCUUGGGAAAUACUUAGUUCCCUAAUUACUUUUGAGAAAUGAACUCAACUCUUGACUCUUGACUUAACUCGAAACUCGAUACUCUUUACUCGACUUGAAACUAUAUGCUCUUUACUCUUUGCUAAACUUGAAACUAUAUCAACUUUAUACUCUUGGCUUAACUUGAAACUCUAUGCUCUUUACUCAACUUGAAACUUUAUGCUCUUUACUCACUUUAUACUCUUGGCUUAACUUGAAACUCUUUACUUAACUUGAAACUCGAGCCUUUAAAUGAAGUUAAAACGUUCAAUAAAGACUCUUGAAAAACUUAAAAGACUUGCUUUGACUUACCUCUUAACUUCUAAGCUUGGCUCUAACUUCACUUGACUUUGAUCCUAACUCGCCUUGAAUUGGAUUAUGGAUUCAAGGUAUAUGAUCACAUGUUUAUGGAUGAGUUCUUGACGUUUAGACGUACCUUGGAGUGUUGAAAACAACUAUAAAACAUAGGUACAUUACCAAGGAACAUGUAUGAAAAAGUGGGGAAUGAAUGGGAAGACUUGGUGUCCUUGGCGCUCUGAGAGGCGCGGGGCGCCAGCCUUCAGAGGGGCCUGCUGGGCGCUCUUCAAGGCGUGCCACCCCAAGAGGGAAACUUCAGAACCCCUGUUGGGGCGCGCUGGCUUGCGCGACGCCCCAACCCUUUCCCCCAAAAAUUCGACUCCUCUCCUUCAUUUUUCCAACUCUAAACCACCUUAACUUCAAAGUUUCCAGCCCCAAACACUUAGAAUCAUAAAACCCCUCAACAUACACUAGAUUCAACUCGAAAUCACAACCGGAAACAUACACCAAGGAACUUCAACAACACCACCAACAACUUCAACAAACACAACCAAUCUUUUUCUCGAAAUUAAAACGAGUUUGGCGUGUGGGGGAAAGAACCAACCCAACACUAUGAUAUCACAUACCUUAAUAGGGAUCACCCCCGACGAAAUCCACGAUGAUCUUGACGAAUCCUUGCUUCUUCUUCUCUUUCUCCUCUUCUUUCCUUUUUUCUCAAGAACCCUAACUCUCACUCUUUUAAAAAGGGAAAUCUGAUUUAAAAUCAGCCUAAACCCUUAAUAUAACCAAAAGAAAUGGCUAGGGAAAAGACCAAAAUACCCUUACAAAUUCGGACUAAACUGCCCUGCCAACACCCAACUUCCAAAGGGAAUAACUCACUCAUACGAACUCGGAAUCGCGCAAACUCGGCGGCGUUGGAAAGAUCACUCCAUGAACUUUCCAAAAAUAACUGGAAAUACACCUAACUCAUCCUUAGCUAGGAGUUAUGACUGCUCAAAGUUGACCAAAAACUCACUUUUUUUCCAUACUUAGCUAAAUUUUCCAGAUUUUUAAUUCUUUCCAAAAAUGACUAUUUCCAAUUCUAAGCUUUUUCAUAGCUAUUUCAAAUUGCUGGAUGUUUACAAAGAACUUCAGAAAGUGUUUGAGGUUAUGCGUGUUGCCGAUGCAGAGAGUGUGGAGUUAGCUUCAUACUAGCUCAAAGGUGUUGGUUAAAUAUUGUUUAAUCAAUUGAGAAGAGCAGGGCAGAGGGGGCACCACUUUUGAGUUGGGCGGUGUUCGAAGGUGCUUUUGUGGGGUGCGUCUUUCCCCUCGAUCUAAGGGAAGCAAAGGUAAGAGAAUUUCUAAAUCUGAAACAGGAGUCCAUGAGUGUCCAAGAGUACAACCUCAAGUUCACUCAGUUAUCCCCUAUGUUCCGGAGAAGACGAUUGAUAUGAGGAGCAGGAUGAGUUUAUUUGUGUCUGGGUUAUCCCGAUUGUCAAGUAAGGAAGGUAAGGCAAACAUAUGUUUUUUCCAUUUCAAAUAAGUCCCGAAACAUGAAAUAGAGAUUUUUCCUUUUGUUCUUGUGUUAUAGUCCAUGGAUAAAAACUGUUUUUCAUAAAUUGAUUUUAUUAUAUUAAAAUUGACAUUUAUAUUUGAAUUACAAAGAUAUUUCCAACUAAAUAUUCAUUUCUUUCAUUUGAUUUAUACCAAAAAAGAAAAACAAUUUUCUAUCAAGUUGGGGAAAAUUCAAAUUUGAAUGGGAUAAAAGUUGUUUUUUAGAAAACAAGAUUGACCAAACCGCCUUAUGGCAGUUUGAAUGCUUAGAUCUCAAAAAAAUACCCGACCUUUAAAAGAAUCGCUUGAAACGGACAUCCGAGGCAAACAUUAUGAAUAUUUGAAGUUUCACCAAUUUACAACUACUUAUUCUAGUUCCACUCCUUAACUUUGAAGACAUGUAAUUGGAUCCCUAAAAAUCAGACCAAAAAAUUAUAUUUCGAAAGAUGGUUUUACGAGUCAAGUCCACUGGUUGUAAAUAGUGUUCGUAGUUGUUAGACAAAAAUAACUGGACUAGGCUAGUCUUUUGGUAAAAUAGUUAUAAUGCUAACUUUAAAUGAUACAAACUUAGUGGUGUUAGAAAGAAAACUCAUAGACCUAUAGUAUGAUAUGUCAUGGGCCACCUAAUUCAUUACGUACUAAAAGAUAUGGUAGUAUAUAUUGUUUGCCUUCAGGAGAGACACUUAUUGAUUACGGGCAGUUUUUUGACCAACUAUUUACUUGGGCAUUCGCGAGGACCUAAAAAAUUGUGUGUGUUAGUUCAGAGGGGUAAAAGUAGGUAUUUUCAAGUUCAAACGAGGCACAAACCAUGAAAUAAGGAUUUUUCUAUUUUUCGUGUGUUAUAAUCCAUGAAUUUUUGUAGGUGUCCGUGAUGAUCUAUUAAAUGGUGUGCGUUGGUUCAGAGGGACAAACAUAGAUUUUUUCAAGUUCAAAUGAGGCCCGAACUUGAAAAUAGAGAUUUUUCCAUUUUUCAUGUAUUGUAGUCCAUGAAUUUUUUGUGGUAUGUGCACUCGAUGAUUUUUUGGCUGAUAUUUUCCAUGGGCGUCUGUAACGACCUAUUAAAUAGCGCGCGUUGGUUUUGAGGGGCAAACAUAAGUUUUUCUUUAAGUUCAAAUGAGACCCGAACUAGGUAAUAGGGAUUUCUUUUUCAUUUUUCAUGUGUUAUAGUCCAUAGAUUUUAUGUUAUAUGUGCGCCCGACAUUUUUUUGGCCAAAUUUUUUCGUGGACAUCCCUGACAACCUAUUAAAUGGCGUGUGUUAGUUCGAAAGGGAAAACAUUGAGUCUUUCCAUUUCAAAUGAGUCCCGAAACAAGAAAUAAGGAUUAUUUAGUUUUUCGUGUGUUAUAGUCCAUGGAUUUUAUUUGAUAUGUCGCAUAGUGGUUUUCUGGGCGAAAUUUCUGUGCGGGUCCGUGACGACCUAUUUAAUCUCUUUUUUUUUUUUUUUGUAAAAAGUGUUGCAUAACAAGGUGGUUGUGGAUCUAAAUCUCACAUUUUACGAGUCCAGUCUACUUGUUGUAACUAGUGUUCAUAGUUGUGAGACACAAUAAACCCGACUAGUCUAGUCUUUGUAAAACGGUCAUAACACUUUACUAUAAAUUUUAAAUUAUACAUUUGGUGGAGUUAGAAAGAAAACUCACAGACCUACAAUUCAGUAUGUCAUGGACCACCUUAUACAUUACGUAUUAAAAUAUAUGGUGGUAUAUAUUGUUUGCCUUCGGUGAGACAUUCAUUGAUUAUGGGCAGAUUUUUGGCCAAGAUUUUUCGUGGGCAUUCGUGACGACCUAAUAAAUUGAGCGUUAGUUUGAAGGGGUAAAUGUAGGUAUUUUCAAGUUCAAACGAGGCACAGAUCAUGAUAUAUGGAUUUUUGCAUUUUUCGUGUGUUAUAAUUCAUGGAUUUUAAGUAAUAUGUGCGCCUGGCGAUAUUUUGUUUGAAAUUUUCCAUGAGCAUCCGUUAUGACCUAUUAAUGGCACGCUUUAGUUCUGAUGGGCAAAUGUAGGGUUUUUUCAAGUUUAAACUUGGCCUGGAAUGGGAAAUUAUGAUUUUUUUUCAUUUUUCUUGUGUUAUAAUCCAUGGAUUUUGUGUGAUAUGUGUGCCAAAUGGUUCUUUGGCCAAAAUUUUCAUGGGCAUCCAUGAAAACCUAUUAAAUGGUGUGCGUUGGUUCAGAGGGUCAAACAUAGGUAUUUCCGAGUUCAAAUGAGGCCUGCACAGGGGAAUAGAGUGUUUUCUAUUUUUCAUGUAUUAUAGUCCAUGGAUUUUGAAUGAUAUGUGCGCCCAAUGGUCUUUUGGCCAAAAAUUUUCAUAGGUGUCCAUGAUGACCUACUAAAUGGUGCGUGUUUGUUCGGAGGGGCAAAAUUAGGUUUUUCAAGUUCAAACAAGGCUCGAACUGGGAAAUAAGGAUUUGUCCAUUUUUCUUGUUUUAUAGUCCAUGUAUUUUGUGUGAUAUGUGCGCCCGACGGUUUUUUGGCAUAAAUUUUUCGUGGACAUUCAUGACAACCUAUUAAAUGGCACGCGUUGGUUCGAUGGGGGGCAAAUUUAGGUUUAUUUAAGUUCAAACGAGGUCCAAAAUGGGAAAUAGUGAUUUUUAAAAAUUUUCGUGUGUUAUAGUCCAUGAAUUUUAAGAGAUAUGUGCUCCUGGUGAUUUUUGGCUGAAAUUUUCCAUGAGCAUUUGUGACGACCUACUUAAUGGCGUGCGUUGGUUUGAGGGGCAAACACUUGUUUUUUUCCAUUUCAAAUAAGUCCCGAAACAAGAAAUAGAGAUUUUUCCAUUUUGCUUGUGUUAUAGUCCAUGGAUAAAAAACUGUUUUUUUUUCAUAAAAAUUGAUUUUAUUAUAUGAAAAUUGACAUUUAUAUUUGAAUUACAAAAAUAUUUCCAACUAAAAAUCCAUUUCUUUCAUUUGAUUUAUACCAAAAAAGAAAAAAACAAUUUUCUAUCAAAUUGGAGAAAAUUCAAAUUUGAAUGGGAUAAAAGUUGUUUUUCAAAAAAGUUGACAUAGUGAUACUGAUACAUAACAAGUGACAAAGGUUUGCCUUUAGAGUUAUGUUAAAUGCUAACUCAUGAUCACAAGUGAUAAUAAAGAUAUUUACAAAGUUGAAACAGAAUAUGAAGUAUGUAUAUUUAAUUUGAUCCACUAUUAUUGUGGGAAGUUUCAGAUAAGAGUAUCAAACUUAUUCAAUUAGUUCUAAUCAAAUAAUUAGGUGACAAGAAAAAAAAUGGGCAUGUUGAUGUUCCUUUAUUUUUAGUAUUGAUAUAAAUUAAUUGAAAACAGUAUGAUUGAAAAUGGUUGGUUGAUUUGCAAUUAUAGUUUUCUUCUUCAAACUAAUACAACUUUUAUUUGAAAACAACUGGGCAUAGUAAUGAUAACUUUUUAUCGUGACAUAGGUUUAUAUUUUCGUAUCAUAAUAUCUCUGAUUUUAGUUUGUAAAUAACUGGGCAUAAAUUUGUUAAGUUGGUCAAUAGCUGAGGAUAACUAUUCACUAGAUUUACUUUAAAAAGUCCCACAUUGGGGGUAAAGACAUUUCCUAACAAAGGUGACUAUGUACUACUAGGGCUCGAAUGCAAGAUCUUUAGUUAAGAAUCAAAAAGUAUUUACCACUGUAUCACAACCCUCGUUGGUAGUAUACCCUGUUCGUGUAGAAGUCAUCCAUAGUAAUAGUGAUAGUUUCCCUUUUCAUUUUAGAAACUACUAUUUUCUUAAGAAAAAUGAUGUUUGGAGAAUACAUUUGGUCACUGUUCUUCAUCAGAUUCAGGCCAGUUGGAACAUAAAAUUUGGCAUUAAAACCUUCCAAAACAUUAAUUUAAACACUCAAAAUACUCUUCAGCUUCUUCUUCAUACACAUCUGAUAUAUGGACUUUUGAAGUCUGUCCUCUCCUGAGAAAUCUACUAUCUGUUUCUUAAUCUCAAUGGCUGAAUCUCCAACCUCACGCUUAUUAUCAGUUAAAUGAAUGGACUUUAAAGUGUGUAUAUGCAUAAAUGCACAAGGGAUCUCCCUAAGAUGGUCACAAUGAUUUAGUAUUAAUUCCUCAAGUUUGGGAAAAGUUUCCGUAUCAACUUGCCAUUCUGAAAGGUUGACCAUUAGCAAAGACAGAGUCUUAAGGCUUUGAUAGAUGUCCUCACUUGCGUCUCAUUCAUCCUCCACGAAUUUACAGUCCAUAAACUCUAGAAUUUCAAGCUCAGGCAAUGCCGCGAUUGCUGACAACAAAUCAGGUCUCAGCAGGGGAAAACUAUACAACCAUAACUCUUUCAACCUGUUAGGGAAGUAAUAUGCAUUGGGUACUUGUCGGAUUUGGUUUGUUAACUUGGGAUAUUCAAAGUAUCUGACAUCUUUGUAUAGGAUAAUCUGUAAAGAUGUUGCACUGAAGGUGCUAAAUUUUUGGGAACUUCUCCAGAACAUCACUCGUGGCUUCAUGAUCUGUAAUAACAACAUUGGAUAAAGUUGUCAAGUGUUCUAACUUUGGUUGAUGCAUAAUAUUGUCUGCAUCUAUUUCCUCUUCCUCUUUCUCUUCAAAGAAAGAACAAAAGUAAAUUUCCACAUGUUUCAGCUUUGACAGUUUUAAUAUUCUGGGCAGUAAUACCAUGGUGGAAUAUCUCGUUUUGAUGAAUAGAGUUUCUAGAUUCUGGAGGUUCAACCGCGACAGUGGGAUAACUUUAACAUCUCGAGUCUACGACACUGUCUCAGCAUGAAAGAUUAUUUUCUCUUGUUCGAAAAACCAUGUACUUUGUUGUACAUAUGCAGGUGAAUCAACUAACGAUGACCAACCAUUGAUUUAACACUCCCUAUUGUUUAACCAAAGUCUAAAUCCAUACCCGACUUAUCUCCAAGCAACAUGAAGCCUCCAAAUUUCAAUCUUGAAUCAGAAGACGAGUCCGAGGUCAACAACUGCCAAGUGGGUUCAAACAUUUCCGUCCAAGAAAUUCAUCCUGGUCCUUCCCUUAAUCUUCAGCAGGAAUCAGUUCCUGUUACUCUUGACUUGAUUCUUGGCUUCAACAGCAGUGACUCCGAGUGCUCGUGGCUUCAUGAUCUGUAAUAACAACAUUGGAUAAAGUUGUCAAGUGUUCUAACUUUGGUUGAUGCAUAAUAUUGUCUGCAUCUAUUUCCUCUUCCUCUUUCUCUUCAAAGAAAGAACAAAAGUAAAUUUCCACAUGUUUCAGCUUUGACAGUUUUAAUAUUCUGGGCAGUAAUACCAUGGUGGAAUAUCUCGUUUUGAUGAAUAGAGUUUCUAGAUUCUGGAGGUUCAACCGCGACAGUGGGAUAACUUUAACAUCUCGAGUCUACGACACUGUCUCAGCAUGAAAGAUUAUUUUCUCUUGUUCGAAAAACCAUGUACUUUGUUGUACAUAUGCAGGUGAAUCAACUAACGAUGACCAACCAUUGAUUUAACACUCCCUAUUGUUUAACCAAAGUCUAAAUCCAUACCCGACUUAUCUCCAAGCAACAUGAAGCCUCCAAAUUUCAAUCUUGAAUCAGAAGACGAGUCCGAGGUCAACAACUGCCAAGUGGGUUCAAACAUUUCCGUCCAAGAAAUUCAUCCUGGUCCUUCCCUUAAUCUUCAGCAGGAAUCAGUUCCUGUUACUCUUGACUUGAUUCUUGGCUUCAACAGCUGUGACUCCGAGUUGAAAGCCAACGGAGAGGCGAGUGACGAAGUAGUACCCCAUCCUCCAACGGCAGCACUAUCCAGAGUUUUCUCGUGCAAUUUCUGCAGGCGCAAGUUUUACAGCUCACAGGCGUUGGGCGGACAUCAGAACGCACAUAAGAGGGAGAGGACUUUAGCUAAGAGAGCAAUGCGGAUGGGAAUGUUAUCGGACAGGUACGCUAGCUUAGCAUCAUUGCCCCUUCACGGGACUGCAUUUCGAUCUCUUGGCGUUGAAGCUCAUGCUUCCGCACACCAACGCAUCUCGCACCAAGAAACGCCUAUUCAUGCAGUUAGAAGCGGGGCUAGAUUUGAACAAGGCUAUUUCGGGAUGCCAGUAUUCGUGGAGGAUGAUGAAGUGGAGGUGUUCUGGCCCGGUAGCUUCAGGCAAAUAGAGGGAAUUGGUGGCAAUAUGGGGUAUAAUUCAGGGCAAAGUUCAAGCAUAAAUUUUGUAGCUGUAGCUCCUCAAACUAGGACAGAUCAAACAUUGCCUGAUCUUAAUUUGAAACUCUGAUGGUCUUUUUUUUUUUGCAUUCUAUUCUACUUUUUUGUAUCAGAAUUUUCAUAAUUGUGGUAUUACAUUAGUGCUCUAUUUGUACAGGAGGUGAAUAUUUGAGACUGUCUUGAGCUUUCAAUUUUGAAUCUUUUUCAUUCCCAAAUUUGUUUAGUUGACCAACUUAUUGUACAACUAGUCUAUGGGAACGUGCGUUGCACGUUUGUUCCUUAACACUAUUAUAGAACUUUGAUAUAUUUAAAAAAAAUUAAGUUAUGAAAUAGCAAAUUUUAAAAUUAACAAUAUUAAUUUUAUAUUUGUAUUUUAUUCAUUAAAUAAAUUACAUAAAAGUGGGACAUGACAUUUUUCAUGAAACAAAAAAUAUGUGAAGUCAAUUAUGACAGUAUAGUCUCUAAUGGUCUAAAUAUGUCGAUGAAUUGUUGAAUUGAAAAUUAAUAAAUUCAUGUAAAUGUCUCUAACGAAAUUUUCAAAUACAUGAACAUACGAACAAAUACCAAAAACGUAAAAUAAUAAUACUGAAAUUUUAUCAUAGUAACAAAAAUAAUAUGUAUAUCCAUUCACUAAAAUUACACGCUAGCUCUAAAUUUUAUAAUCCAAAUGGGUUGACAAACAAAGUUAGUUAAUUGUAUGACAAAAACAAGAGUCAUACACUUGAUCUUGAUAUAAUGUAAGAUCUCCAAAAAUGGUCAAAAAUACAAAAGCACAUAUUAUAUUAUAUAUAUGAAUAAAGCCUUUUAAUUCACAUUGCUUUACACUAAUGAAGACGAUGAUAAUUUAUUAUCGAUUUAUCAUGUUUACAAAUUGGUAGCUCAUAAAUCAAACAAUAAUACAUAAUUCGAUUCAGAAAAAAUCCAAAAGAAAAGAAAAAUAUAUAAAGUCUAAUUAACUUGACACUCACAAUACCCUUCAAUUGUUAAAACGUGUAGUGUGGUGAUAUUGUAAUUAAUAGAGGCUGCACAUAAAACUAAAAACAAAUAAAUACCACCUUAAUUGUUAAAAAACAUGACUUUUGAGCUUCUUGAAACCAAAUUAAUAAAGAAAUAAAGAAAAUAUAGUAGAAAAAUAUAAAGAGACAUUCAGGGUUCUUUUAAAAUAUUAAAUAAAUAAUAGAAAAUUAAUAACAAAAGAGAAAGGAAAAAUUUAAUGCACAGCAAAAUAGAGUUUAACACCAUUUUAUUCCUCUAGACGCAUUGAGUCGUUGAGAUAUACGACGUUUCAGUCAUCAUUAAAAAUUGAAAUGAAAACACUUAAAAGCACAUUUAAUAUUAUAAUUAAAAAUUUAAAUGAUUGUUUUGAAGUUCUUUUACUCUAGCAUAAUAUAUUGUAUAUGUUCACAAUAAGUAUUACACGGAAAAGUAACUCCGGAAAAUUGAAAAGAAUACAAUAAAUUUAGUUUCUCAACUAAAUAAUUCAUUCUAAAUAUUUAAUGUUCUAAUAAUAUUUAUUAUAAUAUAAGUUUAUUUUUUUAAUAAAUAAAAUAUUUAUAGAAAUAAUUUUAGCUUGAGGGUAAAAUGGUAAUCCAACUUUGAUUAUUGAAGCUUCCCACUUAUAAUAAUAUAUGAUAUGAUUAUAUGAUGUUAUUCAAAAUACAGAUUUGGGACUGUGGUGAUUUUUUUUAGUUUAUGCAAACCUUUAACUUCCUCCCAUUUUAACCAUGUUUAUUAUUAUUCGCUAGAUUCACUUCAGAAAGUCUCACAUUGAGGGUAAGACAUACAUUCCCUAACAAAAGGGACUCUAUAUCCGGUAUGGCUUAAACGCGAGACCUCUAAUUAAGGAUCAAAGAGUACUACCACUCCACCACAAUGCUUGUUGGCAGUAGUCAUCUAAUUAUCCAUAUUCUUAAAAAAAAAAGAGGGAUAGUUGCCUUUUUCAUGUUCUUGAAAAAAAAAAGGGGGAAUUGUCCAUUGAUGACUGUUCUUCAUCAGAUUCAGGCCAAAUGGGACAUAUAUUGAUUCACAAUUUGGCAUUGAAACCUUCCAAUUGAAAACCUAGAAUCUUAUAUGAGAGAUUACAGACAAAAUAAGAUUCAUAACUAACAAAAAACAGGAAAGAAAACACACAACACAUUAAAUUAAAAUAUAUCCAAAACCAGCAAUGAAAAAAACCAGUAACAAGUUUGUUUAUUGGAAGCAGUAAUCAGAUGGAAGCGUCGCGUUGUUUCUUUCUUCAUUGUUGUUCUAUCCUUGAGUCCUUUGGGCAUUCUGCAAAUCAUAUAUAGUAUGAUUUAAAUUAAAUGAAGUAUAUAUGUAUGUAGGGGUAACGAUAUAAGAAUUAAUUACCUCUUCUUCAGCCUCUUCUUCAGCUUCUUCUUCAGCCUCUUCUUCAUCUUCUUCUUCAGUCUCUUCUUCAUCUUCUUCUUCAUACAAAUCUUCUAUAUGGACUUGAGGUCUGUCCUCUCCUGUGAAAGCUUCUACUUGUUUCUUAAUCUCAAUGGCUGAAUCUCCAAUCUCACGCUUAUUAUUAGUUAAAUGAAUGGACUUUAAAGUGUGUAUAUCUAUAAAUGCAGAAGGGAUCUCCGUAAGCUUGUAACAAUGUUCUAGUCUUAAUUCCUCAAGCUUGGGAAAGGUUUCCAUAUCAAAUUGCCAUUCCGAAUGAUUGACCACUUGCAUAGACAAAGUUUUAAGACUUUGAUAGAUAUCCUCACUUGCGUCCCACUUGUCCUCUAUGAAUUCACAGUCAAUAAACUCCAGAAUUUCAAGCUCAGGCAAUGCCGUGAUUAAUGACAACAAAUCAGGUCUCAGGGGAAAACCAUACAACCGUAACUCUUUCAAGCUGUUAGGGAAGUAAUAUUCAUUGGGUUGUCGGAUUUUGUCUGCUAACUCGGGAUAGCCAACAUUCUCGUACAUUGCAAUGAGUGAUUCAAGUUUAUCAAGGACAUCAAACUUGGGAAACCAAUCACCCUGUGUAAGAGGAUCUAUCGGUUCCUUGAUGUGGCAAUGAAGGUGCUGAAGAUUUGGGAACUUCUCUAGAACAUCACUCGNNNNNNNNNNNNNNNNNNNNNNNNNNNNNNNNNNNNNNNNNNNNNNNNNNNNNGUUGUCAAGUCUUCUAACUUUGAAUUCUCAGCUUCCAAUAUUCUACUUGGUUGAUGCAUAAUAUUGUCCACAUCCAUUACAUCCUCUUCAAAGAAAGAACUCAUGUCAAUUUUCACAUGUUUCAGCUUUGACAGUUUGAAUAUUAUAGGAAGUAAUACCAUGGUGGAAUAUCCAGUAUUGAUCAACAAAGUUUCCAGAUUCUGGAGGUUCAACCACGACAAUGGGAUAGCUUUUACAUCUUGAGUUCGAAUCCUUAAGAACCUCAAAUGAAAUAGGGAGCCUAUUUCUUCCAUUAAAGAAUCUUCCAGAAUAAUGCUAUCCAGUUGCAACACUCUAGCAAGUCCAAAAGGUCUUGUAUGGCAGAUAUAGCUGGAGUUAAGAGGCCAACCGCUAACUUUCAAAGAUAUGAGAUGCUUACUACCAGCUGAACACUUAUUAGAAUUGAACAAAACACAUUUUUUGUGGAGUUGACUGUCGUAAAUAUGAAUGGUUAGACGAUGAUGUAGGAAAUCCGAAGCAUGAAAUCGAGCACCUGGAUUCAUUAACUUGAAAAACUUUGCCUUUAUAGAUUUUUCUAAACAAAAAUCGUGCACAACAUCAUGCACAUAGCAAACCUUGAUCCUAACAGAAAAAGGCAUACUCUUCUUGGAGGGGAUUUGAUCCACCAUUAUCAGGCUACUGGAAACUAAAGCAUCCAAGUCACUUUGAGUUGCUUCCUCUAAACUACUCUUGGAUCGGAUAUCAUGAUCCACAAACCCUUCGGCCAUCCACAACUGCUUUAACUUAGAGACCGGAGUUCGUUUGUUCUUUUGUGAUCUUGCGAAGUAAAGCAACAAUGGCUUCAGGUGGCAUGGUAAAUGGUCAUAACUUAAUUGCAUAACCUUCAUCAUCUGCAAAUUGAUGUUGGCAGAAAUAAAGGAAUCCAGAUUAUCUUGAAUCUUAAGCCACAAAUAAAACAAUAGCCAAGGGAAGUCCUUUACAUUUCUUAACUAUUUUGUGUCCAACAUCUGACAGUUCAGCAGGGCAGCUUCCUUCUCCAAAUACCCUUUUUUCGAAUAGUUCCCAACUUUUUUCAAGUGUUAAAACUUGGAGGUCGAUAGGAUCAGUACUAUAUUUAACUUGCGAACCAACCUUACUAAUUCGGCUAGUUAAAAUAACUCUAUCUCCUCUCUUAAGCUUUGGAAAACAUGCUAUUAACAUCUCCCCUGUUGCAAUAUCCCACACAUCAUCCAAGACGAUGAGGUACCUUCUAUCGUACAGUGCUCUUCGUAGCUUUUCAGCAAGGUCAUCCUCACUUCCUUUUACUUCAGAGCCAGUAACUUGCUGAAGAAUCUCCCGCAACACCUUUGACUUGUUAUACUUUUGGGAAACAGUGCACCAAGCACGAAUCUUGAAAUGACUAGCAACUAAUGUAUUGUUAUACACUUUGUUGGCCAGAGUAGUUUUACCGAGUCCUAGCAUUCCGACAAUCGAAAUGACAUCAAGCUCAGAUUCAUGUUGAUUAAGGAGUUGGCCAAUGAUCUUGGAUUCUUCUUUCUCAUGACCUACUGUUACCUCAACAAAAGGUGAUGAGGUUGACUCAAUUGGCUCGACGAAAGACUUUGCCUCAAGGGGGUCAUCCCCAUUCUUAUCCUCCAGCUGUAAACUGGUGACUUGUGUCACGAUAAGCUUGAUCUUAUUAGUGACACUCGGAAGUGAGAAGAUGAGAUGCGAGAGAGCUUUAUCUCUGACAAGAAUGGAAUUAAUGACAUGUUCUGCCUCAUAUGCCACAUCUAAAACACGUACCUAACAAUCUUUAACUACUCCACUAGUGUCAUCCAAUGUUUGCCUGGCUUUCCCAAAAGAUGAUCUUAGGAAUUCAAGGCAUUCUUUCACCAUCCCUAUUUCGUUCUUUAUCAGAGAAACUGAAUAAGCAUUGGAAAUGAGUAAAUCAUUUAAAUGUCUGAAUAGAAUAUUUAUGAAGAAGAAACCAUCAUCUAUAGGAAAGGAAAGUUGAGAUGACUCUGGGGCUUUCAAGAAAAUCUGUCUGAUAUCUCCCUUCAUUCGUUCAAUUUCUUGCAAAAAGUCUGGAGCUGAAAAAUCCGCUAUGUUGAUAUUAUUCUCUGAGCUCUCCUCCAACAGCUUGCUCACCAGAAUCUUAGUUGCGCGGACUCUUCACUUUUGAUGCCGCACCCGUCUCGGAUUCUCCAAAAAUACACUACUUUUGGCGAAUCCGACACGCACCCGUUGGCACUUUUGAAGAGUCCGAGCAACAUAGACCAGAAUAGACAUCUUCCUUGUAAGUACUCUGAUAUGUGCCAAUAUAUCGUUCAAUUUGCCAGAAUGGAUAAAGCUCUUUGGUAUAUCGGUUAGAAAGAUCUAGGAACUCCAUCAUGAGAUUAAUGCUUUGAGUUGGAGUGUAAUUGACAGUUACUACGCCUGCCAUGCGUCCUUGGAGAAGAAUAAGAUAAUUUUGAAGAAUCCUUGGAGAUGCUUUUAGGAUUUGCUUAACAAAGAUUUGUAGUUCAGUUGACCUUGAUUCUUUCAUGAGCUUAAAAGUACAAAUGUAUUGAACCUCCAGCUCAAGAGGGAUUAUGUCGAUGAGUAGAGAAGUGAUCACGGAAGAGCAUUGAGAGACGUCGUCACACACCUUGUAACCAUCAUAAUAUCGUUUAUACUUUCCAGUCCAAAGAUCAAAACAGAAUUGUGUUACUCUAUCAGCAGUCAAUUGGAGCCAAGGGUAGAGAUAUUCAGUGUUUGCUUUGUUGGCCUUGAGGAUAGGAUAGAAAUCUCUCAGAUGUCGGAAUACUUGCUGAAGAAUAUUGAAGACACUCAUCAAGGGGAGAAGCAAAUUAGCACGAUAGUUUGGUAGAUCAUGAAGGUGUCUGAAGAGAUAUUGAAACAUUUUCUCUUCAGUCGUCAUGGCUACAUAAUAAUCAUUCUCCAAACUCCAAAAAUAGCUUUUCAUCUCUUCCAGCAGCAGAGGGGCAAGACACUCCAUGUCGCAUUUCGCUAGGAUUAAUUUGCCAUCUUCAUCUUGAUAGAAAAGUGAGCAACUAAGUUCAUAGAACUUGUCUAUUCUCUCGGACAUGCUGGAAUAAAAAUAAUCCAAACUCGAAUUCCCAAACAGAACAAAUGUUCUUAGGAAUCUCAAUUCCAUUCUUAGCUUUACAAUGUCAUCCAAUUUUGAUGAAGCAAUUAUUUUUUCAUUCUUUAUUUUCUUCAAGCCAUUGAAGAAAUCGUCAAUAUGAUUGCUGAUUCUUCUUCUUUCUUCCUCAAAUGGAAGCUGCUAAAUUAAAAAACAAUCAUUAGUUGGGAUAUAUUAGUGACAUAUUUUGUUAUUUAGUUACACAAGUGUAGUAAGUAGUUUUUUGAAAUGAUGUAAUAUAAAGUUUGAGUAAUAUCUCAGAUGGUCACUCAACUAUGCAGUCUUCUCUCAGAAAAUCACUCAACUUUCAAUUUUAACUCAAAAGUUACUCAACUAUGCACUUUUCUCUCAAAAAGUCACUCAACUUUGAAUUUUAACUCAAAAGUUACUCAACUAUCCACUCUUCUCUCAGAAUGUCACUCAAUUUAUUUAAUUGUUUAUUAAAUGAAAAUUUGCUGAUAUUAAAUUUUUAUAUAACAAACCAAAAUUUUAAAAAAUAAAAAUACCAUUUAAACCAUUUAAUGAUCCGCUCCACUUGACCCGACCUGCUAAAAUAUAAUAUUGACCCAUUUGAUGGGGUGAUACAGACUGUUAUGAUGUGUUACAUAGGCAUUUGAUGGUGAGUAGAGGUUUUGAGCUUAUAGUAUACCAAAUUAUUAGAGUGACCAACAAUUUCUCAAGUGUUGGUAUGAUGCAUAUGAUAGUUUUGAAUAUUAGUUGAAAUUUGGUAUCUGAAAGUUUACGUGGAGUUGACAUUGUACGUGAUUCAAUAACUUUGUAUUGAUGGGAAAAUACUUUUAGAUCUGAAAUCAGUGCUAUCAGUCUUGGGUGUGACCCGUAUCUGUCAUAAAAUAUUUAUUUAGAUAGAGAGAGCGCCAUAGUUUGGAAAUUUUGGAGGCGAUAAUGUGUUUGUUAAGAAGACUUUUAUACUAGUGACGAUUUGAGAGUAAGGUAAAUGGCGGGUGUGAUUAUGAUGUUUGUUUAGUAUUAACAGUGUUGACUUUAGUGGAGUACUGUGAGAAGUAUGUGGGAUUCCAUGAAUCGAGUAUGUGUACGAUUGUAAUGAGGACUAGACUAAUUGAUUGUGGGUGGCUAAAAAUCAAGGGGAUAGAGUUAGAUGGAUGUAAAUGUUUGAUAUGGACAUUAUGGAAAGAGUAUCUUGUGUUAUUCGACUUUGGUUCUGUACGUUAUUAUGUGACCACCCUUGUAACAUCCGACAAUUUGAAAUAACUAUGAAGAGGCUUAGAAUUGGAAUUAAUUAUUUUUGGAAGGAAUUCAAAAAUCUGGAAAUUUGGCUAAGUAUGGGAAAAAGUGAGUUUUUGGCCAACUUCGAACAGUCAUAACUCCUAGAUCAGGAUGAUUUAUGUGUAGUUCCAGUUAUUUUUACGAAGCUCAUUGAAUGAUCUUUCCAACGCCACCGAGUUUGCUCGAUUCCGAGUUCGUAUGAGUGAGUUAUGCCCUUUGGAAGUUGGGUAGUUGGUAGGGAAGUCCGUCCGGAAAUUUUAAGGGUAUUUUGGUCUUUUCCCUAACCAAUUAUUUUGGUUAUAUUAGUUUGUUAGACUGAUUUUAUAUCAGUUCUUCUUCUUUUUUUAAGAGUGAGAGUGAGGGUUUGUGAGUGAAGAGGAGAAGAAGAGGAGAAAGAGAAGAUCAAGCAAGGUUUCGUCAAAGAUCGUCGUGGAUAUCGUCGGGGGUGAUCCCUACUAGGUAUGUGAGUUCAUAGUGUUGGGUUGGUUCUUUCCCCCACACCCCAAACUCGUUUUAUUUCCGAGAAAAGAAUGGUUGUGUUGUUGAAGUUGUUGGGUUGUGUUGUUGAUGUUGUUGAUGUUGUUGAAGUUGUUGGUUGUGUUGUUGAUGUUGUUGAUUGUGUUGUUGAAGUUCCUUGUUGAUUUGGGACAUGUUUCCGGUUGUGUUUUUGAGUUGAAAUCUAUUGUGUGUUGAGGGGUUUAUGAUUCUAGGUGUUUGGUGUGGGUGAUCCCUACUAGGUAUGUGAGUUCAUAGUGUUGGGUUGGUUCUUUCCCCCACACCCCAAACUCGUUUUAUUUCCGAGAAAAGAAUGGUUGUGUUGUUGAAGUUGUUGGGUUGUGUUGUUGAUGUUGUUGAUUGUGUUGUUGAAGUUCCUUGUUGAUUUGGGACAUGUUUCCGGUUGUGUUUUUGAGUUGAAAUCUAUUGUGUGUUGAGGGGUUUAUGAUUCUAGGUGUUUGGUGUGGGAACCUUUGAAGUUUAGAAGGUUUAGAGUUGGAGAAAAGAAGGAGAAAAGUCGAGUUUUCGGGGAAAAGGGGNNNNNNNNNNNNNNNNNNNNNNNNNNUCGGGGAAAAGGGGUGGCGCGUCGCGCCUUGCAGAGCGCCCCAAGAAGUUCUCUGAACUUCUCCCCUUGGGGUGCCGUGCCUAGCAGUGCGCCCCAGCUGCCCUUCUGAGCUUUGUGGUCUGGCGCCCCGUGCCUCUCAGAGCGCCAAGGACGCCAACCUUUCCCAUUCAUUCUCCACUUUUACGUGCAUGUUCCUUGGUAUUGUACCUAUGUUUCCUAGUUGUUUCCAACACUCGAAGGUACGUCUAAACGUCAAGAACUCAUCUAUAAACAUGUGAUCAUAUACUUUGAAUCCACAAUUCAAUUCAAGGCGAGUUAGGAUCAAGUCAAAGUGAAGUCGGAGUCAAGUCAAGCAAAGUCAAGAAGUAAGUCCAAGCAAGUCUUUAAAGCUUUUCAAGAGUCGUUACUAAACGUUUUAACUUCGUUUUAAGGCUCAAGUUUCAAGUCAAGUAAAGAGUCUCAAGUUUCAAGUUAAGUCAAGAGCAUAAAGUUGAGUCCAUUUCUCAAAAGCUAUUAGGGAACUAAGUAUUCCCAAAGAAGUUUAUAAAUGUUUUUUUUUUACAUUUGAGCAAGAAAGGGAACGUCGAUUCCAAGAGAGAUUUUAAGUUAAGUUUUGAGUAAUUAUCUCAACUAAAGAAAGAUGUGUUUAAAGACACUUAUGGGCCAAAGUAUUUUUGGGAGUAGUAUUGAGCACCGAAUUGGGGACGUAAGUUCAUAUUAACUCAACUCUCCAUAAGAACCAUGCGCCAACAUGGGACUUGACGGAUCAUUCUUUUUAGAUGAUCACGUAAGAUUAAGCUAGUGGAUCCACUAAGUAAAGUAAGGUCCUAUAUCACGGCAAGGUAUAGGAUGGUCCUUGGGCAACGUGAGGUAAAACGUUGUAUCAUCACUAGGGCUGAUAGGUGGUUGCCGGUUAAAGAACCUCCCACAAAAGUUAUAUUACUUUUAUAUAUAAGUAAGGUUGAGUUUGUUAUUGUUUUAUCAUUAACGAACUAAGUUGUUUAUACUAUUUUACAAGCCAUUUAACAUCUCAGGCUUAUUGUAUCCUUGUAUACACACAGAGUUUAUAGCAUGUUUUAAACAGUCUUUCUUUAUAUCGCACUUGUUUUAAAUUGCCUUAUAUUGAAAGAAGUCAGUCAGGUUGAGUUGAGUUGAGCCAGGUAAUCUUUUCAGGUUCUUCUAGAGUUUUCCUUCUAGCCUUUGUUGCUUAGUUUUCCAGCUCGCAUACUCGUACAUUCCAUGUACUGAUGCCAGUUGGCCUGCAUCGUUUUAUGAUGCAGAUGCAGGUACCCAGGAUCAGCAUCCAGCACGCCGUUGAUCCAGUUGAGCACUCUAGAGUCAGUGGUGAGCCUCCUUGCCUUACGGAGGACUCAGUUAUUUUGUGUUCUUAAGUUUUGUUUUAUUAGGAUGUUGCGGGGUCUGUCCCAACAUCCAUCUCAGUAUUUUAGAGGCUUCAUAGACAGUCAGUCAGUUAGAUUUGAGUCUCUCAUCUAUGUACAUAUAUAAUAUUCUAUCUUUUUUUUGAGACUCGAGUUGCCUUUUGGCAGAUUUUAUCAGUUGGUUGUUUUAUAACCUUUUCAUUGCAUUGAGUUAUGCUGUUGAGUUAAGUUUUCGCUGAGUUAAGAAAGCCAGGCCAAAGGUUCGCUUGGGGGCUAGCAAUGGUCUUCGAGUGCCGGUCCCGCCCAGGGUGUAGGCUCGGGGCGUGACAACCCUCAUCGUUUUGGACAUUAUUUAGAGUUUGAUUCAUUGUCUAUGUCACGCGUGUUUUGGGUGAAUUUCUAGUGGUGGAUCGGGUGUACCGAUCCUGUGAUUGGCCUCUUAGUAGGGUGACAUUCUUGGUAGAGUUUGUCAUCUUAGUUAUGAUAGAUUUGGUGUUGUUUGGGAUAGUUGAAGUAUACCAGUAGUUCUACAUGCACAUCCUUGCCUAUGAGAACUUAUACAAGAGCUACUAUGAAGAGUUACAAUUGUCUAAGAGUAUUGUUAGAGGUUCUACAUUUUGUAGUGUAUCGUUUGUUGGGUGGUUACUUGAUCUUUUCCUUCUUUGGGUUAGACAAAUUUGAUCCUCCCUUGAUGAGUACCCGAUAUCUAAAGAUCAUAGUUUUAUAACUUAAAUUCGUGAAAAGAAAAUUUUGAUAAGAUCUGUGAUGGUUUGUGCAUUAUGAGUGUAUGGUGGUUGGUUUAAGUUCGCUUCUAGUUGUAGCGGGUAUCAAUUCAAAAUAUUAUCUUGGUUAUGUUAGAAAAGAUUCGUCGUGAUGGUUGUGUUAAGGUCCAGUAGGUUUCAGUUUAGAUUUGAUUCAUGCGUUAGUUUGUGGCUUGAAAAAAAUCACUCUUGAUUUAUAGAUCUUCAAAAGUUUGAUUCGAAAGUUCAGUUCUUAGUAGUUGAUCUUGAUGGAAUGGUCUUAAGGAGGAGCUCACUUGGAGACAUGAACACCAAUUGGUAGGUCAUGACUCAAGCUUUUGGUAAUGCCAGUUAUUCUUCCUUCUUAUUCCUUAUGUUCGAGGACGAACAUGAUUUUUAGUGGUGGAUAAUGUAAUGACCCAGAAGGUCAUUUUUAGAAAUUUUGAAUAUUCGUUUAACUAGAGUUAAUUAAUUGAUAAUUAAUUAUUAAAUAUCUAGUUUUAGUUAAUGCUUAAUGGGUUUAAGUUUAUAGUUUGGUUAAUACCAUAUAGCACUUGACCCAUAUAGGAAAAUAAAUUAUUAGGGUUGAGAAUUUUGGUUCAUAAUUUAAGAAAAGAAAAGGAGUCAGACUUACCUGCGUAAAGCUGCUACCGACGAGAGAAUACUUCAUGUCCAGGUAAUAUGCAACCACGCCAAAUAUAUGCAAUUGUGUGUAUGGAAUGGAGUAUAUUAUUGUUAUUAUUAUAAUGAUGAACAACAUAAUCUUUUAUAGUGCAUUAAUGACUGCAAACUAUGAUUUGAAUUGGAAAAUCAAGGUCAUUUAUUGCGGGCUAAUGAGAAAAUAAUGUUUGACUGAUUAUUGGCUACAUAUAGUUGAAAUUGAGUUAUGUCUCGUGUGGAAGUGACAGGCGAGGAGUUGGGUUCCUUGGCUUAUGCGAUUCCAUCACUGGUUUCGUAACCAGUGGUUCUCAUAUUUAUUAAUUCUUAUUUUAUUAUCACAUAAUUAUUCAAGUUAUGAUAUAUUGAGACACUUAAUUAUAUAUUAAGUGUAUUACAUUAUAUGAAAGCUAUUAGGGUUGUAGUGUCACGCCCCGAGCCUACACCCUGGGUGGGACCGACACCCGGAGACCAUUGCUGGCCCCAAGCGAACCCUUGGCCUGGCCUUCUUAUCUCAGCGGAAACCUAACUCAACAGAAUAACUUCAUGCAAUGCAAAGUCAUAAGACAACUUAACUGAUACAAAUCUGGCCAAAAAGGCACCUCGAGUCUCAAAAUAGAAUAUUUACAUAUAUACAUAUAGAUGAGAGACUCAAAACUAACUGACUGACUAUCUAUGAAGCCUCUAAUACUGAGAUGGAUGUUGGGACAGACCCCGCAACACCCUAAUAAAACAAAACUAAGAACACAAAAUAAUUCAGUCCUCCGGAAUACAAGGAGGCUCACCACUGACUCUGGAGUGCUCCGCUGGAUCAACGACGUGCAGGAUGCUGAUCCGGGGUACCUAUAUCUGCAUCAUAAUAAGAUACAGGCCAACUGGCAUCAGUACAUGGAAUGUACGAGUAUGCGAGCUGGAAAACUAAGCAACAAAGUCUAGAAGGAAAACUGGAAGAAACUGAAUACCUUACCUGGCUCAACUCAACUCAACCUGACUGACUUCUUUCAAUAUAAGGCAAUUUAAAACAAGUGCAAUAUAAAGAAAGACUGCUUAAAACAUGCUAUAAACUCUGUGUGUAUACAAAGAUACAAUAAGCCUGAGCUGUAUAUAGAAAUACAAAUGAUCUGAUCUAUAUAAAAAUACAAUAAUCUCUAUGUAUGAAUAUACGAUAACUGCUGUGGGAGUUUCUCUAACCGACAACCAUCAUAUAAGAGCUAUAGUGAUGAUACAACGAUCGACCUCACGCUGCCAGAGCAUCUUAUACCCGGCCAAAGGUAUAAGACCUGAAAUGCCUAAUGGAUCCACUAGUCUAUCUGGAAAGGAUUCAUCUAAAAAGUAUGAUCCUUUUCUACCCAUGGUGGCUAACAUGGUUCUAUGGGGGCUGUGGGUUCUUUGAACGCUCCCCCAAUUCGGUGCUCGAUACUACUCCCAAAAAUGUACUGGCUCUUAUGUUUUUAAAGCAUAUGUUUGUCCUGCUGAUUGAGAUAAUUACUCAAAAACUAGCCCUAAGGCUCUUUGGAAAUCUCAGUUUCCAACCUUGUUUAAAUGUAAAAACAUUUCUUUAAACUUUCUUUGGGAAUACAUAGUUCCCUAAUAACUUUGAGAAAUGAACUCAACUUUAUGCUCUUGAUUUAACUGACAACUCGAUACCCUUUACUCGACUUGAAACUCUAUGCUCUUUACUCUUUACUUAAUUUGAAACUCUUAGCUUGACUUGAAACUCUUGACUUAACUUGACUUGUAACUAGAGCCUUAAAAUGAAGUUAAAACAUUCAACAAAGACUCUUGAAAAGCUUUAGAAACUUGCUUUGACUUCCUUCUUAAACUUCUAGACUCAAACUCUUAACUUCACUUGACUUGGAAACUAACUCUCCUUGAAUUGGAAUUAUGAAUUCAAGGUGUUUGAUCACAUGUUACGGAUGAGUUCUUGACGUUUAAACGUACCUUGGGGUGUUGCAAAACAACUAGGAAACAUAGGUACAAUACCUAGGAACAUAUAUGAGAAAGUGGGGAAAGAAUGAGAAGACUUGGCGCUUUUGGCGCUCUUAGAGGCGCGGCGCACCAGACCUCAAACUUCAGAGAGGUCUGGUUGGGGCUCUGGUAUGGGUGGCGCCCCAGGGGCUAGACCUUAGAGUCCCUCUUGGGGCGCGCUGGCUGGCGCGACGCCCCAGCCUUUUUCCCCGAAAACUUGACUUUUCUCCUUCCUUUUCCAACUCUAAACCUCCCUUACCUUCAAUGGUUUCAACCCCCAAACACUAAGGAUCAUAAAAACCCUCAACAAACACUAGAUUCAACUCAAAAACACAACCAAAUCAUGUCCCACAACCAACAAUAACUUCAACAACACAAUCAACAACAUCAACAACACAACCCAACAACUUCAACAACAUAUCAAAUCUUUCUCAAUAAUGAAAAUGAGCUUGGUGUGUGGGGAAAGGAUCAACCCACACUAAAUACUCACAUACCUUGAUAGGGAUCAACCCCGACGAAAAUCCACGACGGAAAUUUGUUGAUCUCCUUUUUCUCCUCUUCUUCUUCUCUUCUUCACUCUCAAGAACCCUAACUCUUUCUCUUUUAAAAUGGGAUAAAAAUGAUCCAAAAUAAGCCUAACACACAAUAUAACCUCAAAAUAAAUGGCUAGGGAAAAGACCAAGAUGCCCUUAAAAUUUCCGGACGGAUUCCCUGCCAACUGCCUAACUUUCAAUGGCCAUAACUCGCUCAUACGAACUCAUAAUCGAGCAAACUCGGUGGUGUUGGAAAGAUCAUUCCACAAGAUUCGCAACCAUAACUGGAACUACUCCUAAAUCAUCCUGAGCUAGGAGUUACGACUGCUCAAACUUGUCCAAAAAAAUCACUGAUUUCCACACUUAGCCAAAUUUUCCAGAUUUUUGAAUUUUUUCCAAAAAUGACUAUUUCCAAUUUCAAACUUUUCCUAGCUAUUUCAAAUUGUCGGAUGUUACAAUAUCUCCCCCUUGUGAACAUUCGUCCUCCAAUGAGGUUACUCUUACAAGGCUAAAGGUGUAACAUCAAACUCAAACACCCAACAAGAAAUCAUACAAAAGCAACAACAACAACAUGCUCAUUAUAAUUAAAAGAGCACUAAAAAGGAAAUUAAUAUCUUAAUCUGCAUUUCCUCCGGAUUCAAAGAGAUGUAGAUAUCUCUUCUUCAUGUCCUCUUCGGCUUCCCAAGUAGCUUCCUCAACAAAUUGGUUCCUCCAAAGGACCUUGACUGAGGCUACAUCUUUCGUUCUCAAUCUACGAACUUGACGAUCUAAAAUCUGAACAGGAACCUCCUCAUAAGAUAAGUUAUCCUUGAUCCUAAUACUUUCAGUUGGUAGGAUCAAUGAAGGAUCGCCUAUGCACUUCUUCAACAUGGAGAUGUGAAAUACUGGAUGAACCGCUUCUAGUUCCUGCGGCAACUCCAACUCAUAUGCAACAUUGCCAAUCCUCUUGGCUAUGUGGUAAGGUCCAACAUACCGGGGACUAAGUUUCCCCUUCUUACCAAACCUCAUAACCCCCUUCAUGGGUGAAACUUUCAAAUAUACCCAAUCGUCUACUUCAAACUCUAACGCCCUUCUCCUAACAUCGGUGUAGGAUUUUUCGGCGAAUCUGUGCCGUCUUCAACCUUUCUUGAAUCACCUUCACCUUCUCCAUAGCUUGGUGAACUAAAUAUGGUCCUAUCAACCCUGCUUCGCCAACUUCUAACCAUUCAAUAGGAAAUCUACAUAUUCUCGUGCCAACUACGCAACUUCCAAAGGGCAUAGCUCACGCAUACGAACUCGGAAUCGAGCAAACUCAGUGGCGUUGGAAAGAUCGUUUUUGAAAUCGAUCACACAAGCCCUCAACAUAUCUUCUAAAGUCUGAAUAGUGUGCUCUGCUUGCCCAUCCGUCUGAGGAUGAAAGGCAGUACUCAAGUUCACCUUGGAACCCAAGCCUUUCUGAAAAGAUUUCCAGAACUGUGCAGUGAACUGUGCACCUCUAUCUGAAAUAAUGGAGAUUGGAACUCCAUGAAGUCUCACCACCUCUUGAAUAUAUAACUUGGCAUAAUCUUCUGAUGUAUUAGUAGUCUUUACCGGUAGAAAAUGAGUUGACUUUGUCAUUCCGUCAACAAUCACCCAAAUGGAAUCAUGUUGUCUGCGAGACCUUGGCAACCCCAUGAUGAAAUCCAUAUUGAUCAUCUCCCACUUCCACUCUGGAAGUUCUAUCCUCUGAGCCAAACCACCGGGUCAUUGGUGUUCAACUUUCACCUGUUGGCAAUUUGGACAUUUAGCAACAAACUCUGCAAUGCCCUUCUUUAUGCAAUUCCACCAAUAAACUUCUCUCAAGUCACNNNNNNNNNNNNNNNNNNNNNNNNNNNNNNNNNNNNNNNNNNNNNNNNNNNNNNNNNNNNNNNNNNNNNNNNNNNNNNNNNNNNNNNNNNNNNNNNNNNNNNNNNNNNNNNNNNNNNNNNNNNNNNNNNNNNNNNNNNNNNNNNNNNNNNNNNNNNNNNNNNNNNNNNNNNNNNNNNNNNNNNNNNNNNNNNNNNNNNNNNNNNNNNNNNNNNNNNNNNNNNNNNNNNNNNNNNNNNNNNNNNNNNNNNNNNNNNNNNNNNNNNNNNNNNNNNNNNNNNNNNNNNNNNNNNNNNNNNNNNNNNNNNNNNNNNNNNNNNNNNNNNNNNNNNNNNNNNNNNNNNNNNNNNNNNNNNNNNNNNNNNNNNNNNNNNNNNNNNNNNNNNNNNNNNNNNNNNNNNNNNNNNNNNNNNNNNNNNNNNNNNNNNNNNNNNNNNNNNNNNNNNNNNNNNNNNNNNNNNNNNNNNNNNNNNNNNNNNNNNNNNNNNNNNNNNNNNNNNNNNNNNNNNNNNNNNNNNNNNNNNNNNNNNNNNNNNNNNNNNNNNNNNNNNNNNNNNNNNNNNNNNNNNNNNNNNNNNNNNNNNNNNNNNNNNNNNNNNNNNNNNNNNNNNNNNNNNNNNNNNNNNNNNNNNNNNNNNNNNNNNNNNNNNNNNNNNNNNNNNNNNNNNNNNNNNNNNNNNNNNNNNNNNNNNNNNNNNNNNNNNNNNNNNNNNNNNNNNNNNNNNNNNNNNNNNNNNNNNNNNNNNNNNNNNNNNNNNNNNNNNNNNNNNNNNNNNNNNNNNNNNNNNNNNNNNNNNNNNNNNNNNNNNNNNNNNNNNNNNNNNNNNNNNNNNNNNNNNNNNNNNNNNNNNNNNNNNNNNNNNNNNNNNNNNNNNNNNNNNNNNNNNNNNNNNNNNNNNNNNNNNNNNNNNNNNNNNNNNNNNNNNNNNNNNNNNNNNNNNNNNNNNNNNNNNNNNNNNNNNNNNNNNNNNNNNNNNNNNNNNNNNNNNNNNNNNNNNNNNNNNNNNNNNNNNNNNNNNNNNNNNNNNNNNNNNNNNNNNNNNNNNNNNNNNNNNNNNNNNNNNNNNNNNNNNNNNNNNNNNNNNNNNNNNNNNNNNNNNNNNNNNNNNNNNNNNNNNNNNNNNNNNNNNNNNNNNNNNNNNNNNNNNNNNNNNNNNNNNNNNNNNNNNNNNNNNNNNNNNNNNNNNNNNNNNNNNNNNNNNNNNNNNNNNNNNNNNNNNNNNNNNNNNNNNNNNNNNNNNNNNNNNNNNNNNNNNNNNNNNNNNNNNNNNNNNNNNNNNNNNNNNNNNNNNNNNNNNNNNNNNNNNNNNNNNNNNNNNNNNNNNNNNNNNNNNNNNNNNNNNNNNNNNNNNNNNNNNNNNNNNNNNNNNNNNNNNNNNNNNNNNNNNNNNNNNNNNNNNNNNNNNNNNNNNNNNNNNNNNNNNNNNNNNNNNNNNNNNNNNNNNNNNNNNNNNNNNNNNNNNNNNNNNNNNNNNNNNNNNNNNNNNNNNNNNNNNNNNNNNNNNNNNNNNNNNNNNNNNNNNNNNNNNNNNNNNNNNNNNNNNNNNNNNNNNNNNNNNNNNNNNNNNNNNNNNNNNNNNNNNNNNNNNNNNNNNNNNNNNNNNNNNNNNNNNNNNNNNNNNNNNNNNNNNNNNNNNNNNNNNNNNNNNNNNNNNNNNNNNNNNNNNNNNNNNNNNNNNNNNNNNNNNNNNNNNNNNNNNNNNNNNNNNNNNNNNNNNNNNNNNNNNNNNNNNNNNNNNNNNNNNNNNNNNNNNNNNNNNNNNNNNNNNNNNNNNNNNNNNNNNNNNNNNNNNNNNNNNNNNNNNNNNNNNNNNNNNNNNNNNNNNNNNNNNNNNNNNNNNNNNNNNNNNNNNNNNNNNNNNNNNNNNNNNNNNNNNNNNNNNNNNNNNNNNNNNNNNNNNNNNNNNNNNNNNNNNNNNNNNNNNNNNNNNNNNNNNNNNNNNNNNNNNNNNNNNNNNNNNNNNNNNNNNNNNNNNNNNNNNNNNNNNNNNNNNNNNNNNNNNNNNNNNNNNNNNNNNNNNNNNNNNNNNNNNNNNNNNNNNNNNNNNNNNNNNNNNNNNNNNNNNNNNNNNNNNNNNNNNNNNNNNNNNNNNNNNNNNNNNNNNNNNNNNNNNNNNNNNNNNNNNNNNNNNNNNNNNNNNNNNNNNNNNNNNNNNNNNNNNNNNNNNNNNNNNNNNNNNNNNNNNNNNNNNNNNNNNNNNNNNNNNNNNNNNNNNNNNNNNNNNNNNNNNNNNNNNNNNNNNNNNNNNNNNNNNNNNNNNNNNNNNNNNNNNNNNNNNNNNNNNNNNNNNNNNNNNNNNNNNNNNNNNNNNNNNNNNNNNNNNNNNNNNNNNNNNNNNNNNNNNNNNNNNNNNNNNNNNNNNNNNNNNNNNNNNNNNNNNNNNNNNNNNNNNNNNNNNNNNNNNNNNNNNNNNNNNNNNNNNNNNNNNNNNNNNNNNNNNNNNNNNNNNNNNNNNNNNNNNNNNNNNNNNNNNNNNNNNNNNNNNNNNNNNNNNNNNNNNNNNNNNNNNNNNNNNNNNNNNNNNNNNNNNNNNNNNNNNNNNNNNNNNNNNNNNNNNNNNNUGAUGACUCGGCCCUGUUCGUCACCGCUAUUCCUCCUUCUGCGGAAUCUGUAAAUCUGACUCCCAGGCAUGCCAGUCCGUGCACAUCUUUUGCUAACUCUCUCUUCUCUUCUCUAAUAUGUGCGGUGCUACCCAUAGACAACCUGCUCAAUGAACCAGCAACAACUUUAGCCUUACCUGGGUGGUAAAGAAUACUCAGGUCAUAAUCCUUGAGUAGCUCUAACCACCUCCUCUGUCUGAGAUUAAGCUCUUUCUGAGUAAGCACAUAUUGAAGGCUCUUGUGAUCAGUGAAUAUGUCAACAUGUACACCAUACAAGUAAUGACACCAUAUCUUCAAAGCGAACACUACUGCCGCUAACUCUAAGUCAUGGGUUGGGUAGUUCUUCUCAUGGACCUUCAACUGUCUGGAGGCAUAAGCUAUAACCUUGCCACUCUGCAUUAAGAAUCAACCCAAACCAACUCUAGAUGCAUCACAAUACACCACAAAACCUUGAGUACAUUCUGGUAGCGUCAAAACUGGAGCUGUAAUCAAUCUCUUUUUCAAUUCCUGAAAGCUCUCCUCACAUGCUUCAGACCACUGAAAUUUCACUGCCUUCUGAGUCAACUUUGUCAAAGGAGAUGCAAUAGAUAAGAACACCUCAACAAACCUUCUAUAAUAACCAGCUAAUCCCAAGAAACUCCUAAUUUCAGUUUGGAGAUGUGGGUCUAGGCCAAUUCUGCACUGCCUCAAUUUUCCGAGUAUUAACUUUAAUUCUGUCACCGGACACAAUGUGGCCUAGGAAUGCCACAGACUUAAGCCAAAAACUCACACUUAGAGAACUUGGCAUAUAACUCCUUAUCUUUCAAAGUCUGAAGAACUGUUUUGAGAUGACUAGCAUGAUCUUCUUCUAUUCCUUAGAAUAGACUAGUAUGUCAUCAAUGAAGACUAUAACAAACGUAUCUAAGUAAGGUUUGAAGACUCGAUUCAUCAAGUCCUUGAAAGCUGCCGGUGCAUUGGUCAACCCAAAGGACAUAACUAAAAACUCAUAAUGACCNNNNNNNNNNNNNNNNNNNNNNNNNNNNNNNNNNNNNNNNNNNNNNNNNNNNNNNNNNNNNNNNNNNNNNNNNNNNNNNNNNNNNNNNNNNNNNNNNNNNNNNNNNNNNNNNNNNNNNNNNNNNNNNNNNNNNNNNNNNNNNNNNNNNNNNNNNNNNNNNNNNNNNNNNNNNNNNNNNNNNNNNNNNNNNNNNNNNNNNNNNNNNNNNNNNNNNNNNNNNNNNNNNNNNNNNNNNNNNNNNNNNNNNNNNNNNNNNNNNNNNNNNNNNNNNNNNNNNNNNNNNNNNNNNNNNNNNNNNNNNNNNNNNNNNNNNNNNNNNNNNNNNNNNNNNNNNNNNNNNNNNNNNNNNNNNNNNNNNNNNNNNNNNNNNNNNNNNNNNNNNNNNNNNNNNNNNNNNNNNNNNNNNNNNNNNNNNNNNNNNNNNNNNNNNNNNNNNNNNNNNNNNNNNNNNNNNNNNNNNNNNNNNNNNNNNNNNNNNNNNNNNNNNNNNNNNNNNNNNNNNNNNNNNNNNGGUAUCUCAGCACUAGAGUCAUUAACUCGGACUAAGUGAUAGAUACAACCCUUUGAAACUAACUUUCUUGCCUUAAGGUACGAAAUAAAACGACCCUUAGGCACUGCGGAACUGCUACUCCAUUCUAUGACUGACUCAUUCGGAAACUGAAACUUGACUGCUCGAGUUCUACAAUCUAUCGAUACAUAACAAGCAUGAAGCCAAUCCAUACCUAGAAUGACUUCGAAAUUUACCAUGUCUAACUCAACCCAAUCAGCCAUGGUGCUCUUGUGAUUGAUAGAUACAGGACAAUCACGAUAAACUCUUUCUGCUAGAAUAGACUCCCCAACAGGUGUAGAAACACAAAAGGGUUCACAAAGUCUUUCAGGUUGAACCUCAAACUUAUUUGCAACAUAAGGAGUUACAAAAGAUAAACUUGCUCCUGGGUCUAGCAAAGCAUACACAUCAAAAGCAAAGACUUUGAUCAUACCAGUGACAACACUUCGGAGAAUUCUCUUGCUCAUGGCGACUGGUGAUAGAAUAAAGGCGGUUUGCUCCUCCACCAGUACUAGAAGUAGCUACUCUAGGUGUCGUCCUGUCUGGUGGAACAACUGAAGAAGACUGUGCUUUAUUGCCCCCAUUAUCCUACCUAUUCUUUGGACACUCUCGCAUGAAAUGUCCAUUCUGACCACACCUGAAACAACCAAUGGAGCCCUCUAGACAAAUACCUGAGUGGUUCCUACCACACUUGGCGUAGGCAGGAGGCUUACUACUCCCUUGCGCCACACUACCCGAAGAUUGUGCUGGUCUAGCCCUGAAGUCCUUCGAAUUCUGGAUAUUAAAUUCACCUUUGUAUCUGGGUGUAGGUGCUCUAGCAAAUGAUGGAGCAGGUCCCUUUUUCCUUUGCUGAAAGGAGGAACGACUUGAAUUGCCUUUCUGCUGCCCGGACUCAUUACCGGACUUUGCUCUCUUAUUUCUGAACUCUUCUCUGUCCCUCAACUUCUCUUCCUCAACCUGCUGUACAUAGAUCAUUAAUCUAGAUAUGUCUAUGUCCCCGAUAAGCAUUGCAGCCCUACCUUCAUUACUUGACAGCUGAGACAGCCCAUCAACAAACAAACUCAUUCUAUUCCUCAUGUCCGCAACCAUCUCCGGAGCAUAGCGGGAUAGUUGGGUGAACUUCAGACUGUACUCUAGAACACUCAAAGACUCUUGCUUAAGUGUGAGGAACUCACGUACCUUGGCCUCUCUCAAUUCUCGAGGAAAGAAAUUCCCCAAGAAAGCUUCCUCAAAAUAGGCCCAACUCACAGGUGGUGCAUUCUCAGCUCUGCCCCCUUUCCACUGAUCGAACCAAGUUCAAGCAAUAUCUUUCAGUUGAUACGCAGCUAGUUCAACCCGCUCAGUGUCUGCCACAUGCAUCACAUCAAAAAUCUUCUUCAACUCCUCAAUAAAGUUCUCUGGAUCCUCAGUAGUACUCGAACCCAUGAAACUCGGAGGAUUCAUCCCCAAGAAUUCACGAAUUCUAGAAGUGUCAGCUCAUUCAUGUCGAGCUCCCUUUUGCUGACCAAUCUGAUUUGUUACAACUUGACUCAGAAUUCUAAUUGCCUCUCUGAACUCGGCAUUAGAAAACUUCCCAUUGAUCUUGCACUCCCGGUGCAUAGGGUAACUCUUGCUCAUCAACAUAACGUCUAGGAAGACGCCCUCUACCAACUCUUCGUAGAGGCAUGACUGUCUGAAAAACGCGCAAGCACAGAUUAGAAAGAAACUCUUUAGAGAUAAACUCUAACGCACAAGAUGAGUGUGAAAGAAAUGAGAAAUCUUCCUAAAUGUUGUAGCCUCCCAAUUAUAGAUGUGGCGCGCUUCACACUGAUAACUAGGACUCUACAGACACGGCUUCAUAGACUCCCUAGGACUCUUGAACUCUGGCCUCUGAUACCAAGUUUGUCAGGCGCCGAGCCUACACCCUGGGCGGGACUGGCACCCGGAGACCAUUGCUGGCCCCAAGCGAACCCUUGGCCUGGCCUUCUUAACUCAGCGGAAACCUAACUCAGCAGAAUAACUUCAUGCAAUGCAAAAUCAUAAAACAACUUAACUGAUACAAAUCUAGCCAAAAAGGCACUUCGAGUCUCAAAAUAGAAUAUUUACAUAUAUACAUAUAGAUGAGAGACUCAAAACUAACUGACUGACUGUCUAUGAAGCCUCUAAUACUGAGAUGGAUAUUGGGACAGACCCCGCAACACCCUAUUAAAACAAAACUAAGAACACAAAAUAAUUCAGUCCUCCGGAAUACAAGGAGGCUCACCACUGACUCUGGAGUGCUCCGCUGGAUCAACGACGUGCAGGAUGCUGAUUCGGGGUACCUAUAUAUGCAUCAUUAUAAGAUACAGGCCAACUGGCAUCAGUACAUGGAAUGUACGAGUAUGCGAGCUGGAAAGCUAAACCACAACUUAAGCUUGAAAAGAGUACAAGAGAACACUUACCUUGGCUCUGUUCAACUCAUAAAUAACUAAACAUGCAAUAUAUAUAUAUAAAGCUUGUAAAACUAUUCAAAACAUGACGUAAAAAUCAUAUUUAUAAUAUCAUGAAAAUACCAUGCUUCCUCUCAAGGUCUACUUGUGCAAUGUAUGAAUGAAGUCCCAUACCCCCAUCCAUACUAAGCAGAACCCUCGAGGAACCAUGCUCUUUCUACUGUGGGAGCUUCUCUAACCGACAAACCACCACUAUGAAUCUGAGUGGUGAUACAACGUUUUACCUCACGUUGCCCGAGGACCAUCCUAUACCUUGCCGUGAUAUAGGAAACUAACUUUACUAAGUGGAUCCACUAGCUUAACUUUACGGGUUCAUCUAAAAAGUAUGACCCGUUAACUCCCAUGUUGGCUACAUGGUUCUUAUGGAGAGUUGAGUUUAAUAUGAACUCGCGUCUCCAAAUCGGUGCUCGAUACUACUCCCAAAAUACUUUAGCUCAUAAGUGUUUUAAACACAACUUUCUUUANNNNNNNNNNNNNNNNNNNNNNNNNNNNNNNNNNNNNNNNNNNNNNNNNNNNNNNNNNNNNNNNNNNNNNNGCUCUUUUGGAAUCAUAGUUCCUUUCUUACUCAAAUGUAAAAACAUUUAGAAACUUCUUUGGGAAUACAUAGUUCCCUAAUAACUUUGAGAAAUGAACUCAACUUUAUGCUCUAGACUUAACUGACAACUCGAUACCCUUUACUCGACUUGAAACUCUAUCCCCUUUACUCUUUACUUAACUUGAAACUCUUAGCUUGACUUGAAACUCUUGACUUAACUUGACUUGUAACUAGAGCCUUAAAAUGAAGUUAAAACAUUCAACAAAGACUCUUGAAAAGCUUUAGAAACUUGCUUUGACUUCCUUCUUGAACUUCUAGACUCAACUCUUAACUUCACUUGACUUGGAAACUAACUCUCCUGAAUUGGAAUUAUGAAUUCAAGGUGUUUGAUCACAUGUUACAGAUGAGUUCUUGACGUUUAAACGUACCUUGGGGUGUUGGAAACAACUAGGAAACAUAGGUACAAUACCUAGGAACAUAUAUGAGAAAGUGGGGAAAGAAUGAGAAGACUUGGCGCUCUUGGCGCUCUGAGAAGCGCGGCGCGCCAGACCUCAAACUUCAGAGAGGUCUGGUUGGGGCUCUGGUAGGGGCUGGACCUCAGAGUCCCUCUUGGGGCGUGCUGGUUGGCGCGACGCCCCAGGCCUUUUCCCCGAAAACUUGACUUUUCUCCUUCCUUUUCCAUCUCUAAACCUCCCUUACCUUCAAUGGUUUUAACCCCCAAACACUAAGUAUCAUAAAAACCCUCAACACACACUAGAUUCAACUAAAAAACACAACCAAAUCAUGUCCCACAACCAACAAUAACUUCAACAACACAAUCAACAACAUCAACAACACAACCCAACAACUUCAACAACAUAUCCAAUCUUUCUCAAUAAUGAAAAUGAGCUUGGUGUGUGGGGCAAGGAUCAACCCACACUAAAUACUCACAUACCUUGAUAGGGAUCACCCCCGACGAAAAUCCACGACGGAAACUUGUUGAUCUCCUCUUUCUCCUCUUCUUCUUCUCUUUUUCACUCUCAAGAACCCUAACUCUUUCUCUUUUAAAAUGGGAUAAAAAUGAUCCAAAAUCAGCCUAACACACAAUAUAACCUCAGAAGAAAUGGCUUGGGAAAAGACCAAAAUGCCCUUAAAAUUUCCGGACGGAUUCCCUGCCAACUGCCCAACUUUCAAUGGCCAUAACUCGCUCAUACAAACUCGGAAUCGAGAAAACUUGGUGGCCUUGGAAAGAUCAUUCCACAAGCUUCGCAACCAUAACUGUAACUACUCCUAAAUCAUCCUGAUCUAGGAUUUACGGUUUCUCAAAGUUGGCCAAAAAAAUCACUAAUUUCCACAUUUAGCCAAAUUUUCCAGAUUUUUGAAUUUUUUCCAAAAAUGACUAUUUCCAAUUUCAAACUUUUCCUAGCUAUUUCAAAUUGUCGGAUAUUACAUGUAGUGUUUGGAGAAAUUAUGACUUAAUCCUAGGCUUGAAAUUCGGAAAACAUGAGAGUUGACAUGUUAAUUGGCACCGAGAUUAGGAACUUGAUUAUAAAUUGAGUGAGUGUUUGGGUCUAGGCUAGACCUAUAGUAAUUUGAGUGUGGUUAGUUUCGAAAUCUUAUUGUGAUUAAUAAUGUGAGUAGAUUGCUUUGAGUUGGAAGUUCAACGAAAGGGAAGACUCAAGUCUCGGAGUGAUUGUUCGACUAUUUGAGGCAAGUGGAUUUCUAAACUCUUGUUAAGUGUAUGGAAUUCGUGUAUUUCCUUGUAAUAUGUGUUUCGGGGGUAACGAGACUUGGUGAUGGGUUGACUUGUCCACAUUGAUUAAUUCUAAUGAUGAAAAGUUCAACGAAAGGGAAGACUCAAGUCUCGGAGUAAUUGUUCGACUAUUUGAGGCAAGUGGAUUUCAAAACUCUUGUUAAGUGUAUGAANNNNNNNNNNNNNNNNNNNNNNNNNNNNNNNNNNNNNNNNNNNNNNNNNNNNNNNNNNNNNNNNNNNNNNNNNNNNNNNNNNNNNNNNNNNNNNNNNNNNNNNNNNNNNNNNNNNNNNNNNNNNNNNNNNNNNNNNNAAAAGGCAAUAUGAUCAAUUGUUUGUGUGAUGUGUUGAGAAUUGUUUGAAAGGCUUGUUGAAUCUUUGUUGAUGUUGUAUCAUGAUUGUGUUGUUGUGAAUUGUGCAAUGUUAUGAAAAUGGUCAUCUCCUCAUUAUUUGUGUGAACAUGUCAUUUGCAUUGUUCUGAGACAUGGUUGUGACAAGUGUUAUGUGAAUUGAGAAAGAAUAAGAAAUGAAAGAGGACGUACCAUUUCGAGGGAUGUAUCACGCGUCGCAAUGGAUACUAUAUUUCGAGGGACGUAUCGUGCGCCGCGAUGAAUACUAUAUUUCGAGGGUCGUAUCGCGCGCUGCGAUGGUUACUAUUAUCGAGGGUCGUAUCACGCUCCGCGAUGGAUGCAUGGACAGAUAUGUCCCCCAUGGGUCCCGAAUUGAGAGACAAUGGGUGUGUAUCACUAGGUCAGACAUGCAUCAUUAUACUUGACAUUGCAUUCCAUUGCAUUGCACAUACUUAUCAUUAGUGAACUUGAUAUUGUGUUUUGCUAAUCUUGUGAGUGCCUCUCUGUGGAACUUUGUGAGUGCCUUUCUGUAGAAUUUGAUUGAUGAAUAUUGAGGAUAUGUAAUUGUUAGAGUGUUGUGGUUGAGCUGUGUGCUAUGUGAAUUAUGAGCUGUUAGGUUGGACUGGUUUUAAGCAGGUUGUAGUUGUGGAGGUUGUAAUUGAUGAAUCCUGAGCUUGUUGUGUAGAAUAUGUGAUUGUUAGAAUGUUGUUGUUGAGAUAUGUGCUUGUAAAUUGUGAAUUGUUAGGUUGGGCUGGUUUUAUGCAGGUUGUAGUUAUGAAGGUUCGGUUGGGGUGUAAGGAGUACCCGUAUUCUAUCCCCUUAGCUUGUGUUUAGAGGUUUACUUGCUGAGUAUCGUGUGGUUUGGUACUCAUCCCUUGCUACUACAUUUUUUUGUAGGUUAUUAGCCCGGACCUUUGUGAUAUUUUCUCUUCUCCUUGUCUGAGGCUUCUUGUGGAGGUUUGUGAGGUAGCUGCUUGUCAUUUUCAGCGGACUUUUCUUUCUCCUUAAUUAUGAUCUUGUUCUAUUCUAGAAACAGGGUCAUUUGAGACUUGUGUUUUUCUUUUGAAUAAAUUGUAUUACUUUAGAGGCAUGUACACGUGACAACCAGAUGUUGGGGGUAUUUUUGAGUUGAUUAUAAAAUUUCCGCAUUUUAUUGUAAUGGUUGAGUUUUAGGCUGACUUGUCUUGAUGGGAUAAGACGAGUGCCAUCACGUCCAUUUUUGGGUCGUGACAAUAUGCCUCUAUAUAUUUUAAUAGGCGUUAACAUUGCCAUGUAAAACAUACCAAUAGUAUUGUUACGAAAAUAUGUAAAACUAGUAAUUGCUAGAGAAGUAACCAGCUUAAUCACUACUAAUUCCAUUCCUUUUUAGUUGUCAUAGUUUUCUUUUUAAGACUCAAACGAUAUAGAUUUUGACUAAUAUUUUAAGUUGUAUUUUUUCAUCAUAUUGAUAUAAAAAAAAUUACAAUUUAUAGUACUUUCGGCAUAUUUUUUGAAUAUCUAAAAUUUUAUUUUAAAUAUUGAAUGAAUAUAAUCUAAUUUAGCUAUGAAAAUUAGUCAAAUUAACUCUCAAAAAGCAUAACAUGACAAAAAAAAACGAAGAAAGUAUUAAUUUGGAGCAUGUAAAAGUAUUAGUAGACAUACCGAUGACGUUCCUUUUUCCAUUUAAUCUCUAACCUCGAACCAGCCUUCAAUUUCUAGAGAUUUGAUGUUUCAACUAAUCACAUGCACAUUUAAUAAGGAUAAAAAUUAGAAAUGCAAGUAAAAAGAACGGCAACAAGCAAAAAUUGUGAAUGUAAACUAUUAAAUUUAUAGGUUUUGAAUUAAUAAAAUGAUAUAUAUGUAAAUAAUAAUUCAGGAUAAAUACAUGAUAUUUUUUUUAGAGAAAAUGUUCUCUAAAAUUUUUGACCAACCAAAAUGAGAAAAUUGAAAAAACAGUUUAGAGAGGGAAGAGAAGAGGGUCGGAGACUAAUCUUGAUGCUAGGAUAUAAACUCUUUCAACUACUAUAUAUUGAUGCUUAAUUAUCGACAAUUGUGCUCUAUCGGUGAAAAUCUCCUACUUCACAGCAGGAGAUCAUAUCGGGUAAGAAAGUAGGCUCACUAUAUCCAUUAUACUCUUACUAAAGUACAUUUGAUCUUUCUUUGUCUCGAACCCAUACCCCUAUAAUAAUGGUAGAGUCAGGGGUAGCCCCAAAUUAAGCGAAAUUGACCGGUAGUGCUUGGUCGAAGCUCCAGUAGGUAGCCCACUUGCUAGGAUGAUAAACUCAUAAACAUGCUCUCGCCUUCAACCUUAAGAUUGUAAGCAAAGAUGGUAGAAACUCCUACAUAUCAUUCUAUAUAUCCAACAUAUACAUUCUAUAAUUAUCAAGUCAAAAAUAUAAACCAUUUUUCUGUUUCUUAUGUAUGUAUGUAAUCCACAAAUAAAUACAAAAAGGGGAUAUUACUCUCUCUGCCUUUGUAUUCAAAUAUUACAUGUAAAAAAAUGAAAUAGAAAAAAAAAUAGUUUACCUUUUUCUUUACUUCCAAGCUGUUAAAACCAUGAAAAUUAACAAGGAAAUGAUGAAUGUGAUAUAUUAUGAGAGAGCUCACAAUAAAACUUAAAUGCUAAUUAAGGCUACCUUGAAUUUAUAUGACUAUAUAGCCAUACAUACAAUAAGAGAAAAAUGACAAAAGGUUAAGUUGGUCAAUAGCUCACAAUACCAUGUUCUUACAAUUUUAUAUUUAUAUUAAUUUUUUUGAAACAGUCAACUUUUUUUCUAUUUAGUUUAAUUGAUAAUAAGAAUUAAUUUCUUCAAAAAAUAGACUUACUAAUAGUUAGUUCUAUCAAGAAUUUUUAGAUAACAAUUGUUCACAUUCCUAAAAAUCUCUCUUUUUUAUGGGUUUUUCACCCGGUGUCCGGAGUCUAUAUUGGAGCAUUGCGCAACACUGCAAAAGCUCAUUUGGGUUUGACGCUCCCAACAAAAUCUUCUUUAUUUCGAACUCUCUGUUUAAGGUGAAACAGCCCCAUAUUCCUAAAAAUCUCUCCAUUAUUAGUCAACUAAACAGACAAUGGAUCUGCCAAUAAAAUAAAGGACCCAUUUGGUAAUAAAAAUUAUUUAUUUAUUUUAUUUAAAUGUUAGUGUAAAUCUACGAUGAAAUGCAUCCUAAAUUAAUCCGGGAAAUGUCAACUGAUAAUGCUUAUUCUGCUAUUCACUUGCAAAUAUAUUUAUGGAGACUGUCAGCUAUCAUUUCGAUUUUCGAGUAGAAAGAUUUGGUUUUAAUUAAUUAUCAAAGUAAUUAUAAACUUAAAUUAAUCAAUUUUAGAUCUAGACUUUGAUUAGACUAAUUGAAAGUUCACGUUAAGGCUGCAAACAUAAAUCAAACAUUACAUAUUCUACAACAAGUACUAUUGGGUCAUUUGCACUUUUAUCCUUGUUUUAUGGUGCUCUUUAAUUUUUGCUUAGUGGAGUUAUCGUAUCGUAAAGAUGGUUAGACGAAUAUUAUUCAUUGAUCUCAAAUUUCAUAUCCUAACAGUUAAUUGAAAUCAUAACUUCAUAUAACUUAGCUUAAUAGCUUCCGCUUAUCUAAGUUAACAUGAUAUGAAAGCGCAUAUACGAAUCUGCACUAAUUGAAGAAUUGAUCGUAGUAGCUUAAGGACAUAAAUCUAGUCUAGGUAACAUAAGAGCAUAAAUUGAUCAUAAUCAUCCACUUUAUCUUCAACCUAAUGAUACUCCACGUAGUUCUCUCAUCCCUCUUCAGUUAAUUGGAUCUGAGAAUUAUGACCAUUUUUUCUAACAGAAUUUAGUGGUAUUUAAAACUACGGUGUCAUCGAACCACUCAAUUGCAGUAAAGUACAUUUAGAAUACUAGAAUUUAGUAGUAGAAGAAGAAGUCGAGAAAAUCGUUGUUGAGUAAAAAGUUAUGAUCAUUUAGGAAAGGUUACAACCCUUUAUAGAAGUCGAAAGUCAAAACCCUUCUUAAAAAUAACAAAUCUUCACAAAUCACACCUUAUGGAAAAAUCACAAAUCUUCACAAAAAUAAAUGAUAGUGUGAACAUGUGUUUAUAGUGCCUUAUCGGAAAGUCACACAACCCUUUAGAAAAGUGAAAAGUCAUAACCCUUCGUAAAAAUCACACCUUACGGAAAAAUCACAAAUCUUCACAAAAAUCACAACCCUUCAAGUUAACAAAAAAACUAGAAUCUUAUAUCAGAGAUUAGAGACGAAAUAAGAUUCAUAACUAACAAAAAAACAUGAAAGAAAACUCUCAAAACAUUAAUUUUGAGCAUCUCCAGAACCACGCAGAUGAACUGAGACUGCAAAUGCAUGUGUUGUUUCUUUCAUCAUUGUUGUUCUAUCCUUGUGUCCUUUGGGCAUUCUGCAAGUUAUAUAUAGUAUGAUUUUAAUUAAAUGAAGUAUAUAUGUAUGUAGGGGUAAAGAUGUAAUAAUUAAUUACCUCUGUUUCAUCCUCUUCUUCAGCUUCUAUAAUUCAUACAACACAUCUGAUAAAUGGACUUGAAGUCUGUCCUCUCCUGCGAAUUCUAUUAUCUGUUUCUUAAUCUCAAUGGCUGAAUCUUCAACCUCACGGUUCAUAUUCAUUAAAUGAAUGGACUUUAAAGUUUCUCUAUCCGCAAAUGCACAAGGGAUCUCCGUAAGCUUGUAACAAUUAUCUAGUAUUAAUUCCUCAAGCUUGGGAAAAGCUCCCCUAUUAACUUCCCAUUCUGAAAGGUUGACCAGUCGCAAACUCAAAGUCUUAAGACUUUGAUACAUGCCCUCACUUGCAUACCACUUAUCCUUCACUAAAUCAGAGUCGAUAAUCGCCAGAAUUUCAAGCUGAGGUAAUGCCACGAUUGCAGACAACAAAGCAGGUGUCAUGGUAAACCGAUACAACCGUAACUCUUUCAAGCUGCUAGGGAAGUGAUAUUUUUUGGGUUGAGGGAUUAACUCGGGGCAACAGUAUAUUGCUAUGAAUGAUUCAAGUUUAUUAAGCACAUCAAGCUUGGGAAACCAAUCGUCCUGGGUAGGAGGGUGCUGCGCUUCCACUAUGGUGCAAUCAAGGUGCUGAAGAUUUGGGAACUUCUCCAGAGCAUCAUUCGUGCCUACAGAAUAUGAGAUAUUGACUUGGGAUAAAGUUGUCAGCUUUGAAUUCUCACCUUUCAAUAUUCUACUUUGGAUUUUUUUCGCGUCCUCUUCCUCUUCAAAGAAACAACUCAUGUCAAUUUUCACAUGUUUCAGCUUUGACAGUUGUAACAUUCUGGGCAGUAAUACCAUGGUGGAAUCUCCAGUAUUGAUCAACAGAGUUUCCAGAUUCUGGAGGUUCAACCACGAUUCUGGGAUAGCUUUUCCAUUAAGAGUAUGAAUCCUUAAGAACCUCAAAUGAAAUAGGGACCCUAUUUCUUCCAUUAAAAAAUCUUUCAAAAGGAUGCUACCCAGUUGCAACACUCUAACAAGUCCAAAGUGUCUUGUAUGACAGAUAUACCUGAAGUGGAGAAGCGAACCGCUAACUUUCAAAGAUAUGAGAUGCUUACUACCAAAUGAACACUUCUUAGACUUGAACAAAACACAUUUUUUGUGGAGUUGGCCCUCCUCAAUAUGAAUGGUUAGACGAUGGUGUAGGAAAUCAGAAACAUGAAAUCGAUUACCCGGAUUGAUUAUCGUGAAAAACUUUUCCUUUUUCGCUUUUACUGAACAAAAAUCAUGCACAACAUCAUGCACAUAGCAAACCUUGAUCUUUACAAAAAAUGGGUGACUCCCCUUGAUAUGAUCCACCAUUAUCAGGCUACUGGAAAUUAAAGCAUCCAAGUAACUUUGAGUUACUUCCUCUAAACUAUUCUUGGAUCGGAUAUCAUGGUCCAGAAAACCUUCAGCCAUCCACAACUGCAUCAACUUAGAGACUGGAGUUCGUUUGCCCUUUCGAGAUCUUGCAAAGUAAAGCAACAACGGCUUCAGGUGGUAUGGUAAAUGGUCAUAACUUAAUUGCAUAACCUUCAUAAUCUCUAAAUUGUUGUUGGCAGAAAUAUCCAAAUUAUGUUGAAUCUUAAGCCACAAAUCCUUUUCCUCUUUCUUUCCUCUAACAAUUACUCCAGCAAUCAAAACAACAGCCAAAGGAAGCCCUUGACAUUUCUUAACUAUUUGGUGUCCAACAUCCAACAGUUCAGCAGGGCAGCUUUCUUUUCCAAAUACCAUUUUUUCGAAUAACUCCCAACUUUUUCCAAAUGUUAAAAGUUGAAGGCAGAGAAGAUCACUAUGGCAUUUCAGUUUCAAACCUACCUCACUAUUUCGGCUAGUUAAGAUAACUCUAUCUCCUCUCUUAAACUUUGGAAAACAUGCUAUUAACAUCUCCCCUGUUGCAAUAUCCCACACAUCAUCCAAGACGAUGAGGUACCUUUUAUCGUACAAUGCUCUUCGUAGCUUUUCAGCAAGGUCGUGAUCCUCACUUUCGUUUUCUUCAGAGUUAUCAACUUGCUGAAGAAUCUCCCGCAACACCUUUGACUUGUUAUACUUUUGGGAAACAGUGCACCAAGCACGAAUCUUGAAAUGACUAGCAACUAAUGUAUUGUUAUACACUUUGUUGGCCAGAGUAGUUUUACCGAGUCCUGGCAUUCCGACAAUGGAAAUGACAUCAAGCUCGGAUUCAUGUUUAUCAAGGAGCUGGUCAAUCAUCUUGGCUUCAUCUUCUUCAUGACCAACUGUUACCUCAACAAAAGAUGACGAGGUUGACUCAAUUGGCUCGUUGGAAGACUUUGCAUCAAGGGGGCCAUCCCCAUUCUUAUCUUCCAGCUGUAAACAUGUGACUUCUGCCACGAUAAGCUUGAUCUUAUCAGUGACACUCGGAAGUGAGAAGAUGAGAUGCGAGAGAGCUUUAUCUCUGACAAGAAUGGAAUUAAUGACAUGUUCUGCCUCAUAUGCCACAUCUAAAGCACGCACCCAACAAUCUUUAACUACUCCACUACUGUCAUCCAAUGUUUGCCUGACUUUCAUGAAAGAUGAUCUUAGGAAUUCGAGGCUUUCUUUCACCAUCCCAAUUUCUUUCUUUAUCAGCAUAACUGAAUAGACAUUGGAAAUGAGCAAAUCAUUUAAAUGUCUGAGUAGAAGAUUCAUGAAGAGGAAACCAUCAUCCACAUGAAACUGAUCCGGGGCUUUCAAAAAAAUCUUUUUGAUAUCUCCCUUCAUUCGUUCAAUUUCUUGCAACAAGUCUGGAGCUGAAAAAUUUGCUUCAUCCAUAUUAGAGCUCUCCUCCAUGAGAGUAGAUAUCUUCCUUGUAAGUAGUGCGACAUGUGCCAACAUAUCGUUCAAUUUUUCAGGAUGGAUAAAGCGCUUUGGUAUAUCGGUGAGAAAGAUCAAUAGGAACUCGAUCAUGACAUUAAUACUUUGAGUUUGAGAGUAAUUGACAGCUACCAUGCGUCCUUGGAGAUGAAUGAGAUAAUUUUGAAGAAUCUUUGGAGAUGCUUUCAGGAUUUGCUUCACAAACCGUUUUAAUUGAGUUGACGUUGAUUCUUUUAUGAGCUUAGAAGUAGAAAUGUAUAGAACCUCCAGCUCAAGAGGGAUUAUCUUGAUGAGUAGAGAAGAGACUUUGGAAGAGUACUCAUCAGCUUCAUAACUUGGUUUAUACUUUCCAGUCCAAAUAUCAAAAUAGAAUUGUAGAAAUUUACGGGCGAUGAAUUGGAAGCGAGGAAAGAGAUAUUGAGUAGUAGUUGUUUUGUUGGCCAGGAGGAUAGGAUAGAAAUCUGUCAGACGACGGAAUACUUGGCGAAGAAUGUUUAUUUGCUUGGACAUCCUCUCAUAAAAGUCAUCAUCCGAAUAAGAAGUACUGUUUGGUAGAUCAUGAAGGUCUAUCCAGAGGUAUUCAAACAUUUUCUCCUCUGUGGUCAUUGCUACAUAAUUAUCGUUCUUUAAACUCAAAUAACUUUGCAUCUCUUCCAGCAGCAGAGGGACAACACCAUCCAUGUUGUAUUUCUCUAGAAUUACUUCAUCAUUAAGUAGUGACUGAGUCAUAACACUGAACUUGUUUAUUUUGUUGGACAUCCUCUCAUAAAAGUCCUUGCCCAAACUUGAAUUCCCAAACAGGACAAAUGUUCUUAAGAAUCUCACUUCCAUUCUUAGCUUUUCAAUGUCAUACCAUUUUGAAUCAAGGAAUUCUUCUUCUUCUUCAUUCUGAAUUUUCUUCAACCCAUUCAAUAAAUCAUCAAUAAGAUUCCUGAUUCUUCUUCUUUUUUCCUCAAGUGGCACCUCCUAAAUUAAAACAUAGUAAUACGUAAUUGUUGUUUCAAUAGAGACAAUAAUUAAAGAAAUGAAAAUUUAGUAAGAAACUUGGACGAAUUGAAUUAGCCCAAAUGAGUAAUUCUCAGUUUUUCUUCUUUAUUAGCUCAUCAAUAUUUUGGUGAUAUGACUUUUGAAUCAUUUUUAAAAAAAUACUUCACGGAUCCUCAGUAAUUAGUUGUGGAAACAAUACGCAUAGUCUCGAUUUUUUCGUAUGUUAAUCCAUGAAUAUUUUGGUGAUAUAACUUCCAAAUGAUUUUACAAAAAAAAAAAACAUUUAUGGGGCCCUCCCUAAUAAGUUGGGAGGAGCAGUAUUGGGCUACGCAAUCAAUCGAAAUUAUGUACACAAUCAAUCGAAAAGUCAAAUAUGACUUAACAGUUCCCACUUCUUAAUGGGUUUUAAUAUAUUGGGGGUACCCUUUUAAUUGUUAAUCUUUUUAGCUUCGGUAAUUAAAUAUACUCAUUCACAACUUUUCAUGUACAUAUAGUCUCCCUUCCUUCAUAAAUUUGACAAAAAAAUAUUAAUUUACAACAUUUUUGUAUUUUAUCAUCUUAUAAUUCUUAUAUAAUUUUUUAUUUAUUGAUCAUUCUUUUUUUUUUUUCUUAUUAAUAUAUUCAUUUCGUAUGAUAUGACGACAAAUAUAUUGUAUUGCUUUUCACGUUAAUUGACUUGGUUAUAAAUGUUUCCCUUUAACUCUCAUUCUAUAUUUCAAUUUUUUUGAUUUUUUUCUUGUAAGUUUGUCAUUUUUUAUAAAUUAAUUGAACAUGUAAUAUUAGAUUCAAGUUUUUAUUGUACUGUCCAAUUAUUCAUAUAUAUAUAUACACAUAGUAAUCAUUAGUUUGAUAUUUUAUGGGAUUUUAUCAGCUCAAGUAUAUUAUCUAGCCCCUUAGACAAUUUUAACAUAUCAUAUGAUGUCAUCAUUGUUUUAAUUUGUCAUUAUGAUUAUUGAAUGUUGUUUAAAGAUUUUAGCAUAAGUAUUUUUUUUAAAAAAAAAUCUUAUAAGUAAUUGGGGCCAAAUAUGCAACACACAUUCUCAAAAUAAUAGUUACAAAAAUAUGUAAAACUAAUAAUUGCUAGAAAAAUAAGUAUAAUUUAUAUGUAAAACUUAAUUACUACUAAUUUGGAGCAUGUAAAAUUUGUAAUGAUAGACAUACCGAUGGCUUUCCUUCUUUUUCCAUUGAAUCUCCAACCUCGAACCAGCCUUCAAUUUCUAAAGAAUUGAUUUUUCAACUUAUGAUCACAUGCAUAUUUAAUAAGGAUAAAAAUUAGAAGAUAGUAAUCACAUGCACAAGUAAAGGGAAAUGCAAGAAGCAAGAGAGUUAAGAAUGUUAAUUAUUAAGUUUAUAAGUUUUGAAUUAUAAUUAUACCUAGUAAUUUACUGUUUUAAGUAAAUACAUGAAUUGGUGAAAGUAACAAAUAGCAUGUCAAAAUAUAUACUCCCUCUGUCCCAAUUUAUAUGACUUACUUUCCUUUUUAGUCAGUCCCAAAAAGAAUGACACAUUUCUAUUUUAAGUAACAAUUUGCCUAUAAAAUGUCUUUUUUACCCUUAAUGAAAUGAUUUACAACCACACAAAUUUCUAUCAUUCAUUUUGGACCACAAAUUUUAAAAGUCUUUCCAUUUUUCUUAAAGUUUGUGCCAAAUCAAAGUACAUCAUAUAAAAUGGGACGGAGGAAGUACUAUUUUACGUUGAUUAGAUUUGAUAAGGUACUCAGAGUGGCGCACAAGUACACACACUAAUAAAUUUUCAAGAAUUUGGACCAUAAUGUAUACUCCAUUUAUUCCAUAUUAACUGAAUUUGUGAGACAAUGCACACAUAUUAAGCAAAACAUUUAAGAACAUAAUUUAAAUCAUAAUUUCCACUAUUAUCUUUUGAGAAAUCAUAAAUAUAACUUUGUAAGUAGUGUAAUUUAUCUCCUAGAAAAUAUAAAACUCCAAUAAAUAAAAGGGUAAAUAUGGAAAAAUAUUCAAACAUCCUUUUUGAAUUUUAAACAAUUCAAUUAUUCUGAACAAUGAAAAAACCCUAAAAAAAAUUACUUAAUAUGAAAUGGAGGAAGUACUAGAGAGACGAGAUCUCAAAUUAUACAAACCAGGAGUGUGUUUGGUAUGAAAGAAAUUAUUUUCUAAAAAAUAUUAAUUUAACUAAUAAAAUUUGUUAUUUUUUUAUGGGUGUGUUUGAUAUAUUUUCUAAAUACUUAAGUAAUCAAACAUGAAAACAUUGAAAAAUAUAUAUUUCCUCUGUACUGAACACCCUAUAUUAAAAUUGUUUUCCGUAUCAUGAUAUAUUAAGAUCUUAAAUGUAGAGCCAAUCAAGAUAUAUAUCUACAUAAACUACGUUAAAAGGUCUUCUUCAUAUCAUGAUUAGAGAACCUUAAUCUUCCUUUACAAGCUUGGACCCUAUAUGGGUGUGGUUGGUACAAAGGGUUUCGUACUUAUUAAACAUGAGAAAAUUGAACAGUUUAAAAAGGAAAGGGAAGAGGAUUGGGGACCGAUCUUAAAUUAUCAGAUCAUUCUAUAAAUAUUUUUCUAAUUCUUAUUAUGUAUGUUUCUUUCAAAUCAAGUGAAUCACAAAAAUACAUGUAGAAUGAAAUAGAAAAAAUUAUAUCAUACCUUUUUCUUUACUUCCAAGCUAAUAAUUCCUCUCAAAUGGUAGUUUGCCUUGUUGCAGAUUUACAAGAAGCAAAUGUUGAAAAACAUAAUUCACUUAUUUAAAAAGCUUUAUUGUUAGAUAUCUGCAAAUGUGAAAAUAGAUUAGUUUAAGUUUAGUAUUGUUUUGAAUUAUUAAAGUAAAGUCUUUCUAUAUAAUUUCCGACAGUCCAUAAAAAUAUUUGUUAGAAAAACGUUAUUCAAUUAGUCCUUAUCAAGUAAGUUGAGAAGAAGAAAAAAUGGCAUUUUAAUGUUACAUUAUUAUUAUAAAAUAAUAAUAAUAAAAAAGAAGCUAUGAUGUUGAUGCACCAACAACUGCAAUUAUGUAUUUUUUUGUUGUCUUGGUUUUUGGAAUCAAGUGAAGUGGUUGAUGGUUGAUUUUUGGAACCAAUUCUCAAACAGUAUUUGCUUGACUUUUUUUUUUUCUUUUUAAAUUAUUUUUCUACAUAAAUAAAUUUUAAAAUUAUUUGUUUAACUAUAUAUUGUGUAGUUUUGAUUGGAAAAUUUUGAUUCACCUAUUCAUUUUUAAAAAAAUGCCACUUCUUUAAGUAUGAACACACUUUUUUUUCUUAAUUAAUAUUGUCGUUAUGCCGUUGUUUUUGCCUCUCACAAUAAAUGGUAUUUUUUUUUUAUUGUAGCUUAAGUUUAUAUUUUUAUAUCAUAAUAUUUUAUGUAAGUUAUGUUUUUAGUUUGUAAACAACUUGGCAUAAAUUUGUGAACUUCGUCAAAGUGCAAAAUGGAAUUACCACUUUAUCUCUAUUCUAAAUAAAAUAUCUAAUUUAUUAAAUAUCAAAUAAUAUCAUAUAUAUUAUAUAAAAUACUAAUAGCGAAAAGGUGUUAAAUAAAAACGUUGAAUAAACUUUUAAAUAUAAUUAAAUGGGAAAGACAUUAAGAAUAUGAUAAUGAAAAGAUCAUUGUUGAUUUUUGGAACCAAUUCUCAGCCAGUAUUUGCUUGACUUUUCUUUUUAUUUUUAAAAAAAAUAUUUUUCUACAUAAAUAAAUUUUAAUAUUAUUGUUCAACUAAAUAUUGUGUAGUUUGAUUUGAAAAUUUUCAUGCACCUAUUCAUUUUUAAGAAAAUACCACUUCUCCAAGUUUGAACACUUCUAACUAAUUUUGUGGUCGCAUCAUUGUUUUCGCCCCUCACAGUAAAUGAUAAUUGUUUAUUGCAGCUUAAGUUUAUAUUUUUAUAUCAUAAUAUUUCAUUUAAGUUAUGUUUUUAAUUUGUAAACAACUGAGUAUAAAUUUGUUAAGUUGGUCAAAGUGCAAAGUUGGAUUAUCAUAUUAUCUAUAUUCUAAAUAAAAUAUCUAAUACAUUAAUUAUUAAAUAUAUAUUAUAUUAAUGUAACGUCCGGCGAUUUUAAAUUCUAUGAAGAGGUUAAAACUUGGAAAUAGUUUUUUUGAAAGAAUUAAAAAUCUGGAAAAUUUGGUUAAGUAUGGGAAAAAGUGAGUUUUUGGCCAACUUUGACAGUCAUAACUCCUAGCUCAGGAUGAGUUAGGUGUAGUUCCAGUCAUGUUUGCAAAGUCCGUGGAAUGAUCUUUCCAAUGCCGCUGAGUUUUCUCGUUUGCGAGUUCGUAUGAGCGAGUUAUGCCCUUUCGAAGUUGGGCAGUUGGCAGGGAAUCCGUCCGUAAAUUGUAAGGGUAUUUUGGUCUUUUCCCUAGCCUUGACUUUGGAUAUACAUUAAGGUGAGACUGAUUUUGAUCAGUUUUUCCUUUUUUUUAAAAGAGUAAGAGUUAGGGUUCUUGAGAGAAAAUGAGUGAAAGGAGAAGAAGAAGCAAACUUCGUAAAGAUCGUCGUGGUUUUCUUCGGGGUUGAUCCCUAUUAAGGUAUGUGAGUUCAUAGUGUUGGGUUGGUUCUUUCCCCCACACGCCAAGCUCGUUUAAUUUCGAGAAAAGAUUGAGUAUGUUUGUUGAAGUUGUUGGUUGUAAUUGUUGAAGUUGUAGUUGUGUUGUGUUGAAGUUCUUGUUGGUUUAGUUAUGUUUCGGGUGGUGUUUUUGAGUUGAAUCUAUUGUAUGUUGAGAGGUUCAUGAUUUUAAGUGUUUGGGGCUGGAAACUUUGAAGUGUAGAAGGUUUAGAGUUGGAGAAAACUAAGGAGAAAAGUUAGUUUUCGGGGGAAAAGGGUGGGGCGUCGCGCCUGUCAGCACGCCCCAAGAGGGGCUCUGAACUUUCCCCCUUGGGGCGGCGCACCCAUCAGAGCGCCAGCAGGCCUCCUCUGAAGUUUCUGGUCUGGCGCUCUGCGCCUCUCAGAGCGCCAAGUUUUCCUAUUCCUUCCCCACUUUUUCAUACAUGUUCCUAGGUAUUGUACCUAUGUUUCAUAGUUGUUUUCAACACUCCAAGGUAUGUCUAAACGUCAAGAACUCAUCCAUAUCAUGUGAUCAAACACCUUGAAUCUAUAAAUCCAAUUCAAGGAGAGAUAGUUUCCAAGUCAAGUGAAGUUAAGAGUUAAGCUUGGAAGUUAAGAAGCAAGUCAAGCAAGUUUUUAAAGUUAUUCAAGAGUCUUUAUUGAAUGUUUUAACUUCAAUUUAAGGCUCAAGUUUCAAGUCAAGUAAAGAGUAAAGAGUCAAUAGUUUCUAGUAGAGUAAAGAGUUUAAAGUUGAGUUCAUUUCUCAAAAGUAUUAGGGAACUAUGUAUUUCCAAAGAAGUUUCUAAAUGUUUUUACAUUUGAGUAAGAAAAAGGAACUACGUUUCCAAAAGAGCCUUUGGGCUAGUUUUCAAGAAAAAGGAACAUCGAUUCCAAGUGAGCCUUCGGGCAAAGUUUUGAGUAAUUAUCUCAAAUAAAGAAAGAUGUGUUUAAAACACUUAUGAGCUAAGUAUUUUGGGGAGUAGUCUUGAGCACCGAAUUGGGGACACGAGUUCAUAUAAACUCAACUCCAUAAGAACCAUGCGCCAACAUGAGAGUUAACAGGUCAUACUUUUUAGAUGAUUCCGUAAGUUAAGCUAGUGGAUCCACUUAGUAAAGUUAGCUUCCUAUAUCACGGCAAGGUAUAGGAUGGUCCUUGGGCAACGUGAAGUAAAAUGUUGUAUCACCACUAGGGCUCAUAGUGGUGAUUGUCGGUUAAAGAAUCUCCCACUAAAGUUAUAUUACUUUUAUAUAAGUAAAGUGAGUUGUUAUUGUUUUAUCUUUAAACAAGCUAAGUUGUUUACAUUGUUUUACAAGCUUUAUAUAUUGCAUGUGUCUUAUUGCUUUAUAUAUUGAGUUCAGUUAUUCAUGAGUCGAAUAGAGCCAAGGUAAGUGUUCUCUUGCACUCUUUUCAAGCCUAAGUUGUGGUUUAGCUUUCCAACUCGCAUACUCGUACAUUCAAUGUACUGAUGCCAGUUGGCCUGCAUCGUUUUAUGAUGCAGNNNNNNNNNNNNNUCUCAGUAUUGUAGAGGCUUCAUAGACAGUCAGUCAGUUGGUUUUGAGUCUCUAAUCUAUGUAUAUAUGUAAAUAUUCUAUUUUGAGACUUGAGUUGCCUUUUUGGCCAGAUUGUAUCAGUUAGGUUGUUUUAUAACCUUGCAUUGCAUUGAGUUUUCCGCUGAGUUAAGAAAGCCAGGCCAAGGGUUCGCUUGGGGGCCAGCGAUGGUCUUCGAGUGCCAGCCACGUCCAGGGUGUAGGCUCGGGGCGUGACAAUUAAAUACUAAUAGUGAGAAGGUGUUAAAUCAACAAGUUGAAUAAACUUUUAAAUACAAUUAAAUGAGAAAGACAUAUUUAAAUAAAGAGGUUGAAUAAACUUUUAAAUAUAAUUAAAUGAGAAAGACUUUAUGUAAUAACUCCUCGGACUUCGAAAGAGCUAAAUAGAGAUUUGUACAAGUCACCCAUCUGUUUUUAGUUUUGGGUUAACUUCAAAUGAUCAUAUCUUUUAGCACAUAAAGAAUUAGGUGGCCCACGAGCUAUCAAAUCGAAGGUCUUUGAGUCCUCUUUCCAAUGCCAUCGAGUUUGCUUAAUUUCAAACUUGGAGUAAAACAUUAUGCUCUUUUGAGUGAAGUCUCUAUUUAAGGUUUUUCAUUCAGUUGUAGGAGAGUAUUUUGGUCUUUUCCUUUUCCCACUAAGCCUGACAUGUUUUUUCUCACCCAAUUAAGGGUCUAAUUAGAUGCCCACAUUACUAUUUAGAACUAACUAAGGGCUCUCAUUUAGCUAUUUCUCAUAGUAAAACUUCAUUCUCUUCUUCCUCCUCAUUUAUAACCUUAGACAGAAUUAUCAUACCAUCAUUAUCACGAUAGGAUCAUUAACCUUCUCUCUCUAACAUUACUCUGUUACUAAAAGGACCUCUGAAAAGAUAUCUCCCAUACUCCUUUGAGCUCAUUACUAUCUUAUUCUUAACACUUGACUUGAUUUUCAAUCUUAUCAUCUCCUCAUUAGGUCUAAAGCUGACACUUGGAGGCUAUGGACCUAUUCCAACAUCUCUAACUAGUCUACAUCCUUUUUUACCCCCCACCCCCCACCCCCCGCUCCCUAAUCUAUGCUGGUCCACACCCCGAGUUGAUUGGCGGACUGGGUCGCCACCGUUCCACAUCCGAUCGGUACACCUCGUAAUGCUCUUUUUACUCUUGUGACUUAGCCACACUUCACUGCCCUUAUCAAGAGGUUUAGGGUAUCUCACUUGUACCACUCAUAUUUAUUUAGCUAAUCACCUUAAUUCAUCUCCUACUCUGUGUCAGGUCUUCUAGUUCAAAUCUCAAGACAACAUCAUCACCCUCAUGUUGCCAUCCUUUUGAUCAAGACACUCAUCUCAAAUUCAUGCUUAGUGUUUAUUACUAAACCCGAAUAUCAAUAUGAUUGCUCGCUUACUACACUAACUUACAACUACUGGAUGCAAAUUUAGAAACACUCGUCCACUUGGACCUGAUGACAAGUAGUCAAUCCUUAACCUUUAGUCUCCAUACUCACAAAUUACCAUUAUAUUCGACUUCACAACUUAGGUACUACUUACUCACUUACUGCGCAUUAUCUUUCAAAUAGUUCUAUCAUCAUCUGAAUAGCAUGGGGUUUCCCCCUUCAAAAUUCAUAAGCAUAGCUUGGGUCUACUACCUCAUGAAUACUCUGCUCGAUUAUUUAACAUAUGAAUUUAAUCUUCUCUAACACGAUGACACAUUGACAUCAACUCUAUUCUGGUUAAAAAAAUAUACUCUAUCACAUCGUGACUAGUAUCUAUUCCUCUUCCUUCUAUCUAGAACUCUCUACAACAUUAUUAUUACUUAUUUUACUCAUAAGGGAAACUCAUCACUUAUAACUGAUUGGGUGCAUGAUUGCAAUCACAUAAUCUGCCCCAUCACUAUCUCAUUUCCUUAGAUUACUAAACAUCUGCAUACUUUCCUCUAAUUCUUGGCACUUUCACUACUACUGCUCAUAAUCUCAUAAUUCAUACUAUCUUUUAGGGCGAAAAUACUACCCAAGCUCUAAACAUACCAUCCUAUUAAAGGUCUUAGCUGAAUAAGGUUUAGGGAAGAGUGUACAACUCGCUUUUAGCUUAAACGCACGAUUCAUAUGAACAUGAGUGCAUUCCUCUGAAACACAACAAUUAACUCACUCAUGGGCUUCUCUUAAGCCCCUUUGGAGUCUCAUGACUUCCUCAAGACUCUUGCUAAGAGCAACUCAUCGAUAAGGACAGAUCUUUCUUUUCAACCACCUCUAGUAUGAUGGGUAGUCGAAUAAAUCUGAGAAAUGCAUGAGUAUGAAUAAAUCUCUAUGACAUAGCUCUAUUGCACGAUUAAGAGUAUGAAAGAAGUGAGAGAGUUCCUAAAAUGUUGCAGCCUCAUAAUUAUUGAUGUGGCGCGCUUCACACCGAUAACUAGGACUCUACAUACACGACUUCAUAGACACCCUAAGACUUUUGAACUCUGUGCUCUGAUAGCAAGUUUGUCACGACCCGAGCCUACACCCUGGAUGUGAUCGGCACUCAAAGAACCAUUGCUGGUCCCCAAGCGAACCCUCAUCCUGACAGACUACAAACGAAAGACUAACUCAGGCAUACAUAAGCUUAAAACUGAAUUAAAUUCAUUGAACUCUAGUAGUGAACUUUAAGAAAGUCUGAACAAUACUCAAAAGAAAGUAAAUACAAACAACUCUUCAACUUUGUCUAUCUAUGAAGCCUCUACCAUUACAGAAAUAUAUUGGGACAAGACCCAUGACAUCUCAAAACUACUAAUUGUAAGGUAAAUGUAAAGUCCUCUGGAAUAUAAGAAGGCUGAUCACGAAAGCUGACUGGAAUAUCACAUGACCUCAACGAAACGCCUGUUGAUAAUUAACAAUUUAAUUAUCAUAAUUUCAUACUAAAUUCAAUGAUUCUUAUAGCAACAUUAUUGGUUUAAUCAACAAUAUUAAAUCUACUCGAUCAUAAAUUACAUGACUUUUUUUUAUAAUGACACAAUAAUAAAAACAAACAAAUAAAUAAAGAUACAUUUGUGGUAAAUCAUGGUGAGAAAGAAAUACUUGUAUUAUAUUCUAACAUAGUUAUGCAUGAAAUUUAAAAGUUAACGAUAUACUGUGUUUUUUUCAAUAUUCAAUGUUCGUACCGACACUCAUUUAAUGUAAUUUAUGUCUCAUAAAAUCCAUUAAUAUUAAUUCUUUUUGUAUUUAAACUCUCAUUCGUGUAGAGAUAUUGCGAGAAGAGAGAAUUAAGUUGGGACAGUGCAACAUUACAGUUGAUGUUAUAUUUUUACAAUAAAAAAUAAAAAAAGUUAAACACAUAACAUAGAAUGAGAUAUAAAAGAUAAGGACUUGGUGUGAUAUUUACCUAAUCCAAUUGUAUAGAGAUUAUCUAAAAGCGAAAAAUAAUUGAUUUUUUGAUUUUUUAUUUUAUUUAAAUGUUAGUGUAAAUCUACGAUGAAAUGGCUCCUAAAUUAACCCGGAAAUAUCAACUGACAAAUGCUUAUUCUGUUAUUAUUCACUUGCAAAUAUAUUUAUGGAGACUGUCAGCUAUCAUUUCGAUUUUCGAGUAGAAAGACUUGAUUUUAAUUAAUAAUUCAAAAUAAUUAUUAACUUCAAUUAAUCAAUUUUAGAUCUAGACUUUGAUUAGACUAAUUGAAUGUUCACGUUAAGGCUGCACACAUAAAUCAAACAUUUACAUAGUAGACAUAGUCUACAUGAAGUACUAUUGGGUCAUAUGCACUUUUAUCCUUGUUUUAUUAAGAAAAUAUAAUUUGGACUGGUUUUAAGAGUCGCCACUUAAUUUUUAAAGGAAAAUCAAGAAAACUACUGUUUUCAAAAAACUAAAACAGGAAUCUAAUGAAAACUAAAAAAAAGGGUUCGGGGUUCUUAUUAAUAUUCUAGGAAGGUUUUUAAAGCACCUAGAAUAUCCGCUAAUGCGGUUAUCCGACAAUUAAUUUAUUUGGCUAAAAUAAUUUUAACUUGACUUAAAUUGCAAAAUUGAAUUAUUCUAUAGUUAGAACUAUUUUAAAAAGGGGGGAAAUAAUUUUAACUUGACUUAAAUUGCAAAAUUGAAUUAUUCUAUAGUUAGAACUAUUUUAAAAAGGGGGGAAAUAAUUUUAACUUGACUUAAAUUGCAAAAUUGAAUUAUUCUAUAGUUAGAACUAUUUUAAAAAGGGGGGAAAUAAUUUUAACUUGACUUAAAUUGCAAAAUUGAAUUAUUCUAUAGUUAGAACUAUUUUAAAAAGGGGGGAAAUAAUUUUAACUUGACUUAAAUUGCAAAAUUGAAUUAUUCUAUAGUUAGAACUAUUUUAAAAAGGGGGAAAGAGAAAUAUGGAACUACCAUCUAAGUGAGACAAUUCGCAAAAUUUAUUCUUUUAAGUCUUUUGAAAGACGACCGGUUUAGUUAAGUUGUUAAAAACGAAAUGAGCAUCUUUCGGGGAUUUGAACUUUUCGACCUCAAGAUUAGCAGCAAACAUUAGCAAGCACACAAACACAAAAAUAGAGAGGGAAAGAGACUCGGGCCCAAGUUUGGUUUUUCUGUUCGCCUGGACCAAUACUUGGGCCCAUUUUCGUUUUGGGCUUUUGGCCCAUUCGAGUCACCUGCACCUGCCCUAGCCUAACAAGUAUAGCAAAUAAGUGGGCUUAGGCCCAAAACAACAAAAUACAAUUUUUUGAAUCAAGGGUGGGCCUUUGGCCCAAAUUUUUAAUUUUUCUCGAUUUGUCGAUCUGUUGCUUCUUCUUUCGACCGUGGGACCUGUUCACCGAUUUAUGAUUUGGCUGACUUGGAAGGAAGUGAUAUAAGCCUUUAUGGCUUUCUCGAAAUGCAAAGGAGGAAGAUGAGUUCAUGGUGAACUUGGCCAGAUUUCACAUACAAGAAAGAGGGCAAAAACAAUGAAUAAGUAUUCAAAGGGGACGAUCUUACAGACCUUAAGAGUCCGAGCAAAGUUAAACAAGUUAAAAAAAAUAAAAAUAAAAAUAAAAAAAAUAAAGAAAGUAAUGCAUUUGGAUUGGUGACGCUGACUAAAGGAAAUUUAAAAGAGACAAAAAUAUGCGCCAAGACAUCUGACCAUUCCAAAUCUCAAAAGGGGAAUCAAAUAAUAAAUAAAAGGGUUAGCUGAAACAAAACAAUCGAGAAUAAUCACCCUAAAAAAAACUUAAUACCUCGACUGAUUUAAACAGAAAGGAAACCCAUAUUGCUUUUAUUUUCCGUUCGACCAAAUGCAAACUUGCACAUGCCUUUCAAAUAAAUAUUAGAAAAUAAGCCCAGGAAGCACUACCGCAACACACAAUAUGGACAGAAUCUUGGACCAAUUUAAUGAACAUGAAAACAAACAAGUAUUGCAGCUAAAUGCAUUUAAAUUAAAUCUAUAAAAAUGAGUGGGGCAAAGAAACAAUCAAAUGGACUUCAUGCUAUACUUGACUACUGGCAACAUGCUGGAAAAGAGAAAAUAAUCCAAAACUAGACAUAAAUUGACACGUCCGAAGAUAGGUUGACAAUGAAAUAUACGGAAUACUCGACUUAAAUCAAUCUGAGCAAUUAAACGACAAAAUCUAACAUAAAAUGUGACAUCGAGCUUUAUGCAAUCGUAAUAUUGAGAUAGCCUACUUAAAUGUAAUGAACAUAAAGAAAAUUCGAGCGGAGGCAUGUUGCACACUAGACAAACAUCACACUUUAUGCAAUAAUCGAUACCCGGUUUAUCCAUGGAGACCCCAAGCUAACAACUUAUCAUGCUAAAGGGUCAAGCUAACUCACUUGAAACAAAAAGAGGAAAAUGGCUACAAUCUAAAGGCCUAAGCAAAAUGACAUCGCUAUUCAAACUAAAUAUGCUAAACAAUAGCAUAAACUAGCAUAGAUAAUGUCCGUAGAAAACAACAUGGUUGGACAAUGACACCAAAUGAAUAACUCGACUAAUCCACAAGUAAGAACUAGAAAUAAUAUCUACAGAUUUAAACAAAGGCAGGAAAAUUGUUUUCUGGAAAAGGCAAGGAUCACUCUAGCUAAGCCGAAACUUUGCAAAGACGGAGCUAUGACCACAACAUCACGAGUUAAGCCAAAAUAGGUAUGGACAUCAAAUUAACGACUAACAUUAUAUCAUAUGAACAAAAAUAAGAACAAACUGUGCGAGGCCCAAAAGACGCAACCUAUUCACUCAUCAUUUAAACCAAAUGUGAAUCUAACCUUCUCAAGCAACGUGAGGCAGGGAUUCCGCUAAUUAAAGACUCAAAAUCAAGUUAGCGAAUAUAACGAUCAAUAUAUAUCCCAAGAUAGCUUUACUAAUAUCUCACCUAACCAAGACACGAAAUCACAUAGGAGUAUAUGCAUCGCAUCAACAUCACCAUAAACCCAACUACAUAUAUUAGUAGGCCAUCCUCGGAACAGAGAUCUUCCAACAUCAAAUAUUGAGAUAAGGAAAGAGAUGAAGAAAAUGUUAUUGGGAGAGAGUAGUGUUACCUUUUUUCGGGCAGCGAACAGGAACCAAGAGCUAGCAACGACUUCACCACUACACGAACUUGACCCCGGACAACAAAUAGGGAGUCUGGACAGAAAUCUGAGCAGCUAUCUCGAGUUCGAAUGAACUUGUGAUAGAGCGAUGGACAGCACCAAAAGGAAAAUAAAACUAAGUUUUUAGACGAGUUAACCUCUCUAUUUCAGAGUGUAUUUCAUAUGUAUUCAGACUACUUCUUCUUAAGCUAUUCUUAUAUUUUUGCUAACAACUCUUCCAACUCCCAAAAAAAAAAAUCCCCCCUCCAAUGAGGAAGAAAAUGAGCAUAUAUAGGGGGAAUUUAGGGUUGUUUUGGGGGGAAAAGAUGAGGGCAAUUUCGGGUAAGAACAAGACCCAAUUCGAAAUUCAAACCUAAAAAAAAAAAUCUUGCACUAAUUAAGGAAGACAUACUUUUUCUGCAAAUUCAGCCCAUUCCCGAAGAGGAAAGGGCGAGAUGGACGCUCGAGAUCAAUUUAUUCGUCCUCAGGUGCGACGUGGUCUCAUCUCGCAGCUGCAAGGACGGUUCUUGGCUAGAAAUGGCGCUGGAACAGUACUGCUGGAACAACACUGCGUUGUUGCUGCUACUCACGCGAGGAAGAUGAAGCGUGGGCGUUGGGGUCGUUGUUUGCUAUGUAUUUGCUGGAAAGAAAAAAAAAAAGAUGGGCUGACACGUAUGUAAUUGUAUUGUUGUAUGUUAUUGUCUUAGUUGGUUUAUGUAUAGAUAAUGGGCUGGGUCGGUGGGGCUGCUUGUAUUGUUGUUAUUAUUUUAUUAUUAUUGCACGUUAUAUUGUAUGUAUGGGUCAUUUGGAUUUUUAUUGGAAUGGGUUGGGAGGAAUUAUAAUAUUGGGUUGGCUAGGAAUUAUUGUGGUAGGCAAUUUAAGUUUAAGACUUAGCCAACUUGAUCAAAUUUAAUAAAUUUGGCUAAUAAUUAGAUAAGACGAAUUAAUAAUUAAUUAAUUAACGAGCUUCUUAAUCUUAACGAAAUAAAAUAAUAAUUAAUUAUAAACUAAUUAAUUUAACAAUAUAAACGACUAAAUAACCAAAUGUUUAAAUAAAGCUAAAAAUCCUUUUGAGACAAUUUUCGAACCUUCAUAAAAAUAUACUAAUUAGACACAUAAUUAUAUAACAAUUAACUUAAUUAUAAACUAACUAAUUAAUUCAAAAUUGCAAACUACUAAAUAACUAAACUAACUAACCAAAUAUUUAAUUAAACAAAAUAUUUUGAGACGAUUUUUGAAUAUUUUAUAAAGUUCAGAAGUAUACACAUAUUAUUUAAAAAUUAUAAAAAGUGACAAACCAUUUAAACUAACUUGAAAAAUAUUUUAAAUUUUAUAAAAGUCAAUAUUUUAAAUCAUUUGAAAAUUAAGAAACUCAGAAAUUAAUUAUUAUCGGGGAGGGUCAAAAUUGGGUGUCAACAAUCCUUAUUUUAUGCUGCUCUUUAAUUUUUGCUCAGUGGUAGAGUUAUCGUCUCGUAAAGAUGGUUAGACGAAUAUCAUUCAUUGAAAAAAUUACUACUUUUAUUAAGUAUAUAUAUAGAUAAUAUAAUAUUUUUAUACUAGGUAAUUAGAGGAAAUGUACAAAGUCAGUUAAGCUUAAGCCUUUACGAAAUAUAAAUUUAUGGAUCAAAUGUCACGACCUAAAAAAUGGAUGUGAUGAUACUCGUCUUAUCCCACCAAGACAAGUUAGCCUGAAACCCAAAUAUCACAAACUAUGCGGAAGUAAGACAUAUUGAAAUUUCAAAAUAUCAUAAAUGCGGAUAACUAAGUCAACUUAACAAAAUCCCCAAAACUUGGUCGUCACAUGUACAAGCAUUUAGUGUGUUAUAACAAAAUUGAAAGAAAAUACAAGUCUCAAAUGACAUUGUUUCUAGAAUAAAAUAAGAUCAUAAAUAUGGAGAAAGAAGUUUGGUUGAGAUGACGAGCAACUACCUCACAAACCUCCACAAGAAGCCUCAGACAAGAAGAGAAGAGAAAGUAUCACGAAGUUUUGGGCUAGUAACCUACAAAAAUGUAGAAGCAUGGGGUGAGUACCAAACCACACGGUACUCAGCAAAUACAAGCUAAGGGAAUAGAAUACAGGUACUCCUUACCACCCCAACCGAACCUCCACAACUACAACAUGCAUAAAACCAGUCCAACCUAACAGUUCACGACUUACAUAGCACACAGCUCAACAACAACACUCUAACAAUUACAUAUCCUCAACAACAAACUCAAUAUUCAUCAGUCACAAGUUCCACAAAAAAAUACUCAUAAGAUCAGCAACACACAAGAUCAAGUUCACCAAUGAUAAAGAUAUGCAAUGCAACUAAAUGCAAUGUCAAGUAUAGUGAUGCAUGUCUAAUCUAACGAUACACACCCGCUGUCUCUUAGUCCGAGACCCAUGGGGGACAUAUCUGUUCAUGCAUCUGUUGCGGUGUGCGACACGACCCUCGAUAAUGAAAUCCGUCGUGGCGUGAGACACAUCCCUCGAUAAUAAAUCCAUCGUGGCGUAGGACACAUCCCUCAGAUUAUAAUAUCCGUCGCGGCGCGCGACCCGUCAUUGAAAUGGUAUGUCCUCUUUAAUUUCUUAUUCUUUUUCAAUUCACAUAACACUUAUCACAACCAUGUCUCAAAACCAAUGCAAAUGACAUGUUCACACAAAUAAUAAGGAGAUGAUCAUUUUCAUAACAAUGUAAAAUACACAACAUGAACACAAUCGUGAUACAACAUCAACUAUGAAUCAAUAAGCCUUUCAAACUAUUCUCAACACAUCACACACCAAUAAUUAAUCACAUAAUUGUCUUUUAUUCCUUUUUUUCAUCAUUAAAAUUAUUUCAAUAUGAACAAGUCAACCCAUCACAAUGUCCCAUUACUCCCCAACACUUACCACAAGGAAAUACACGAUUUUAUACACUUAACAAGGGUUGAGAAAUUCACUUGCCUCAAAUAAUCGAACUAUCACUAUGGGACUUGAGCCUUUCCCAUUUAUAGGGCUUCCAAAUCAAUGCAAUCUAUUAACGUAAAUAAUUAUAGUAAGAUUUCUAACCCAACACCACUCAUAUUAUAAUUUCUAGCCUAGACCCAAAAACAUCACCCAAAUCUGUAGUCAAGUUCCUAAAUCUUGAUAUCAAUUAACAUGUCAACUCUCAUAUUUUCAAAUUUCAAGUCUAGGGUUAAGUUCCAAUUCUCCAAUAUCAUAAAUCUAAUGGUAUUUAUAUUUUUGAUUAUCACAUUAUGAUUCAAGUUUCGAUAUAUUAACAUAGGUAAUUAAAUAGUAGACAUAUUCAAAUCAUGAUUUCAAAUUAGAUAUCCUAACACUUAUUUGAAAUCAUAACUUCAUAACAUUUGGUCAGUGUUCUUCAUCUGAUUUAGGCCAUUUAGGACAUAUAUAUAUCAGAGAGUUCACACGAAAUAAGAUUCAUAACUAACAAAUAACAUGCAUGUCUUGGAACAAUACAUAGAUAUUCAAAGCUUAACUACUCCAAAUAUAGCAAAUUACUCCUAAUGAGGCAAAGCAAUACACAAUUUACAUGAAAGAAAACACUCAGUUAAAACAUCUCCAGAACAAGUUUGUUUAUUGGAAGCAGUAAUCAGAUGAAAUCAGAUGGAAGCGUUGUGUUGUUUCUUUCUUCAUUGUUGCUCUAUCCUUUGGGCAUUCUGCAAAUCAUAUAUAGUAUGAUUUAAAUUAAAUGAAGUACAUAUGUAGGGGUGAAGAUGUAAGAAAUCAAUUACCUCUUCUUCACUUUAUUAGUAUAUAUGGAACACAUCUGAUAUAUGCAGGGGAGGCUCAACGUUAUUGGGGGCCUAAAGAAUUUUUUUAAUUUGAGGCCUAAAAUAUAAACAAACUUCAUAUAUGUAUUUAUUCAAAAAAAAAUAUUUUUCUUACACUAUUUAGAUGAAAGUUAUUAGUAUUUAAAUUGUUUUUUCAGUUAUUAGUUUUAGGUAAGAUUUCAUCAACUCAACAUUGAAAAACAUCCUUUCAGUGAGGCAAUUAGUAUAUGAAUUGUUAACAUAAUUCAAAAGUAAUAAGUUGACAAAUAUUAAAUAAACAUAAGAGUUAGAAACAUAAAAUUUGACUCAAAAAGUUGAUGACUUGGUAUACCCCAUUUUAAUAUGCUUAUAGUAAUGCUUGAAACUAAAAUUUAAAAAGAAAUAAAAAAAGAAUUUGUAAUUCACUUCGUUCAACACUUUUCACUAUUAAUUAUUAUUUUUAACAAAGUACAAAAAAUGCUUAAGUAGGUAAAAUAAUAUAUUUUUAUAAUAAAUAAUCAAUUUUUUCUAUAAAAUUUUUAACACAUAAUUUAUUGGGAAAAUUGUAUAUAAUAGCAAACUAUUAAUUCAAAUUAAAUGCUAUAAAUAAAGUUUGAUUUAAUUGUACCUCAUAGCAAACUGUUGCUAUUUCACCUCUCUCCUGGUGAAUCUCUCUCGCCACUCUCGUUCUCUCCCUCGCCUUUCUCAUAUUUUAUACAAACACAAGUGUAUAAAGUGUGUUUGUGUUUGUAUAAAGCAAGAGAAAAUUGUAUAUAUACAUAUAUUUUCGUUCCCCUCUCUCCCCUCUCCCAGAUCUCACUCGCCACUCUCCCAGAUCUCGCUCGCUCACUCGCCUCUCUCACUUUAUACAAUUGAUCUUUUUGUAUAUUAUACCAAAGCAGAUUAUACAACUUCUUUCUUUUGUAUAUGUAUAGAGAAAUAUACAUAUUUAUGUUUGCUAUGGAGCGCAAUUAUGCAAAUUUUGCUAUAACAUACAAAUAUGAAUUUUGUGUUUGCUAUAUGUGAAAGUUGCUCUAAUUUAUUCUUGAUAAAAAAUUGGGCCCCCAUAAGGCAAAAGCCUUAUUUCCCAAUGCAUAGAGCCGGCCCUGGAUAUAUGGACAUGAAGUCUGUCCUCUCCUGCGAAAUCUAUUACAUCUUUCUUAAUCUCCAUGGCUGAAUCUACAACCUGACUGUUAAUAUUUGUUAAAUGAAUGAACUUUAAACUGUCUAUAUCCCCAAAUGCACAAGGGAUCUCCGUAAACUCCUCACAGUAUUCUACUAUUAAUUCCUCAAGCUUGGGAAAAGUUCCCUUAUCAACUUGCCAUUCUGAAAGGUUGACCUCUCGCAAAGUCAAAGUCUUAAGACUUUAAUACAUGUCCUCACUUGCAUCCCACUUAUCCUCCACGAAAUAAGAGUCGAUAAUCGCCAGGAUUUCAAGGUGAGGCAAUGCCGCGAUUGCUGACAACAAAGCAGGUCUCAUGUGAAAUAAAUUCAACCGUAACUCUUUCAAGCUGCUAGGGAAGUGAUAUUCAUUGGGAUGUGGUAUUUGGUAGAUUGACUCGGUGUGAAAUAAGUACUCUUUGGGCAUCCUGUAUUUUGCAAAGAGUGAUUCAAGUUUAUUAAGAACAUAAAGCUUGGGAAAAAGGCUUACUCUUCUUGGAGAGCAUAUGAUCCACCAUUAUCAGGCUACUAGAAAUUAAAGCAUCCAAGUAACUUUGAGUUGCUUCCUCUAAACUACACUUGGAUGGAAUAUUAUGCUCCACCAACCCUUCAGCCAUCCACAACUGCAUCAACUUAGAGACUGGAGCUCGUUUGCUCUUUCGAGAUCUUGCAAAGUAAAGCAACAACGGCUUCAGGUGGUAUGGUUAAUGGUCAUAACUUAAUUGCAUAACCUUCAUAAUCUCUAAAUUGAUCGGUCAAUUGAUCUUGAAAGUUCUGUCCCAGCAUGAAAGAUUAUUUUCUCUUGUUCGAAAAAUCAUGUACUUUGUUGUACAUAUUCAGGUGAAUCAAUUAACGACAACCAUCCAUUGAUUUAACUCUCCCUGUUGUUUUACCAAAGUCUAAAUCCGUACCCAACUUAUCUCCAAGCAACAUGAAGCCUUCCAAUUUCAACCUUGAAUCAGAAGACGAGUCCAAGGUCAGCAACUGCCAAGUGGGUUCAAACAUAUCCGUCCAAGAAAUUCGCCCUGGUCCUUCCCUUAAUCUUCAGCAGGAAUCAGUUCCUAUUACUCUUGACUUGACUCUUGGCUUCAACAGCAGUGACUCCGAGUUGAAAACCAAUGGAGAGGCGAGUGAUGAAGUAGUACCCCAUCCUCCAACGGCAGCACUAUCCCGAGUUUUCUCGUGCAAUUUCUGCAGACGCAUGUUUUACAGCUCCCAGGCGUUGGGCAGACAUCAGAACGCACAUAAGAGGGAGAGGACUUUAGCUAAUAGAGCAAUGCGGAUGGGAAUGUUAUCGGACAGGUACGCUAGCUUAGCAUCAUUGCCCCUUCACGGGGCUGCAUUUCGAUCUCUUGGCGUUUAAGCUCAUGCUUCCACACACCAACGCAUCUCGCACCAAGAAACGCCUAUUCAUGCGGUUAGAAGUAGGGCUAGAUUUGAACAAGGCUAUUUCGGGAUGCCAGUAUUCGUGGAGGAUGAUGAAGUGGAAGUGUUCUGGUCCGGUAGCUUCAGGCAAAUAGAGGGAAUUGGUGGCAAUACGGGGUAUAAUUCAGGGUAAAGUUCAAGCAUAAAUUUUGUAGCUGUAGCUCCUCAAACUAGGACAGAUCCAACAUUGCCUGAUCUUAAUUUGAAACUCUGUUGGUUUUUUUUUUUUUUUUUUUUUUUUUUUUGGCAUUCUAUUCUACUUUUUUGUAUCAGAAUUUUCACAAUUGUGGUAUUACACUAGUGCUCUAUUUGUACAGGAGGUGAAUAUUUGAGACUGUCUUGAGCUUUCAAUUUUGAAUCUUCUUCAUUCCCAAAUUUGUUUAGUUGACCAUCUUAUUGUACAAUUAUAUGAUAUUAUUACAUAAGUACAGAUUUGGGACAGUGGUGGUGUUAUUUAGUCUAUGGAAACCUUUAACUUCCUCCCAUUUUAACCCUGUUUAUAAUUAUUCGCUAGAUUCACUUCAGAAAGUCUCACAUUGGGGGUAAGACAUGCAUUCCGUAAAAAAGGCGACUCUAAAUCCAGUAGGGCUCGAACGCGAGACUUCUGAUUAAGGAUCAAAGAGUACUACCACUCCACCACAAUGCUUGUUGGCAGUAGUCAUCUAACUGUCCAUAUUAUUAAAAAAAAAGGGAUAGUUGUCUUUUUCACGUUCUUAAAAAAAAAGAGAGACUUGUCCAUUGAUGACUGUUUAUCAUCAGAUUCAGGCGAAAUGGGACAUAUAUUGAUUCACAAUUUGGCAUUGAAACCUUCCAAUUGAAAAACUAGAAUCUUAUAUGAGAGAUUACAAACAAAAUAAGAUUCAUAACUAACAAAAAACAGGAAAAACAAAAACACACACAACACAUUAAAUUAAAAUAUGUCCAGAACCAGCAAUGAAAAAAAACCAGUAACAAGUUUGUUUAUUGGAAGCAGUAAUCAGAUGAAAUCAGAUGGAAGCGUCGCGUUGUAUCUUUCUUCAUUGUUGUUCUAUCCUUGAGUCCUUUGGGCAUUCUGCAAAUCAUAUAUAGUAUGGUUUAAAUUAAAUGAAGUAUAUAUGUAUGUAGGGGUAACGAUAUAAGAAUUAAUUUCCUCUUCUUCAGCCUCUUCUUCAUCUUCUUCUUCAGCUUCUUCUUCAGCCUCUUCUUCAUCUUCUUCUUCAUACACAUCUUCUAUAUGGACUUGAGGUCUGUCCUCUCCUGUGAAAGCUUCUACUUGUUUCUUAAUCUCAAUGGCUGAAUCUCCAAGCUCACGCUUAGUAUUAGUUAAAUGAAUGGACUUUAAAGUGUGUGUAUCUAUAAAUGCAGAAGGGAUCUCCGUAAGCUUGUAACAAUGUUCUAGUCUUAAUUCCUCAAGCUUGGGAAAGGUUUCCAUAUCAACUUGCCAUUCCGAAUGAUUGACCAUUCGCAUAGACAAAGUCUUAAGACUUUGAUAGAUGUCCUCACUUGCGUCCCACUUGUCCUCUACGAAUUCACAGUAAAUAAACUCCAGAAUUUCAAGCUCAGGCAAUGCCGCGAUUACUGACAACAAAUCAGGUCUCAGGGGAAAACCAUUCAACCGUAACUCUUUCAAGCUGUUAGGGAAGUAAUAUUCAUUGGGUUGUCGGAUUUUAUCAGGAUAUUCGGCAUUCUCGUACAUUGCAAUGAGUGAUUCAAGUUUAUUAAGGACAUCAAACUUGGGAAACCAAUCGCGGUGUGUAGGAGGAUCUAUCGGUUCCUUGAUGUAGCAAUGAAGGUGCUGAAGAUUUGGGAACUUCUCCAGAACAUCACUCGUGCUUCAGUAAAUGAGAUAUCAACUUUGGAUAAAGUUGUCAAGUCUUCUAACUUUGAAUUCUCAGCUUCCAAUAUUCUACUUGGUUGAUGCAUAAUAUUGUCCGCAUCCAUUUCCUCUUCCUCUUCAAAGAAAGAACUCCUGUCAAUUUUCACAUGUUUUAGCUUUGAUAGUUUGAAUACUAUGGGCAGUAAUACCAUGGUGGAAUAUUGUGUAUUGUCAAGAGUCCAAAGCUUUAAGAACCUCAAAUGAAAUAGGGAGCCUAUUUCUUCCAUUAAAAAAUCUUCCAGAAUAAUGCUAUCCAGUUGCAACACUCUAGCAAGUCCAAAGGGUCUUGUAUGGCAGAUAUAGCUGGAGUUAAGAAGUGAACCGCUAACUUUCAAAGAUAUGAGAUGCUUACUACCAGCUGAACACUUAUUAGAAUUGAACAAACCACAUUUUUUGUUAGACGAUGAUGUAGGAAAUCCAAAGCAUGAAAUCGAGCACCUGGAUUCAUUAACUUGAAAAACUUUGCCUUUUUAGAUUUUGCUGAACAAAAAUCGUGCACAACAUCAUGCACAUAGCAAACCUUGAUCCUAACAGAAAAAGGCAUACUCUUCUUGGAGGGGACUUGAUCCACCAUUAUCAGGCUACUGGAAACUAAAGCAUCCAAGUAACUUUGAGUUACUUCCUCUAAACUACUCUUGGAUCGGAUAUCAUGAUCCACAAACCCUUCGGCCAUCCACAACUGCUUUAACUUAGAGACCGGAGUUCGUUUGUUCUUUUGAGAUCUUGCAAAGUAAAGCAACAACGGCUUCAGGUGGCAUGGUAAAUGGUCAUAACUUAAUUGCAUAUCCUUCAUCAUUUGCAAAUUGAUGUUUGCAGAAAUAAAGGAAUCCAAAUUAUGUUGAAUCUUAAGCCACAAAUUCUUUUCCUUUUUCUUUCCUCUAACAAUUACUCCAGCAAUCAAAACAAUAGCCAAGGGAAGUCCUUUACAUUUCUUAACUAUUUGGUGUCCAACAUUUGACAGUUCAGCAGGGCAGCUUCCUUCUCCAAAUACCCUUUUUUCGAAUAGUUCCCAACUUUUUUCAGGUGUUAAAACUUGAAGGUUGAUAGGAUCAGUACGACAUUUAACUUGCGAACCUACCUUACUAAUUCGGCUAGUUAAAAUAACUCUAUCUCCUCUUUUAAGCUUUGGAAAACAUGCUAUUAACAUCUCCCCUGUUGCAAUAUCCCACACAUCAUCCAAGACGAUGAGGUACCUUUUAUUGUACAGCGCUCUUUGUAGCUUUUCAGCAAGGUCAUCCUCACUUCCUUUUUCAGAGCCAGUAACUUGCUGAAGAAUCUCCCGCAACACCUUUGACUUGUUAUACUUUUGGGAAACAGUCCACCAAGCACGAAUCUUGAAAUGACUAGCAACUAAUGUAUUGUUAUACACUUUGUUGGCCAGAGUAGUUUUACUGAGUCCUGGCAUUCCGACAAUAGAAAUGACAUCAAGCUCGGAUUCAUGUUCAUCAAGGAGCUGGUCAAUGAUCUGGGAUUCUUUCUCAUGAACUACUGUUACCUCAACAAAAGGUGAUGAGGUUAACUCAAUUGGCUCGAUGGAAGACUUUGCAUCAAGGGGGGUGAUCCCCAUUCUUAUCCUCCAGCCGUAAACCGGUGACUUCUGCCACGAUAAGCUUGAUCUUAUCAGUGAUCCUCGGAAGUGAGAAGAUUAAAUGGGAGAGAGCUUUAUCUCUGACAAGAAUGGAAUUAAUGACAUGUUCUGCCUCAUAUGCCACAUCUAAUGCACGCACCCAACAAUCUUUAACUACUCCACUAGUACUGUCAUCCAAUGUUUGCCUGAAAGAUGAUGUUAGGAAUUGAAGGCUUUCUUUCAUCAUCCCAAUUUCUUUUUUUUUGAGAGAAACUGCAUAGACAUUGGAAAUGAGCAAAUCAUUUAAAUGUCUGAGUAGAAGAUUCAUGAAGAGGAAACCAUCAUCCAUAGGAAAGCAAAGUUGAGAUAACUCUGGAGCUUUCAAAAAAAUGUCUAAUAUCUCGCUUCAUUUGUUCUAUUUCUUGCAACAAGUCUGAAGCUGAAAAGUCCGCUUCAUUGAUAUUAUUCUCAGAGCUCUCCUCCACCAGAAUAGAUAUCUUCCUAGCAAGUUGCCCAACAUGUGCCAACAUAUCAUUCAAUUUGUCAUGAUGGAUAAAUUGCUUUGGUAUAUCAGUGAGAAAGAUCAAUAGGAACUCUAUCAUGACAUUAAUGCUUUGAGUUGGAGCGUAAUUGACAGCUACUGCAUCUGCCAUGCGUCCAGGGCCGGCUCUUGCCUAUAAAAUUUUAGGCAUUGGCCUUAGGCCCCAAUUUUUGGGGGCCUCAAAUUUUUAUAAAUAAAAAAUUAUGUAUCUUAAUCCCAUUCAAAUAGAAGAAAUUAAGGAAACAUUGUCUUGGAUUCUUACAUUUUCUUCGUUAACACUCACAUUAUUUAUCCUUUGUAACUCUUUUUGCACUCUAUUUCUUCAAAUCUUUGAUAGUUAGAGUAAUACACUCUCAAAAAUAUGAAUCAAUAGUCGAAAAGUGUUGAACAAAGUGCAUUACAAAUUCUUUUUUUUAAUUUAUUUGUUAAUUUUCAUAUUAAAGUAGGUAUACCAAGUUAUCAACUUUCUGAAUCAAAUUCUAUGAUUCUAACUCUUAUAUUUAAAGUUUAUCAACUUAUUACUUAUAAAAUUGUGUUAAUAAUUCAUAUAAUAAUUGUCUCAAUAAAAGGAUGUUUUUCAAUGUUGAAUUGAUAAAAUCUUACUUAAAACUAAGGGAAAAUGUAUAAGUACCACCCCAGCCUAUGCCCGAAAUCCCAGAGACACACCUAACCUUUACUAAGGUCCUAUUACCCCCCCGAACUUAUUUUAUAUGUAAUAUUCUACCCCUUUUUGGCCUACGUGGCACUAUCUUGUGGGCCCAACGCAUGUUGACAAAAUUUUCAAGGAUAGUGACUUGUGCCACGAUAAGCUUGAUCUUAUCAGUGACACUGGAAGUGAGAAGAUGAGAUGCGAGAGAGCAUUAUCUCUGACAAGAAUGGAAUUAAUGACAUGUUCUGCCUCAUAUGCCACAUCUAAAGCACGCAACCAACAAUCUUUAACUACUCGGCUAGUGUCAUUCAAUGUUUGCCUGAAAGAUGAUCUAAGGAAUUCAAGGCUUUGUUUCACCAUCCCAAUUUCUUUCUUUAUGAGAGAAACUGAAUAAGCAUUGGAAAUGAGCAAAUCAUUUAAACGUCUGAGUAGAAGAUUCAUGAAGAGGAAACCAUCAUCCACAGGAAAGCGAAGUUGAGAUGACUUUGGAGCUUUCAAAAAAAUCUGUCUAAUAUCUCGCUUCAUUUGUUCUAUUUCUUGCAACAAGUCUGAAGCUGAAAAGUCCGCUUCAUUGAUAUUAUACUCAGAGCUCUCUUCCAACAGAAUAGAUAUCUUCCUUGUAAGUAGCCCAACAUGUGCCAACAUAUCAUUCAAUAUGUCAUGAUGGAUAAAUCGCUUUGGUAUAUCAGUGAGAAAGAUCAAUAGGAACUCUAUCAUGACAUUAAUUCUUUGAGUUGGAGCGUAAUUGACAGCUACUGCACCUGCCAUGCGUCCUUGGAGAAGAAUCAGAUAAUUUUGAAGAAUCCUUGGUGAUGCUUUCCGGAUUUGCUUAACAAACCGUUCUAGUUCAGUUGAUCUUGAUUCUUUGAUGAGCAGUAGAAAUGUAUAAACCUCCAGCUCAAGAGGGAUUAUGUCGAUGAGUAGAGAAGCAAUCUUGGAAGAGCAUUGAGAGACGUCGUCACACACCUCGUAACCAUCAUAAUAAUAUUCAGUCCAAAGAUCAAAACAGAAUUGUGUUACUCUAUCAGCAGUCAAUUGGUGCCAAAGGUAGAGAUAUUCAGUGUGUGCUUUGUUGGCCUUGAGGAUAGGAUAGAAAUCUCUCAGAUGUCGGAAUACUUGCUAUUAGCACGAUAGUUUGGUAGAUCAUGAAGGUGUCUGAAGAGAUAUUCAAACAUUUUCUCGUCAGUCGUCAUGGCUACAUAAUAAUCAUUCUCCAAAUUCAAAAAAUAACUUUUCAUCUCUUCCAGCAGCAGAGGGGCAAGACAUUCCAUGUCGCAUUUCGCUAGGUUUAAUUUAUCAUCUUCAUCUUGAUAGAAAAGUGAGCAACUAAGUUCAUAGAACUUGUCUAUUUUCUCGGACAUGCUGGAAUAAAAAUAAUCCAAACUCGGUUUCCCAAACAGAACAAAUGUUCUUAGGAAUCUCAACUCCAUUCUUAGCUUUUCAAUGUCAUCCAAUUUUGAUGAAGCAAUUAUUUUUUCAUUCUUUAUUUUCUUCAAGCCAUUUAAGAAAUCAUCAAUAUGACUGCUGAUUCUUCUUCUUUCUUCCUCAAAUGGAAGCUGCUAAAUUAAAAACCAAUCAUUAGUCGGGAUAUAUUAGUGACAAAUUUUGUUAUUUAGUUACACAAGUGUAGUAAGUAGUUUGUUUAUGUGAUGUAAUAUAAAGUUUAGGGAUGUAAGAUUCUUUUUAGUGAAUUUUAACAUUUUUUUUUUAUAUUAAACUUUUUUUUAGUAGCUUCUAUAGAUAAUUUAUUACUAAUGAGAAUGGGUGAUAUAAUUUUUAAAUUAAAUAAUGAAUUUGUUUUUGCUAAUAAUACUACCUCCGUCGACUUUUAUUUGUCAUGCGCUUUUCGAAAGUCAAUUUGACUAAUUUUAAAAAUUAAAUUAGAUUAAUUAAUUCGAUAUUUUAAACAAAAAUUUAGAUAUUCAAAAAAUAUACUAAAAGUACUAUAAAUUGCAAUUUUUUGCAUAUCAAUAUGAUGAAAAAUACAUCAUAAAAUGUUAGCUAAAAUUCUUAUAAUUUGAUUCUAAAAAGAAAACAAUGACAAUUAAAAAUGGAUCGAGGGAAUAGAAAAAAAAAAAAAAAAAGGGCAAAGUGCCCAAUUAAUUAAAUAAAUAAAAAGGAAAGGAAAAAGGGCAACUACCCAAUAGACCAAAGAAAAUAAAAAGAAAAGUUGAAAGACGUGAAACGUCAAACAACAUAAACGAAAAAAAAAAAAACAACAGUUCAACAAACGCAGUAGAAGAAUAGAAAAGAAAGAAAGAGAAAAUAAGAGGAGAAAAUAAAAGAGAAAAAGUGGAAACUUUAUCUCAAAGUGAUUCUUGUUCUUUUCACAAAAUUUUUAUACGAUUAUGAACAGAUUUUUAGGAUAGAAAGUGUAGAAUUUAUGCCUAAUUGAGAAAAAUAUAAUUCUAGGAUUUUUAGAACAAAAUCUUGAUUUGAGGGUCGAAUAACUAUUCGUUUUAACUAAAAUUUAUCAUGCGAGUUAUUUUAUUAUGAGUGAAAUAAUCCAAAGAAAAUUUCAGAUUUGAAUUCGAAGGCUCAGGGUGACUUUUUUCACCCAAUUUUGAGCCAAAAAAAAAUAAUAUAAUAAUAUGUGUGUCAUUCAAUUCGUAUUCUUACGAGAAUUAUAUAUCUGAACAGAUUUUGACCAUUCAAAAGCAUUACAAAAGGAUGAAUUGGUAAUUUAACUUUUGAACUUCAGUUUGAAGCAAGUAGAAAUUCCUUCCUUUCUUUGGAGUGUUAGUUUUAUGAAAUAUAUAAAUAUAAUGAUAACGAAUAAUAAGAGGGUCCUGUAUAAAUGUGAACAACCCGAACCGUCGUUAUUUAGGAGAAACAAAAAUUCGGGAAAAUUUGGCCAUUGUCCCGCCAUAGCGGGCCAGAUGCCGCUAGGGCGGCGGCGCCAAGGCGGGGUAAGCUAACGCCAGGGCGGGAUAGGCGAGGCAGAACGUAAAUUACGCGAAAUCCUAUUUUCCUCCUUCUUCCUAAAAUACCUAAAUAAGUCGUAAAACACCUUAGAAACCCCCAAAAAGCUGUUGCAAGCUUGGGAAGAAGGGAGAGAGAGAUUUCUAGCGUGAGGAUGAUGAUGUCUUAUGGAUUCUUGGCCAAAAUCACCGUCACGAAGCCCAAAAAACAAGAAUCGAAGUCAAUAACUCCGUGCAAUUGCUUGGCACCCAGGUAGGUUUUAUGAAUUGAGUAGUUUAAAUAUGUGCUUACUACGUAAUAUAUGUGAAUCGAUGGUUGGAUUUAUGCGUAGGACUUCGUGCACUGAAUGAUUAUUGAUUUAAACCCUAGAAAGAAGCCUUAGACGAUGAAUUAGGGCUGAGAAUGGUCGAAUUAGGGUUGCAUGAAGUGUGUUGAUAAAUAAUCCGUUGUGAGGGUGGUGAUUCCAUGAUUUAGUGAUGUAUGUUGUUCUUGCUUCAUUGUGAAACAUGUAGGUAUACGAAUGUUGCAUUGUUGAUCACACUUGUUGUAAAUAAGGAGAUGUGAAUGAUGAACGCUAUGAGUCAUGAAUUGUUUUACAUGAUUAUGAGGAUAAACUUGUGAUAUGUUGAAUGGAUCAGUUGCCACGUUCCGGCAUAACUAAUUGGGAUCGAUUGCCACGUUUCGACAUAACUUACUGGGAUCAAUUGCCACAUUCCGACAUAACUAACUGGGAUAAGUUGCCACGUUCCGACAUAACUAUAGGAUCGGUUGCCACGUCCUGGCAUAAUUAUGAGAUCGGGUACCACGUUCCGGUAUGCUAACUGUUUGGGUUUGGGUUCCAUGAGAGGACCAAUGAUGUGGCAAAAUUGUGUAUCUUGAGAAAUGUGAAGUUGUUCGUAAGUGUCGUUAAUAUUGUAUAUAUUUGAUAUGCACAUGUGAGUAUGUUGUUGUAUUGACUUACAUAUGUUGCACUCAUUAGGUACAUGUUACGACGACUUAGAUUUGAUGGUUCUUGUGUUGAGCGAGUUGUUUGGGUAUAGUGGAAGGGCAAGGUGUCCAAGGGGCGAAUAAUAGAUAGUAAGGGUUGUUCGUAUGUUGUAAUGGCGAGAAGUAGAGGCUAAGUAUGUGAUGAAAUAUGCUUAGGUGGAUUUCACCCUGGGGAAAGAGAUUGGGUUUAGCGGUAAGAAAGCUUGAUAUAAUGUAUCAUGUGACCAUGGUUGGGUAAUGUGACGAGGAAGUAAGGAUAUGACGUGAGAGGUUAGUUGAAAUACAACGUGGUGAUUUUUGAGGGAACGCUUAAUGUGUUAGAAUGGUUAGGCCAUGAUCAAGUAUCCAGUAAGUAAGUUGGUUGAGAAGGUAGUUAGUAGUCAGAGUACUAGUGAAAUUAGGAGGUACUUCAAGAAAAGGGUAGAGGUGGAGAAACGAGUGGUUUAUGUCAUGAUCUUACUAGUUGGUCCCUUAUGUUAUGUGGUGGGCUUCGGGUUGACCGAUUAUGCAUACCAGUAUGUGUGUUUUGUACUGAUACUACUCUUGCUAUGUCUUUUGACAUAGUCUGGAUCCAGGCCGGCGACGUUUCAUUAGGUGAAGACGAAGAAAUUCUCCAGCAGCAUCUAUCUUCCUUCUGCAUGGUGGGAGCUGUGUCUUUUGUUUAUCUUGUCCAGAUGUACUCUUAGUAGCUCUUGUAACUGUUUAGACUAGAUCCUUGAGAGUUGUUAAUUACUUUACAAGUUUAAUAAAAAAGAGUGCCUAAAGUUAUUGUACAAAAAAUCAUAUUAUUAUAUUUAUCUUUGUUUUCUUUUAACUUUCCGCAUGUUUAACUAUUGGAAUAUGAGGGUUCUCCUACUUAGGUGUUAGAUUGGGUGCCCACACGGCCCGGUGGGUUGGAUCGUGACAAAAUGAGAUAACGAACAUUUAUGUAGGUACGGAUGUUAUAAUAUGGGAAAAUUUACAUGAAAUUAAUUAUUGCUUGAUAGUAGCUGUAAGUUGUGAUAUGAUUGAAUCAUUGAAACUAGUGAAUUAUGUAAAUUUGAUUGUGAUUAAUGAUCCUUAAUUGUAGGGUCAAUUGAUGAACUCAUAUCAUAUGUUUUUUCAUACAUAUCCGUACCACUCUUAUUGUCGUAUGAUUAUUAUUGGUUGAUAUUAUUUAUUCAACUAUUUGUAAGAUUCGUAUUCUUAUCAUGCCAAUGAGAAAUUGUUCCAACAAGUGAUAUCAUGCAAAGCCGAUAGAAAAUAAUAUUGGCGAAAGGUAUUCAUGUACCAAUGAGAAAUGGUUUUGGCAAAUGUUAUUGUGCCGAUAAGAAAUGAUUCCGGCAGUUAAACAGAUCUCUUGAGUCCUCGACUAUCUGACAGAAGAAGCGGUGUAUACCAUUUCUUGGUCAGUGCAUUGCAUUACAUUUCAUCUAUAUUGCAUUUCAUAUAAAUUUGGCGUUGACUUGUUGAACUGAUUGUGAACUGAUUUGAUUUGAUAGAUUUGAGACAUCUUGUGAUAUCAUUGAUGGUGUAAUUGACAAUUUGGGAAAAAUAUAUGUUUUAAUUGUUAUGUUGAGGUGAUUUAUUUUAUGAUGUAAUUAUACUUUUAGAAAAAGAAACUUUUAGAACAUACCUCGUUAUUGCUUCUUAGAAGAGUUAGUAAUCAAAACUUGUUGAAUACACGUAUUUUUCGUACGGAUCACUCUAUACUUGUUACACCUUUUUUCAAGCAGGAACUGAGUCAGGUACUAGCGGUAUUUGAUUUGUUACUGCGACUGAGAUUGAUGGUUGUUGAAAUUUAGGGUGAAUUGAUUUCUCUUCUUUUUGUCUUAUUUCCUUCUAAACAAAUGCGUUUGUUUUCAUGUUUGUUUUGUAUUAAUAGAUGCCAUUGUACUAGUGUCACCAUGUCUAGGAAUAUUUUAUUUUAACUUAUCUAUACAAAUUUUGCAUUGUUAAAUGAUUAAUAGAGGGAUCAGGUUUGCUUACGGGGAUGGUAGGUGCCCUCACAAAUUAAUGAAAUUUUGGAUUGUGACAACAUGGUAUCAGAGCAUGGUUCAUAGGUCCCAUUAAGUACAAGAGCUGAGUCUAGUAGAGUCUUGCGGAUCAGUUCGUAGAUCUCCAUUACUUAUCUUUGAGAGACUAUAGGACUUUAAGAAACUUUCAUUCCUUAUCGUGCGUAUGCGGUUCACUUUAAUAUCUAAAUUCUUUGUUUUAUUCUCUCACCCAUUGUGAGGAUACGUAUCUAAUUUGUACGUAAGUUAUGAGAGAUGGUGUUACAUGGUGUGGUGCGAGGCGUUAUGAUUUGGUUAGCAGAAUGACCAAAUAAUAGGAAUUGCGAUAUUGAGGAUGUUAGCAUAGUAUGGAUGGUUCGUUUGAGGUGUAACAAUGAUGUUUUAAUUUUUCCAAUUUAUUGGGACAAUCUUAUGACACAAUAAUAUCAAUGAUAAGUUGACAGUUCAAUACUGGAAUUAUAUAAUAUGGAUGAUAUGAAUAAAAAUGUAAUCUUGGGAGGAUCAAUUGAUUAGAUAAGAAAAUAGUGAUUAUGAUCAGACUAAAAUGAGAAGUUGAGGAAUAGCAAAAAUAUGAGAGGUGAUAAGUUAUAAUGAAGUUAAGAUGGUAGGACUAGUUAUAAGAUGGGUAUGAAAGACUUUCUUACCUUUUGAGUGAAGGUAUACUAAGAAAAAUUCAAAUAGUUCGAGUUGGAUAACAUGAUAAUCACAAUGAUAAAGUUUCUUAUGAUGGGAGCCACUAUACGUAGACUAAAUAUAAUAAUGUAUGAGAUUAUGAAGCUAGUUGAGUGUCAACCAACAAGGACACUUUAAGUGGUGAUUAAAUGAUAGAUACUGACAUAUUUACCUGUGAGAUGUCUUUCCGAAGUUGAAUUGAGAAUCAACAAUAUUAGUUGAAACUAAUGAAAAACAUGAUUUGAUUUUGGAAAAAGAUACGUGUACAAAACUAUAUGAGAUUAUUCAUAGAGACAUGAGUAUAGUGGUAAAAGACCGGCUUACAAUUCAUGGACUAAUAUUGGUGGUUGGAAAUAUUAUAUCGACAAAUAACUAACUCUAUUGAAGUAACCAAGGUUUUUCCAAGUAUUGUUCAGUAUGCUCUCGAUCUUUUGUAGUUUUAUUUUGGUCAUUGAUCUACUUCUUUUUAUGUAUCUUUUUUGAAUUUGGAUAUAUUUUGUGACUCUCCUUCUAUUUUUGUACGUAUCUCGACACCCUUAGAUGAUUCUUAGUGGUGGAUUGAUUACAUCGAUUUCAAGUUAUUGAUUUGGUAGAACAAGACAUUUGGAUAGACUUCAUUACUUUGAAUAUGAUAGACUUCGACAUCAUGUUGAAUAUGGAUUGAAUUUUUUCCGUUUCAUGCAUUCAGACUAUUAUGUCAAGACAAAGAUCUCAGUUUUGUUAGGUAUUCCUAAAUUGAAGUUACAUGACACUCUAAGUAUCUAUCUAAGGAAAUAUAGUAUCAUCUUCAAAGGCUUAAUGUAUAUGGUUCUGAGACAUGGUUGUGACAAGUGUUAUGUGAAUUGAGAGAGAACAAGGAAUUAAAGAGGAUGUACCAUUUUGAGGAACGCAUCAUGCACUACGAUAAGUAUUAUAAUGUGAGGAACAUGUCAUACGCCGUGAUAAUUUCUAUUAUUGAGAGACGUGUCGCAUGCCGCGACAGAUGUAUGGACAAAUAUGUUCCCCACGGGUCCCAGACUGAGAGACAACGGGUAUGUAUCAUUAGGUCAGACAUGUAUCACCAUAUUUGGCAUUGCAUCUCAUUGUAUUGCAUAUCUUUAUCAUUGUGAACUUGUGAGUGCUUUUCUAUGGAACUUGUAAUUGAUAAAACUUUAUCAUAUGUAUUGUUGAUAUGAAAUUGUCGGAUAUUAUCGUUAAGCUAUGAGCUAUGUAGAUUAUGAACUGUUAGGUUGAGCUGAUUUUAGGCAAGUUGUAGUUGUGGAGGUUUGGUUGGAGUGUAAGGAGUAACCUUAUUCUAUAUUUUUAGAUUUGUUAUAGGAGUUUGCUUGCUGAGUAUCAUGUGGUUUGAUACUCACCUUUUGCUUCUAUAUUUGUGUAGGUUACAAGCCUGGAUCUUCGUGAUACUCUCUACCUCUUCUUGUCCAAGACUUUAUGUGGAGAUUUGUGAGGUAACUGUUUGUUAUCUCAGCAAACCUUCUUACUCCUAUUAUUUAUUUUAUUCUGCUUUAGAGACAAUAUCAUUUGAAACUUUCGUUUUCUUUCAAAUCUAUUAUAAUACAUUAGAGACUUGUGCACGUGACAACCAGGUUUUGAUGAUUUAGUUAAGUUGACGUGUUAUCCGUAUUAUUAUUAUUAUUAUUAUUAUUAUUAUUAUUUGUUAUUAAACUUUUAUUUAUACGUUAUUUCUGCACUUUAUCUUAAUGAUUGGGUUUUAGGCUGACUUGUCUUUGAUGGGAUAAGACGAGUGUCAUCACAUCUAUUUUGGGUCGUCACAUUCUAAUUCAACUCACAAAAUAUGAUAUAUAUUUAGUUAAUUAAAGUGGAUGAACAUGAAAAUAACAAUUUAUCUAUCGUGCACAGGAUUAAUAAAUAUAGGCAUGAUCGAGCGCAUAUUGUCAACGUGACGGAAGUAGAUCAUAUUUUUUAUACUUUUAUGGAGUUUGUAGAAUUAGAUAUUUUAAUUCCUUAUGAUUAGGUUCAUCUUAAUUAGAUGAUAUUUUUAAAAUAUAAAUAUUUUAAUUGUUGAGUUUAAAUUUAUUUACAUUUUGCCGACAAUCCUUUUCAAGAGUCAAUGGUCACAAAUAUUUUAAUGGAUACCGUUAGCUUUAUUUUUACUAUUUUUGACCUUUUUGUUAAGUGCAAGUUUUAAAAUGAAUUUUAACCAUAAAUUAUUUUAUGAUCCACAUGACAUUAAUCUAAGAGGUAAUUGAACUUGUGGGAAUAGUAGUACUUGACUGAAUCUUUUUCCCGCAAAAUGAAUAUAUAUGCCUCUAUAUAUUUGAAUAGGCGUUAACAUUGCCAUGUAAAACAUACCAAUAGUAUUGUUACAAAAACAUGUAAAACUAGUAAUUGCUAGAGAAGUAACCAGCUUAAUCACUACUCCUAAUUCCAUUCCUUUUUAGUUGUCAUAGUUUUCUUUUUAAGACUCAAACGAUAUAGAUUUUGACCAAUAUUUUAAGUUGUAUUUUUUCAUCAUAUUGAUAUGAAAAAAAUUGCAAUUUAUAGUACUUUCGGCAUAGUUUUUGAAUAUCUAAAACUUUAUUUUAAAUAUUGAAUGAAUAUAAUCUAAUUUAGCUAUGAAAAUUAGUCAAAUUAACUCUCGAAAAACAUAACAUGACGAAAAAAACGAAGAAAGUAUUAAUUUGGAGCAUGUAAAAGUAUUAGUACACAUACCGAUGACCUUCCUUUUUCCAUUUAAUCUCUAACGUCGAACCAGCCUUCAAUUUCUAGAGAUUUGAUGUUUCAACUAAUCACAUGCACAUUUAAUAAGGAUAAAAAUUAGAAAUGCAAGUAAAAGGAACGGCAACAAGCAAGAAUUGUGAAUGUAAACUAUUAAAUUUAUAGGUUUUGAAUUAUUAAAAUGAUAUAUAUGUAAAUAAUAAUUCAGAAUAAAUACAUGAUAAUUUUUUUAGAGAAAAUGUUCUCUAAAAUUUUUGACCAACCAAAAUGAGAAAAUUGAAAAACAGUUUAGAGAGGGAAGAGAAGAGGGUCGGAGACUAAUCUUGAUGCUAGGAAAUAAACUCUUUCAACUACUAUAUAUUGAUGCUUAAUUAUCGACAAUUGCGCUCUAUCGGUGAAAAUCUCCUACUUCACAACAGGAGAUCGUAUCGGGUAAGAAAGUAGGCUCACUAUAUCCAUUAUACUCUUACUAAAGUACAUUUGAUCUUCUUUGUCUCGAACCCAUACCCCUAUAAUAAUGGUAGAGUCAGGGGUAGCCCCAAAGCGAAAUUGACCAGUAGUGCUUGGUCGAAGCUCCAGUAGGUCCUUCAACCUUAAGAUUGUAAGCAAAGAUGACAGAAACUCCUACAUAUCAUUCUGUAUAUCCAACAUAUACAUUCUAUAAUUAUCAAGUCAAAAAUAUAAACCAUUUUGCUGUUUCUUAUGUAUGUAUGUAAUCCACAAAUAAAUACAAAAAGGGAAUAUUACUCUCUCUGCCUUUGUAUUCAAAUAUUACAUGUAAAAAAAUGAAAUAAAAAGAAAAAUAGUUUACCUUUUUCUCUACUUCCAAGCUGUUAAAACCAUGAAAAUUAACUAGGAAAUGAUGAAUGUGAUAUAUUAUGAGAGAGCUCACAAUAAAACUUAAAUGCUAAUUAAGGCUACCUUGAAUCUAUAUGACUAUAUAGCCAUACAUACAAUAAGAAAAAAAUGACAAAAGGUUAAGUUGGUCAAUAGCUUACAAUACCAUGUUCUUACAAUUUUCUAUUUAUAUUAAAUUUUUUGAAAUAGUCAACUUUUUUUCUAUUUAGUCUAAUUGAUAAUAAGAAUUAAUUUCUUCAAAAAAAAGACUUACUAAUAGUUAGUUCUAUCAAGAAUUUUUAGAUAAAAAUUGUUCACAUUCCUAAAAAUCUCUCUUUUUUAUGGGUUUUUCACCCGGUGUCCGGAGUCUACAUUGAAGCAUUGCACAGCAUUGCAAGAGCUCAUUUGGGGUUGACGCUCCCAACAACAUUUUCUUUAUUUCGAACCCUCUGUUUAAGGUGAAAAAGCCCCAUAUUCCUAAAAAUCUCUCCAUUAUUAGUCAACUAAACAGACAAUAGAUCUGCCAAUAAAAUAAAGGACCCAUUUGGUUAUAAAAAUUAUUUAUUUAUUUAAUUUAAAUGUUAGUGUAAAUCUACGAUGAAAUGCCUCCUAAAUUAACCCGGAAAUGUCAACUGACAAAUGCUUAUUCUGUUAUUCACUUGCAAAUAUAUUUAUGGAGACUGUCAGCUAUCAUUUCGAUAUUCGAGUUGACAGACUUGGUUUUAAUUAAUGAUUCAAAAUAAUUAUAAACUUAAAUUAAUCAAAUUUAGAUCUAGACUUUGAUUAGACUAAUUGAAUGUUCACGUUAAGGCUGCAAAUAUAAAUAAAAAAUUACUUAUAUUAAGUACUCAUAUAAUAUUAUUUUUAUACUAGGUAACAAGUUUGUUCAUUGGAAGUAGUAAUCAGAUAAAACCAGAUGGAAGUUGCGUUGUUUCUUUCUUCAUUGUUGUUCUAUCCUUGUGUCCUUUGUGCAUUCUGCAAAUUAUAUAUCAUAUAUCAUCAUAUCACAUAUUACUAUAAGUGGGAAGCUUAACCCCAAAGUUGAUUUACCGGUUUUGACCUUACAGUAUUACUUAAAUAUUAAUUUAGUAAAAAUUAAAUUUGCUGAUAAUCUCAGCCCUAAUUAAAUUCUCCAGAAACUUAUAGUUGCUGCUCAGCCUCUUCGAUCACUGUACCAGAAACCGUAUAGUUGCUGGUUGCUGCUCAACCUCCUUGAUCAGUGCGACAGUUCUUUUCCGACGCUCAAGUUCCAUUGCUUUAAUUAGCAGCUCAUUCAAAACCUUUUCACAUUCUUGGAUCAUCUAUAUAAAUGUCUCCAACAAUGUGUCAUUGUCCAAUAAUUGGUUUUUCUUUUCUCUGCCUCAAUCAAAUACAUCAUUGUCAAGUAAAAAAAAAUUCUCCUCUUUAUUUAUCAAGAGCUGCUCUAUUUUCCCUGUUUACUGUGCAUGUCUUUAUCUGGCUUAUUUCGUUUCAUUCUCUUUAUCAUGAGUCGCUCUGUUCUUGAUAUUGUUAUUUUUGUGAAAGUGUUGGAAUUUUGCGAAUGUUCGGAAGUGAUGGCAUGCUGGGAAGUGGAAUAUUGGCAGGCAUUUGAGGUGGCUGCUGUUGGUAAAUUGGGAAUAGUCGGUAUUAGCUGUUGGAAGUGUUGGCAAAGAUGUAAUGCUUGGCAAUGGUGGCAAUGUGGCUGCUGUUGGUAAAUUAGGAAUAAUGGGUAAUUGUGGCAUUGUUGGCUGAGGCAACAAGGGGAUCGUUGGCAAGUUUGGAAGUUGCAGUAGGCUAUAACCAACAUGACUUGUGGUGAUGUUUGGUCAUGUCUGGUAUUUAAGUCGAGAAGGGAAGAGGGAUAGGGCUAUUUUUCACCGAGUUUCGAACUAUGUGCCUAUUUGCCUUUGGGAAUUCUCAGUUUUCAUCCUAUGCUACCAAAAGAUUCAAACUCAGUAUACUUUUUUGCAGAUUUGACUUGUGAAAGGUGUUAUCUUUAGAUUCUAAUGUGAUACCUAAAUUAGAUUUCUUAGACAAGUAUUUAGCGGUCAUACAAAAUGUGGUUAAAGCUAGAGUGCAAUGAAUUUGCCCCCUGUGCUUUGGCAGUGGUCAAAGUCUGGUAUUUUAGUUGAGUUGGGCAGAGGGAUGGGCCUAUUUUCCACGGAGUUUUGAACUAUGUGCCUAUUGACCUUUGGGAAUUUGUCAGUUUUUAAGGGAAAAAAGACUGAAUUGUUUUCAUCCUAUGAUACCAAAGAAUCAAACUCAGUAUACUCAGAAAGGCAGGAUUUACCCUGCCUUUCUGUACUAUAUGUAUGAAUAAUCGAAGUAAGAGUGAUUAAAUGUUGUGUUUGAGACUUCCUUCACAUAGCAUUGGAAUUCGCCUUUUCCUUUGUUAAGAUGUUAGAACACAACCUUGCUGGUUCACCGCUUGGUCAUUAUCAAAUUAAACUGUGAGCAACUGUUCUAAAGCUGGAGUCUUUGUUGGGAACCUAGGACCCUUUAUUGUUUUGUCUCAAUUGUUGUAAUAUAUUGGAAUACUCAGCUUUUCUUGGCUACUUCUAUGCAUAAACGUGCAAGUGGUGUAUAAUCUGUUUAAAUGUUUUCACAACUUGGCCUUUGGAGGUAUGUAAAGAGUACAAAAAGUAGGACUUGUGUAAAUCUACAUAAUAAAGGAGUUUAACAAGUCCAUAAACUCUGUCCAGUUAGUUACAAUAAUCAUUUAGGGAUUCUUUUCUAGCUGUCAUUUCCCGGGAGAAAAGGUUGUCGUGAGAUUUGAACUUGCUGAUCCCAAAGCUCAAAAGCGAGUAGUUGCAGUGCUUCACGAGCUCCUUAGUUUGACUAUGGAAAAGAGGUUGACAUCUGCUCAAAUAGAUGCAUUUCAUUCCGAGUUACAGUUAGGUAUAUUCUACAUCACUAAUAAAGGUGUCAGGAGUAAAAUGAUACUUAAAGAGGCUUAUGAUGGGUCUAAUUUGAUCUGUAAAUGCCCUAUGUUAUUAUUUAGAGAUAAGUUUAUAGCACUUACAGUAGGAAAAGAUAUUGAUUCAUGUAUCAAUGCUCCGACUUAGUUUAUUUAAUGAAAACAGUGGUUGACACUGUAGUUUGUUCUUUUUACCCUGCUUCUCAUGGGUGUUGAUCAGUAUUGUUGCAGUGUUGUUCUUGUCAAGAAGGAUAUUUUGUGACUUAAUGUUGCAAUGAAUGAUCUGGUUCUCGCAGUCUUCAUGAAAGUAUAACAGGCCUCUGGCAAUGUCAAGUUCUAUGUCACUUCUUAGCUUCCAGCUUGGUCUUUGUCCAUCGCGAAAGAUCAAAUUUGACACAUCCCCAUUUUUCAAUAAUUCAUAAACAACAUGCCUGUUGCUUUUUUCAUUGCAGAAGCCUAACAAAUGAACCAGAUUUUUCUAAUGUGUUGGGCCUAUCACCCUUACUUCUGCCAAAAAUUCUUUAUCAUCACCUUGUUCAAUUCCAUUUCCUAAUUUCUUCACAGCAACUUCAACUUCCUCAUCCUCUAACUUGAGAAUUUCGCUAUAAACACCACCAGAAGCUCCUUGGCCUAAUUUAUUCUUGAGACCAUUGGUGGCUUCGUGCAGCUGCUGGAAUGAAAAUGCCCUUAAAUACAUCGCAAUUGCCGCCUUUAUUUCUUUCUUUCUUUCUUUUUGGAGAGGUUUUGGCAUCUCUAUAUUUCUUCAUAAAAGGGUGCUAAUAUAUAGCAAUUGCUGCAAAAAGCAGAGCAACUACUGACAAAACACCCUUUGAUGCAGAGUGCUUUUUGUUUUGAGUUAUCGAAGAGCUGCUAAUUUUUUAAGAAAUGCAACCAUGUUAUUUGUAUGAGGAUUAAUAACAUGAUAAUAUCUUGAGCUUUUCUUGAAAUUUUGUGGGUUGUGAGUAUUUUUUGUGAUUGUUGAUGUUAUAAUCAUUGUUAUGGUAAUUACUAAUAAAUUCUACUUCUACUUAUAUUUGUUGUUGUUAGUUACUAUGAUUAUGAUUCUUGAAUUGUUGUUGUGAGCUUUGUAAAUUUGGUGACUUUGGGUUCUUUUCUUGAUCUACUAUGAGUUGCUUGAAUUUUGGUCUUGUGGUGUAUUUGAGGUCUUAGUGGACUAUGGUGUUUUGCAAUUUUCAUGUUGUAAUUUAGAUAUAUGAUGUUAUUUUAAUUUUUUCUUAUUUAUUAUUAAUAUAUCAAGGGCAGGGGAAGGGGAAACGGAGGAGGGGAUUAUAAGGUGGUAAUCGAAUCCUGACUAAUAAGGUGAAUGUUCAGGUAGUCAACUAACCGAAGCUAGCUAUCAAGAUUCUGUACUUUAAGUUGAAAUUGUCUUAUGGACAAAAUUCCACUAUAGGUGAAAAUGAAGAAACUUGAUUUUGUGUCUUUUUUGGUACUAAUUUAUGACCUAUUUGAGGAACUGAACUAAUUUAUCGAAGUUUUCGUCUGUGAAAAUUUGUGAAAGAUGUUAAAUUGUUCUUGAAAUUUCGUAGUUCAAAGCAUAGUAAACUUGAUGAGCUCAUGAUUACAUGGAAAAUAAGUGUAUUUUUCUACUGAUUUUUUGGUUUGAUGAUGAUUUAUGUUAGGUGUUAAGAUACCUCUAGUGAAAUUGUGUGCCAAGUGGAACCAAGAUUUGAACUUUAUGAGUUCUAAGUUCUAAGAUAGCAACAUCAGGUGUUAGUAACUGUGUUCUGAAUUUAAUAUUUGUACAUGUUUAGUGAAUUUCUUAAUACAAAUUUAAGGGUUUGAACUUAAGCUACUGAAUUCGACUUCUAGCUCGCCCGUGAUUGUGUUCAUUUGCUUCCUCGAUGUUUUCCCGUUUCUCAUAAUUUUCCUGAUGAUGCCUUUUGUUUCCCAGGUUCUUCCAAAAAGUUGAAUUUUGCUACAGUUCAAGAAGUUUUGGAGUUCUUCUGAUUAUUUGUCAAAGUGCAAUAAAACUGAAACUCCGUAGGUAUUGUAUUUCUCAUUUCAACCUUUAAUUAACUAACCAUUUUAGCACUAUCUUUUUGAAUUAAGCUUUUUCCUACACGAUUUAACCGACCUUUGAGUCAUUACUAUGAUAACAACCAGUCGUAAUUAAGCUUCAACAUGAGCCUGGUGUUUGAGGUUGUAAGCAGGUAGAUCUUUUCCCGCAUGUGAACAAAUGAUGUACUUUUAUUUGAUGCACUGGUACUGAUUUGAGAAUGUAGAAUUCGUACUCGUUCGUGUGGUAUCUAUUUUACUGAUCUGGGAAUUUCAAAGCUGUUUCAAAGCAAUUACUGAUCUGGGAAUUCUCCGUAAUGUUAUAAACCAUUGGGGUUAGUUGUACCUACAGAGUGGAAAGCAAAUCAAAACCGAUACUUCGAUGUUAUUCAUUUUGGUUUCUGUGUGACUUGGUUUAGAAUUCGAGGGAAAUGAUUAAUGUAUAGCUUAAUAAAUUGAUAUUCAUCAUUGGCCAAUUGAUCUUGAAAGUACUGUCUCAGUACGAAAGAUUAUUUUCUCUUGUUCGAAAAAUCAUGUACUUUGUUAUACAUAUGCAAGUGAAUCAACUAACGACGACCAUCCAUUGAUUUAACACUCCCUGUUGUUUUAUCAAAGUCUAAAUCCGUACCCGACUUGUCUCCAAGCAACAUGAAGCCUCCAAAUUUCAAUCUUGAAUCAGAAGACGAGUCCGAGGUCAGCAACUGCCAAGUGGGUUCAAACAUAUCCGUCGAAAUUCAUCCUGGUCCUUCCUUAAUCUUCAGCAGGAAUCAGUUCCUGUUACUCUUGACUUGAUUCUUGGCUUCAACAGCUGUGACUCCGAGUUGAAAGCCAACGGAGAGGCGAGUGACGAAGUAGUACCCCAUCCUCCAACGGCAGCAUUAUCCAGAGUUUUCUCGUGCAAUUUCUGCAGGCGCAAGUUUUACAGCUCCCAGGCGUUGGGCGGACACCAGAACGCACAUAAGAGGGAGAGGACUUUAGCUAAGAGAGCCAUGCGGAUGGGAAUGUUAUCGGACAGGUACGCUAGCUUAGCAUCAUUGCCCCUUCACGGGGCUGCAUUUCGAUCUCUUGGCGUUGAAGCUCAUGCUUCCGCACACCAACGCAUCUCGCACCAAGAAACGCCUAUUCAUGNNNNNNNNNNNNNNNNNNNNNNNNNNNNNNNNNNNNNNNNNNNNNNNNNNNNNNNNNNNNNNNNNNNNNNNNNNNNNNNNNNNNNNNNNNNNNNNNNNNNNNNNNNNNNNNNNNNNNNNNNNNNNNNNNNNNNNNNNNNNNNNNNNNNNNNNNNNNNNNNUUUUUUUUUUUGCAUUCUAUUCUACUUUUUGUAUCAGAAUUUUCAUAAUUGUGGUAUUACAUUAGUGCUCUAUUUGUACAGGAGAUGAAUAUUUGAGACUGUCUUGAGCUUUCAAUUUUGAAUCUUUUUCAUUCCCAAAUUUGUUUAGUUGACCAUCUUAUUGUACAAUUAUAUGAUAUUAUUACAUAAGUACAGAUUUGGGACAGUGGUGAUGUUUUUUAGUUUAUGCAAACCUUGUAACUUCCUCCCAUUUUAACCCUGCUUAUUAUUAUUCACUAGAUUCACUUCAGAAAGUCUCACAUUGAGGUUAAGACAUACAUUCCCUAACAAAGACGACUCUAUAUCCAGUAGGGCUCGAACGCGAGGCCUCUAAUUAAGGAUAAAAGAGUACUACCACUCCACCACAAUGCUUGUUGGCAGUAGUCAUCUAACUGUCCAUAUUCUUUAAAAAAAAAGGGAUAGUAGCCUUUUUCAUGUUCUUAAAAAAAAGGGGGAAUUGUCCAUUGAUGACUGUUCUUCAUCAGAUUCAGGCCAAAUGGGACAUAUAUUGAUUCACAAUUUGGCAUUGACACCUUCCAAUUGAAAAACUAGAAUCUUAUAUGAGAGAUUACAUACGAAUUAAGAUUCAUAACUAGCAAAAAACAGGAAAGAAAACACACAACACAUUAAAUUAAAAUAUGUCCAGAACCAGCAAUGAAAAAAACCAGUAACAAGUUUGUUUAUUGGAAGCAGUAAUCAGAUGAAGUGAGACUGCAAAUGCAUUCGUUGCGUUGUUUCUUUCUUCAUUGUUGUUCUAUCCUUGAGCAUUCUGCAAAUUAUAUAUAGUAUGAUUUAAAUUAAAUGAAGUAUAUAUGUAUGUAGGGGUAAAGAUGUAAUAAAUUAAUUACCUCUGUUUCAUCCUCUUCCUCAGCUUCUAAUUCAUACAACACAUCUGAUAUAUGGAGUUGAAGUCUGUCCUCUCCUGCGAAAUCUACUAUCUGUUUCUUAAUCUCAAUGGCUGAAUCUUCAACCUCACGCUUAACAUUAGUUAAAUGAAUGGACUUUAAAGUGUGUAUAUCUAUAAAUGCACAAGGGAUCUCCGUAAGCUUGUAACAAUGUGCUAGUCUUAAUUCCUCAAGCUUGGGAAAGGUUUCCAUAUCAACUUGCCAUUCCGAAUGAUUGACCAUUCGCAUAGACAAAGUCUUAAGACUUUGAUAGAUGUCCUCACUUGCGUCCCACUUGUCCUCUACGAAUUCACAGUAAAUAAACUCCAGAAUUUCAAGCUCAGGCAAUGCCGCGAUUACUGACAACAAAUCAGGUCUCAGGGGAAAACCAUUCAACCGUAACUCUUUCAAGCUGUUAGGGAAGUAAUAUUCAUUGGGUUGUCCGAUUUUUUCUGUUAACUUGGGAUAGCCAACAUUCUCGUACAUUGCAAAGAGUGAUUCAAGUUUAUGAAGGACAUCAAACUUGGGAAACCAAUCACCCUGUGUAAGAGGAUCUAUCGGUUCCUUGAUGUGGCAAUGAAGGUGCUGAAGAUUCGGGAACUUCUCCAGAACACCACUCAUGGCUUCAGUAUAUGAGAUAUCAACUUCAGAUAAGGUUGUCAAGUCUUCUAACUUUGAAUUCUCAGCUUCCAAUAUUCUACUUGGUUCAUGCAUAAUAUCGUCCGCAUCCAUUUCCUCUUCCUCUUCAAAGAAAGAACUCCUGGCAAUUUUCACAUGUUUCAGCUUUGACAGUUUGAAUAUUAUGGGAAGUAAUACCAUGGUGGACAUUCCAGUAUUGAUGAACAGAGUUUCCAGAUUCUGGAGGUUCAACCACGACACUGGGAUAACUUUUACUGGAGUUCGAAUCCUUAAGAACCUCAAAUGAAAUAGGGAGCCUAUUUCUUCCACUAAAGAAUCGUCCAGAAUAAUGUUAUCCAGUUGCAAUACUCUAGCAAGUCCAAAGGAUCUUGUAUCGCAGAUAUAGCUGGGGUGACGAAGUGAACCGCUAACUUUCAAAGAUAUGAGAUGCUUACUAUCAGCUAAACACUUAUUAAAAUUGAACAAAACACAUUUUUUACUGUCGUCAGUAUGAAUGGUUAGACGAUGAUGUAGGACAUCCGUAGCAUGAAAUCGAGCACCUGGAUUCAUUAACUUGAGAAACUUUUCCUUUUUAGCUUUUUCUGAACAAAAAUCGUGCACAACAUCAUGCACAUAGCAAACCUUGAUCCUAACAGAAAAAGGCAUACUCUUCUUGGAGUGGGUUUGAUCCACCAUUAUCAGGCUACUGGAAAUUAAAGCAUCCAAGUAACUUUGAGUUGCUUCCUCUAAACUACCCUUGGAUGGGAUAUCAUAAUCCACAAACCCUUCGGCCAUCCACAACUUCUUUAACUUAGAGACCGGAGUUCUUUUGGUCUUUUGAGAUCUUGCGAAGUAAAGCAACAACGGCUUCAGGUGGCAUGGUAAAUGGUCAUAACUUAAUUGCAUAACCUUCAUCAUCUGCAAAUUGAUGUUGUCAGAAAUAAAGGAAUCCAAAUUAUGUUGAAUCUUAAGCCACAAAUUCUUUUCCUUUUUCUUUCCUCUAACAAUUACUCCAGCAAUCAAAACAACAGCCAAAGGAAGCCCUUUACAUUUCUCAACUAUUUGGUAUCCAACUUCUGACAGUUCAGCAGGGCAGCUUCCUUCUCCAAAUACCCUUUUUUCGAAUAGUUCCCAACUUUUUUCAGGUAGUUAAAACUUGGAGGUCGAUAGGAUCAGUACGACAUUUAACUUGCGAACCUACCUUACUAAUUCGGCUAGUUAAAAUAACUCUAUCUCCUCUCUUAAGCUUUGGAAAACAUGCUAUUAACAUCUCCCUUGUUGCAAUAUCCCACACAUCAUCCAAGACGAUGAGGUACCUUUUAUCAUACAGUGCUCUUCGUAGCUCUUCAGCAAGGUCAUCUUCACUUCCUUUUUCUUCCGAGCCAGUAACUUGCUGAAGAAUCUCCUGCAACACCUUUGACUUGUUAUACUUUUGGGAAACGGUGCACCAAGCACGAAUCUUGAAAUGACUAGCAACUAAUGUAUUGUUAUACACUUUGUUGGCCAGAGUAGUUUUACCGAGUCCUGGCAUUCCGACAAUCGAAAUGACGUCAAGCUCGGAUUCAUGUUCAUCAAGGAGCUGGUCAAUGAUCUGGGCUUCUACUUCCUCAUGACCUACUGUUACCUCAACAAAAGAUGAUGAGGUUAACUCAAUUGGGUCGUCAGAAGACUUUGCAUCAAGGGGGUCAUCCCCAUUCUUAGCCUCCAGCUGUAAACUGGUGACUUCUGCCACGAUAAACUUGAUCUUAUCAAUGACAUCUGGAAGUGAGAAGAUGAGAUGCGAGAGAGCUUUAUCUCUGACAAGAAUGGAAUUAAUGACAUGUUCUGCCUCGUAUGCCACAUCUAAAGCACGCACCCAACAAUCUUUAACUACUCCACUAGUGUCAUUCAAUGUUUGCCUGACUUUCCCGAAAGAUGUUGUUAGGAAUUCAAGGCUUUCUUUCACCAUCCCAAUUUCUUUUUUUAUCAGAAAAACUGAAGAAGCAUUGGAAAUGAGCAAAUCAUUUAAAUGUCUGAGUAGAAGAUUCAUGAAGAGGAAACCAUCAUCCAUAGGAAAGCAAAGUUGAGAUGACUCUGGAGCUUUCAAAAAAAUCUGUCUACUAUCUCGCUUCAUUUGUUCAAUUUCUUGCAACAAGUCUGAAGCCGAAAAGUCCGCUUCAUUGAUAUUAGAGCUCUCCUCCAUGAGAAUAGAUAUAUUCCUUGUAAGUAGUGCGACAUGUGCCAACAUAUCGUUCAAUUUGUCAGGAUGGAUAAAGCGCUUUGGUAUAUCGGUGAGAAAGAUCAAUAGGAACUCGAUCAUGACAUUAAUACUUUGAGUUUGAGAGUAAUUGACAGCUACCAUGCGUCCUUGGAGAUGAAUGAGAUAAUUUUGAAGAAUCUUUGGAGAUGCUUUUAGGAUUUGCUUCACAAACCGUUUUAAUUGAGUUGACCUUGAUUCUUUCAUGAGCUUGAAAGUAGAAAUGUAUAGAACCUCCAGCUCAAGAGGGAUUAUGUCGAUGAGUAGAGAAGCAAUCUUGGAAGAGUACUCAUCAGCAUCAUAACUUGAUUUAUACUUUCCAGUCCAAAUAUAAAAAUAGAAUUGUAGAAAUGUAUGGGCGAUGAAUUGGAAGCGAGGAAAGAGAUAUUGAGUAGUAGUUGUUUUGUUGGCCAGGAGGAUAGGAUAGAAAUCUGUCAGACGACGGAAUACUUGGCGAAGAAUGUUUAUUUUCGUGGACAUCGGCCUGUAAGAAGUAAUGUUUGUUAGAUCAUGAAGGUUUGUGAAGAGGUAUUCAAACAUUUUCUCCUCUGUUAUCAUUGCUACAUAAUUAUCAUUCUUCAAACUCAAAUAACUUUGCAUCUCUUCCAGCAGCAGAGGGACAACACCAUCCAUGUUGUAUUUCUCUAGAAUUACUUCAUCAUUAAGUAGUCCCCGAGUCAUAACACUGAACUUGUUUAUUUUGUUGGACAUCCUCUCAUAAAAGUCAUCCAAACUUGAAUCCCCAAACAGGACAAAUGUUUUUAGGAAUCUCAGAUCCAUUCUUAGCUUUUUAAUGACAUACCAAUUUGAAUAAAAGAAUACUUCUUCUUCAUUCUUUAUUUUCUUCAAGCCAUUCAACAAAUCAUCAAUAAGAUUCCUGAUUCUUCUUCUUUUUUCCUCAAGUCGCAGCUCCUAAAUUAAAACAUAGUAAUACGUAAUUAUUAUUGUUGUCGUCAUUGUUUCAAUAGAGACAAUAAUUAAAGAAAUUGAAAAUUUAGUAAUUUUUUAUUUAUUGGCCACUUUUUUUUUUCUUAUUAAUAUAUUCAUUUUGUAUGAUACGACGACAUAUAUAUUGUAUUUUUUUUUAAUUGACUUGAUUGUAAAUGUUUCCCUUUAACUCUCAUUCUAUAUUUCAAUUUUUAUGAUUUUUUUAUUUUAAGAUUUUAAUUUUUUAUAAAUUAAUAGAACAUGUAAUAUUGGAUACAAGUUUUUUAUUGUACUGUACAAUUAUUCAUAUAUAUACAUAUAGUAAUCAUUAGUUUGUUAUUUUAUGGGAUUUUAUCAGCUCAAGUAUAUUAUCUACCCCCUUAGACAAUUUUAACAUAUCAUAUGAUGUUUUCAUUGUUUUAAUUUGUUACUAUGUUUAUUGAAUGUUGUUUAAAGAUUUUAGCAGAAGUAAUUUUUUUUAUAAGUAAUUGGAGCCAAACAUGCAACACACAUUCUCAAAAUAAUUGUUACAAAAAUAUGUAAAACUAAUAAUUGCUAGAAAAAUAAGUAUAAUUUAUAUGUAAAACUUAAUUACUACUAAUUUGGAGCAUGUAAAAUUUGUAUUGAUAGACAUACCAAUGACUUUCCUUCUUUUUCCAUUGAGUCUCCAACGUCGAACCAGCCUUCAAUUUCUAAAGAAUUGAUUUUUCAACUUAUGAUCACAUGCAUAUUUAAUUUGGAUAAAAGUUAGAAGAUAGUAAUCACAUGCACAAGUAAAAGGAAAUGCAAGAAGCAAGAGUUAAGAAUGUUAAUUAUUAAGUUUAUAGGUUUUGAAUUAUAAUUAUACCUAGUAAUUUACUGUUUUAAGUAAAUACAUGAAUUGGUGAAAGUAACAGAUAGCAUGUCAAAAUAUAUACUAUUUUACGUUGAUUAGACUUGAUAAGUUACUCAGAGUGGCGCACAAGUACACACACUAAUAAAUUUUCAAGAAUUUGGACCAUAAUGUAUACUCCAUUUAUUUCAUAUUAACUGAAUUUGUGAGACAAUGGACAUAUAUUAAGCAAAACAUUUUAAAACAUAAUUUAAAUCAUAAUUUCCAGUAUUAUCAUUUGAGAAAUCAUAAAUAUAACUUUGUAAGUAGUGUAAUUUAUCUCCUAGAAAAUAUAAAACUCCAAUAAAUAAAAGGGUAAAUAUGGAAAAAAAAAUCAAACAUCCUUUUUGAAUUUUGAACAAUUCAAUUAUUCUGAACAAUGAAAAAAAUCUAAAUUUUUUACUUAAUAUGAAAUGGAGGAAGUACUAGAGAGACGAGAUCUAAAUUUACACAAACCAUGAGUGUGUUUGGUAUGAAAGAAAUUAUUUUCUGAAAAUGUUUUUUUUUAACUAAUAAGUGGGUUUGUUAUUUUAUUUUUUAUGUGUGUUUGAUAUAUUUUCUAAAUAUUUAAGUAAUCGAACAUGAAAACAUUAAAAAAAUAUAAAUACUUCCUCUUGAACACACACUAUAUUAAAGUGUUUCCAAUAUCAUGAUAUAUUAAAAUCUUAAAUGUAGAACCAACCAAGAUAUAUAUCUAUAUAAACUACGUUAAAAGGUCUUCUUCAUAUCAUGAUUAGAGACCUUAAUUAAUCUCCCUUUACAAGCUUGGACCCUAUAUGGGUGUGAUUGGUACAAAGGGUUUCGUACUUACUAAACAUGAGAAAAUUGAAUGAAAAAAGUUGAAAAACAGUGUAAAAAGGAAAGGGAAGAGGGUUGGAGACUGAUCCUAAAUUAUCAGAUCAUUCUAUAUAUCCAACACACAUAUUCUAUAAUUAUCAAGUAAAAAAUAUAAAUCAUUUUUCUAAUUCUUAUUAUGUAUGUUUCUAUCAAAUCAAGUGAAUCACAAAAAUACAUGUAAAAUGAAAUAGAAAAAAAGAAAACUAGAAAAACAUUAUAUUAUACCUUUUUGUUUACUUCCAAGCUAAUAAUUCCUCUCAAUUGGUAGUUUGCCUUGUUGCAGAUUUACAACACUUAUAUUGAGAAAAUUGAGUCAGCAAAAGCAAGCAGCAAAUGUUGAAGAACCUAAUUCACUUAUUGUUAGAUCUGCAAAUGUGAACUUUCAAUUAGUUUAUCAAAAGUCUAGAUCUGAAAUAGAUUAGUUUAAGCCCCAAUUGAGGUGCUUAAGUGAAUUAUGCGGACAACUCUAAGUGGUUGUUGAUGACUUAAGCCAAUUAGUUUUCUAGUUCUUGUUAUGUAUGUUUCUUUCAAAUCAAGUGAAUAAAAAAAUACAUGUAAAAUGAAAACUAGAAAAACAUUAUAUUAUACCUUUUUGUUUACUUCCAAGCUAAUAAUUCCUCUCAAAUGGUAGUUUGCCUUGUUGCAGAUUUACAAGAAGCAAAUGCUGAAGAACCUAAUUCACUGAUUGUUAGAUCAGCAAAUGUGAACUGUCAAUUAGUUUAUCAAAAGUUUAGAUCUGAAAUAGAUUAGUUUAAGUUUACUAUCAAUUUGAAUUAUUAAAGCCAAGUCUUUCUAUAUAAUUUCCCACAGCCCAUUAAAAUAUUUGCUAGUGGAUCAUUGACAAAAAAAAUACUCCCUCCAUUCCAUUUUAUGUAGCAACAUUUGACCGGGCACGGAGUUUAAGAAAUAAAUGAAGGCUUUGAAAUGUUUAUCAAAUUACCCCUUUAAAAAAUAGUCAUAUUAAAAAGUAAGAGAAAAUGAUCAAAAUGGUCCUUAAUGUAUGGGCUUUGAUUCCAUUUGGUCCUUAAUAUAUGAACUUCAUGGAAAUGGUCCUUUAUGUAUCAUAAAUUGUGAUCAAUUUGAUCCUUAACCCUAAAAUUAAUAUUUUAUAUUUUUUUUUGCCAUCAAAAUACACGGAAUAUGUAAAAUAUGCGCUCGUUCAAGACUUUCCUUCCCCUGUUUCCAAAAUUUCCAAAAGGGCACAUACAAUUUUUUUUUCUUUUUUCUUUAAAAUCGCUGCUGUGAAUUUUUUUUUUUAACAACGCUGGCCCAGUAGCGUUUUAAAAAUAGAAAUAGCUGCUAUAGUAGCCAUUUUCUUAAAAAAGUUUAAAUUUUUUUUAACUAAAAAUUCCCAAGGCGAGGAUUGCUUAAAAAAAUAAUGGGAACACGGCAACGAUUUCAGUAGAAAAAAUUUCCCAAUUGAGUUACUUUAUAAUUUUUUAUUGUAUACUUUUUGAUUGCUAGCAGCAAUUGGAAAAUAAUAAAUUCUUACUGAAAUCGCUGCCUUGGCAGCGAUUAUUUUAAAUCAAAAAGUAUACAAUAAAAAAUUAUAAAGUAACUCAAUUGGGAAAUUAGCGAUUUCCCAUUAUUUUUUUAAGCAGUCCUCGCCUCGGGAAUUUUUAAUAAAAAAAAAUUUGAACUUUUUUAAGAAAAUGGCUGCUAUAGCAGCUAUUUCUAUUUUUUAAACGCUGCUGGGGAAGCGUUGUUAAAAAAAAAAUUCACAACAGCGAUUUCAAUGAAAAAAGAAUUUUUUUUUGGACUGGCAGCGAUUUUUAUGAUUUUUAAAGGAGUAACGGCGUCAAUUUUGUCAGAAGAAAAUCGCUCCGUCAGGAGCGAUUUUGCCCUUUUGGUUAAAAAAAAAUUGAUGUGCCAUUUUGGAAUUUUUGGAAACAGGGGAAGGAAAGUCUUGAACGAGCGCAUCUUUUACAUAUUCCGUGUAUUUUGACGGCAAAAAAAAAUGUAUAUAUAUUAAUUUUAGGGUUAAGGACCAAAUUGAUCACAAUUUAUGAUACAUAAAGGACUAUUUCCAUCAAGUUCAUAUAUUAAGGACCAAAUUGAAUCAAACCCAUACAUUAAGGACCAUUUUGAUCAUUUUCUCUAAAAAGUAAACUCACUUUUCUCUCUCCUCAUAAAUGUAUUGGAGUAUUAUCUUUAAGAUUAAGUGAGACCAACAAGGAUAAAAGAGGAAUUGUACCUUUAAAUACUUACCAUAUAAGGAAAUGUGACAUUCUUUUUGGAACUGACAAAAAAGGAAAUGGUGCCACAUAAAAUGGGACAGAGGGAGUAGGAGAUUUCAUUUUGUAUUCUGUUUUAAAUUUUAUGAUUAUUAAUUAAAAUAUUUUUAUUUUUACAUUUAAAAAGUCUGAAAGGUUAAUUUUUUUUUAAUUUCAAUUUAUAAUUUAUAAGUGAUAAUAAAGAAAUUUACAAGCUUGAAACGUUGAAACAAAAUCUGAAGUAUGUAUAUUUAAUUUGAUGCACUAUUAUUGUGAUGCUUCAAAUAAGAGUAUCAAGUCAGAAAAAUGUUAAGUAUUCAAUUAGUCCUAAUCAAGUAAGGAGAUAAGGAAAAAAAUGGCAUGCUGAUGUUAUUUAUUAUCUAUAUCUAUAUUAACUUAAAAUUAUGAACUCCUUAAUUACAUUAUAUGGAAAGCAAACACAUUUUUACAUUAAAGGGUUGUGACUUUUCUUAAGAGUUGCAACUUUUCUAAUAAAGUACAAUAAAUACAUGUUCAUACGAUCCUUUGUUGACUAUAAAUAAAGAGGAAAUUUCAAGAAUAGCUAAGACUAGAAACAUAAUUAGAAAAAAUAGUUAUAAUUUGUUUAAUUGUGAUUUGUAGCUACAUGUUAAAAGGGCAGAGAGACGAUUGGGAGAGCUAGGAGAGAGGGCAGAGCAAGGAGGGAGGCAAGCGAGAGCGAAAGAGAGGAGAGAGGAAAGUGAGAGCGAAAGGAGAGAAGCGAAUUGUAUUUGUAUAUCUGUUGGUUAAUUGUAUAUAAUGUAUAUGCAUGUAUCAAUGAUUGUAUUUGUAUACCCACUGGAGAAUUGUGAAGGAAAAUUUUGACACGAUUAUUUAUUUGUGUUACAUAUAUCACAUAUACAUAAUUUGAUAUACAAGUGCAACACACGUAUCGAAAAACUAUUAUAUUAAAAAGAAAAUCCUUAAACUGGUGAAGCUCAUGCUUCCGCACACCAACGUGUCUCGCACCAAGAAACACCUAUUCAUGCAAUUAGAAGUGGGGCGAGGUUCGAACAAGUCUAUUUUGGGAUGCCAGUAUUCGUGGAGGUGUUCUGGCCCGGUUGAGGGAAUUGGUGGAAAUAUGGGGUAUAAUUCAGGGCAAAGUUCAAACUUUCUAGCUGUAGCUCCUCAAACUAGGACAGAUCCAACAUUGCCUGAUCUUAUUUUGAAAUCUUAUGUUUUUUUUUUUUUUUUGCAUUCUAUUCUACUUUUUGUAUCAGAAUUUUCAUAAUUGUGGUAUUACAUUAGUGCUCUAUUUGUACAGGACGUGAAUAUUUGAGACUGUCUUGAGCUUUCAAUUGUGAAUCUUUUUCAUUCCCAAAUUUGUUUAGUUGACCACCUUAUGUACAAUUAUAUGAUGUUAUUCAAAAUAUAGAUUUGGGACUGUGGUGAUGUUUUUUAGUUUAUGCAAACCUUUAACUUCCUCCCAUUUUAACCUUGUUUAUAAUUAAUUGUUCGCUAGAUUCAUUUCACAAAGUCUCACAUUGAGGGUAAGACAUACAUUCCCUAACAAAAGGGACUCUAUAUCCAGUAGGGCUCGAACGCGAGACCUCUAAUUAAGGAUCAAAGAGUACUACCACUCCACCACAAUGCUUGUUGGCAGUAGUCAUCUAACUGUCCAUAUUCUUAAAAAAAAAAGGGAUAGUUGCCUUUUUCAUGUUCUUAAAAAAAAAGGGGGAAUUGUUCAUUGAUGACUAUUCUUCAUCAGAUUCAGGCCAAAUGGGACAUAUAUUGAUUCACAAUUUGGCAUUGAAACCUUCCAAUUGAAAAACUAGAAUCUUAUAUGAGAGAUCACAGACGAAAUAAGAUUCAUAACUAACAAAAAACAGGAAAGAAAGCACACAACACAUUAAAUUAAAAUAUGUCCAGUGCCAGCAAUGAAAAAAACCAGUAACAAGUUUGUUUAUUUGAAGCAGUAAUCAGAUGAACUGAGACUGCAAAUGCAUGCGUUGCGUUGUUUCCUUCUUCACUGUUGUUCUAUCCUUGUGUCCUUUGGGCAUUCUGCAAAUCAUAUAUAGUAUGAUUUAAAUUAAAUGAAGUAUAUAUGUAUGUAGGGGUAAAGAUGUAAGAAUUAAUUACCUCUUCUUCAUACAUAUUAUAUAUUUUUUCAUUGAGACUAGUGAAUUAUGUAAAUUUGAUUGUGAUUGACGAUCAUUAGUUGUGGGGUCGAUUGAUAAACUCAUAUUAUAUAUUUUUUCAUACAUAUUCAUAUCACUCUUAUUGUUGGAUGAUAAUUAUUGGUUGAUAUUAUUCAUUGAGCUAUUUGUAAGAUUCAUAUUCUUAUCAUGCCGAUGAGAAAUGGUUCCGGCAAGUGACAUCAUGCAAAGGAUGGAAAAUGAUUACGGCGAGUGGUAUUGUGCCAAUGAGAAAUGAUUCUGGCAAAUGAUAUUGUGCCAAUGGAAAAUUUUUCCGACACGUAUAGAAAUCUCAUCCCCCUAGAUCUCGACUAUCUGACAGAAGAAGUGGGUGUAUACCGAUCUUCGGUCACUGUAUUGAAAUGAUUGUGAACUGAUUUGACUUGAUACAUUUGAGACAUCUUGUAAUAUCAUCCGUGGUGUAAUUGACUGUUUGGGAAAAGUAUAUAUGUUUUAAUUGUUAUGUUGACAUGAUUUAUUUUAUGAUGUAAUUACACUUUUAGAAAAAGAAAACUUCCAUUAUUUCAUUUCUUAUUGUGCAUAUAUGGUUCACUUUAAUAUCUAAUUAUUUUUUAUUUUAUUCUCUCAUCCAUUGUGAGGAUACGUCUCUAAUUUGUAUGCAAGUUAUGAGAGAUGAUGUUACAUGGUGUGGUUCGAGGCGUUAUGAUUUGGUUAGCAUAAUGACGAGAUAAUAGAAAUGGUGAUAUUGAGGAUGUUGACAUAGUAUGGAUAGUUCGUUUGAGGUGUGAUUUGAACAAGGAUGUUUUUAUUUUUUACAAUUUAUUGCGACAACCUUAUGACACAAUGGUACUUAUGAUAAGUCGACAAUUCAAUAUUGAAAGGGUAUAAUAUGGAUGUUAUGAAUACAACUGUAAUCUUGGAAGGAACAAUUGAUUAGAUAAGAGCAUAAUGAUCAUGAUUAGACUACGAUGAAAAGUUGAGGAAUAACAAAAAAAUGAGGGUGAUCAUUUAUGAUGAAGUAUUAGAUGGUAGGACUUGUUAUAAGAUAUGUAUGAAAGACUUUGUUUCUUACCUUUGGAGUGGAGGUAUACUAAGAAGAAUUCAAAUAGUUCGAAUUGGAUUAUACGGUAAUCACAAUGGUAAAAUUUCUUAUGAAGGGAGCCACAAUAAAGACUUAAGUAUAAAAUUGUAUGAGAUUAUGAAGCUAAGUUAAGUACCAAUCUACUAGAACACUUAAAGUAGUGAUUAAGGGUGUGUUUCGUAUGAAGGAAAAUGUUUUCCAUGGAAAAUGUUUUCCUAGAAAAUGUUUUCCUGGAAAACAAGUUGAUUUUUGACUUAUUUUCUCAUGUUUGGUUGGUGAGUAGAAAAUAUUUUCCGAAAAAGAUUUUUAGUGUUUGAUUUAUGAAUGAAAAAAUAUUUUUGAGAAAUAUCUUUUAUUUUUACUAGAGUAGAAAAUAAUUUUUGAAAUUGAAUUUUUUUUUUAAAAACAAACUUAAAUUUUUUUUGGGGCGUGGGGGGGUGUGGUAGGGGGUGGGUGAGGGGGAGUCGAGGGUAGGGGUGAAAAAAUGAAAUUUUGAAAUUAAAAAUAUUUUUUAAAAACAAACUUAAAUUUUUUUNNNNNNNNNNNNNNNNNNNNNNNNNNNNNNNNNNNNNNNNNNNNNNNNNNNNNNNNNNNNNNNNNNNNNNNNNNNNNNNNNNNNNNNNNNNNNNNNNNNNNNNNNNNNNNNNNNNNNNNNNNNNNNNNNNNNNNNNNNNNNNNNNNNNNNNNNNNNNNNNNNNNNNNNNNNNNNNNNNNNNNNNNNNNNNNNNNNNNNNNNNNNNNNNNNNNNNNNNNNNNNNNNNNNNNNNNNNNNNNNNNNNNNNNNNNNNNNNNNNNNNNNNNNNNNNNNNNNNNNNNNNNNNNNNNNNNNNNNNNNNNNNNNNNNNNNNNNNNNNNNNNNNNNNNNNNNNNNNNNNNNNNNNNNNNNNNNNNNNNNNNNNNNNNNNNNNNNNNNNNNNNNNNNNNNNNNNNNNNNNNNNNNNNNNNNNNNNNNNNNNNNNNNNNNNNNNNNNNNNNNNNNNNNNNNNNNNNNNNNNNNNNNNNNNNNNNNNNNNNNNNNNNNNNNNNNNNNNNNNNNNNNNNNNNNNNNNNNNNNNNNNNNNNNNNNNNNNNNNNNNNNNNNNNNNNNNNNNNNNNNNNNNNNNNNNNNNNNNNNNNNNNNNNNNNNNNNNNNNNNNNNNNNNNNNNNNNNNNNNNNNNNNNNNNNNNNNNNNNNNNNNNNNNNNNNNNNNNNNNNNNNNNNNNNNNNNNNNNNNNNNNNNNNNNNNNNNNNNNNNNNNNNNNNNNNNNNNNNNNNNNNNNNNNNNNNNNNNNNNNNNNNNNNNNNNNNNNNNNNNNNNNNNNNNNNNNNNNNNNNNNNNNNNNNNNNNNNNNNNNNGGAAAACAUUUUCCGGAAAAUGUUUUCCUUCAUACCAAACACACCCUAAAUGGUAGAUAUUCGCAUAUUCCACCUGUGAGAUGUCUUUCGGAAGUUAAAUUGAGGAACAACAAUAUUAGUUGAAAUUAAUGGAAAACAUGAUUUGAUUUUGGGCAAAGAUACUUGUAUAAAACUAUGUGAGAAUAUUCAUAGAGACGUGUAUAAUGGUAAAGGAUCGGCAUACAAUUCGUGGACUAAGUUGUGGUGGUUGGAAAUAUUAUAUCGACAAAUAACUAACUCUAUUGAAGUAACCAAGAUUGUCCCAAGUAUUGUUCAGUAUGCUCUCGAUCUUCUAUAGUUUUAUUUUGAUCAUGGAUAUAUUUCAUUUUAUAUAUCUUCUUUCAGAUUUGAAUAUAUUCUGUGACUCUUCUCUGUAUUUGUAAGUAUCUCGACACCCUAAGAUGAUUCUUAGUGGCGAUUACAUCAAUCUCAAGUUAUUAAUAUGAUAGAACAAGACAUUUGGGAUAGACUUCAUUACUUAGUCCACUAGACUUUCUUAUGGACUACUAUUCGAAUAAGCGUUAACAUUGCCAUGUAAAGCAUACUAAUAAUAUUGUUACAAAAUAAUUGCUAGAAAAGUAACCAACUUAAUUACUACUCCCUUCGCCCUUUUAAGUUGUCAUAGUUUUUAUUAAGAGUCAAACAGAUAUGAAUUUUGACUAAUAUUUUAAGGUGUAUUUUUAGGGGAAAAAAUGUAUUUUAUAGUACUUCACUAUAUAAUUUUUGAUUAUCUAAAAUUUAAUUUAAAAUAUCGAAUGAAUGUAAUCUAAUUUAACUCUGAAAAUUAGUCAAAUUAACUCUUGAAAAGCGCAACAUAACAACUAAAAAGGAACGGAGAAAAUACUCCCUCUAUCCAACAAUAGCUGUGUGACAUCUUGCAAAUUGAAAUAACUAUGAAGAAGCUUGAAAUUUGAAAUAGUCAUUUUUGGAAAGAAUUCAAAAUCUGGAAAUUUAGUUAAGUAUGGAAAAAAAUGAGUUUUUGGUCAACUUUGAGCAGUCAUAACUCCUAGCUAAUGUUGUUGCUGAUUCUUUAAGUAGCUUGUCUAUGGGUAGCACCGCCCAUAUUGAAGAAGGAAAGAGAGAGUUAGCAAAAGAUGUGCACAGACUGGCACGCCUGGGAGUCAGACUUAUAGAUUCCGCAGAAGGAGGAAUAGAAGUGACGAGCGGGACCGAGUAAUCAUUAGUGUCAGAAGUGAAAGAGAAACAAGACCAGGAUCCCAUUUUGCUUGAGUUGAAGGCAAAUGUUCAAAAGCAAAAAGUAUUAGCUUUUGAACAAGGGGGAGAUGGUGUAUUGAGAUAUCAAGGUAGAUUGUGUGUACCUAUGGUGGAUGGACUCCAAGAGAGGAUCAUGGAAGAAGCUCAAAGCUCCAGAUAUUCCAUUCACCCGGGUUCCACAAAGAUGUAUCGUGACUUGAGAGAAAUUUUUUGGUGGAAUAGCAUGAAGAAAAGUAUUGCUGAAUUUGUUGCUAAAUGUCCAAAUUGCCAGCAAGUGAAAGUUGAACCCCAAAGGCCCAGUGGUUUGGCUCAGAAGAUAGAACUUCCUGAAUGGAUGUGGGAGAUGAUCAAUAUGGAUUUCAUCACAGGGUUGCCAAGGUCUCGCAGACAGCAUAAUUCUAUUUGGGUAAUUGUCGACAGAAUGACAAAGUCAGCCUAUUUUCUACCGGUAAACNNNNNNNNNNNNNNNNNNNNNNNNNNNNNNNNNNNNNNNNNNNNNNNNNNNNNNNNNNNNNNNNNNNNNNNNNNNNNNNNNNNNNNNNNNNNNNNNNNNNNNNNNNNNNNNNNNNNNNNNNNNNNNNNNNNNNNNNNNNNNNNNNNNNNNNNNNNNNNNNNNNNNNNNNNNNNNNNNNNNNNNNNNNNNNNNNNNNNNNNNNNNNNNNNNNNNNNNNNNNNNNNNNNNNNNNNNNNNNNNNNNNNNNNNNNNNNNNNNNNNNNNNNNNNNNNNNNNNNNNNNNNNNNNNNNNNNNNNNNNNNNNNNNNNNNNNNNNNNNNNNNNNNNNNNNNNNNNNNNNNNNNNNNNNNNNNNNNNNNNNNNNNNNNNNNNNNNNNNNNNNNNNNNNNNNNNNNNNNNNNNNNNNNNNNNNNNNNNNNNNNNNNNNNNNNNNNNNNNNNNNNNNNNNNNNNNNNNNNNNNNNNNNNNNNNNNNNNNNNNNNNNNNNNNNNNNNNNNNNNNNNNNNNNNNNNNNNNNNNNNNNNNNNNNNNNNNNNNNNNNNGGACCUUACCGCAUAGCCAAGAGGAUUGGCAAUGUUGCUUAUGAGUUGGAGCUACCACAAGAAUUAGUAGUGGUUCAUCUGGUAUUUCAUAUCUCCAUGUUGAAAAAGUGCAUAGGCGAUCCUUCAUUGAUCCUACCAACUGAAAGUAUUAGGAUCAAGGAUAGCUUAUCUUAUGAGGAGAUUUCUGUUCAAUUUUUUAUCGCCAAGUUCGUAGGUUGAGAACGAAAGAUGUAGCAUCAGUCAAGGUCCUUUGGAGGAACCAAUUUGUUGAGGAGGCUACUUGGGAAACCGAAGAGGACAUGAAGAAGAGAUAUCCAUAUCUCUUUGAUUCCGGAAGAAAUGCAGAUCAAGGUACUAAUUUCCUUCUUAGUGCUCUUUAAAUUAUAGUGAGCAUGUUGUUGUUGUUGUUUGCAUGAUUGCUUGUUUGGUGUUUGAGUUGAUGUUACACCCUCAGCCUUGUAAGAGUAAUCUCAUUCGAGGACGAAUGUUUCCAAGGGGGGAGAUAUUGUGACAUCUUGCAAAUUGAAAUAACUAUGAAGAAGCUUGAAAUUUGAAAUAGUCAAUUUUGGAAAGAAUUCAAAAUCUAGAAAUUUAGUUGAUUCUGAAUCUGACCGCACUUUCCUCAGGUCGAACGGCUAGAAAUAAGGGAAAGGUCAAUUCAAUUUUCGAUGGAAACGGAAUUUUGCGAAUUCUCCCCCGAACUGGAAGAUCAUUUCGAGAUCUUCGAACAUAUUCGAGGGUUCAAUGUUAUUAUUGUAACUUCGGCCAACACACAAGAUGAGACUUUACCAACCGUGGAGCGGCUUUUUGCAAAAAGAUGAGGGGGAAACUCAGUAAGAUGUCGGAGAAGCGAAAUAUAAAGUAUGGAAAAAAAUGAGUUUUUGGUCAACUUUGAUCAGUUAUAAAUCCUAGCUCAGGAUGAGUUAGGUGAAUUUCCAGUUAUUCUUGAAAAGCUCUUGGAAUGAUAUUUCCAACGCCGCCGAGUUUGCUCGAUUUCGAGUUCGUAUGAGUGAGUUAUGCCCUAUGGAAAUUGGUUUGUUGGCACAGGGCAGUUUAGUCCGUAUUUGUAAGGGUAUUUUGGUCUUUUCCCAAACCUUUUCUUUUGGUUAUAUUAAGGUUUUAGACUGAUUUUAAAUCAGUUUUUCCUUUUUAAAGUGAGAGUUAGGGCUUUUGAGAGAAGAGAAAAAGAAGAGGAGAAAGAAAAGAAGAAGCAAGGAUUCGUCAAGAUCGUCGGGGGUGAUCCCUAUUAAGGUAUGUAAGAUCAUAGUGUUGGGUUGGUUCAUUCCCCCACACGCCAAACUCAUUUUAAUUCCGAGAAAAGAUUGGUUGUGUUUGUUGAAGUUUGUGGUUGUGUUUGUUGAAGUUGUGGUGGCGUUGUUGAAGUUUUCUUGUUGGUUUGGUGCAUGUUUCCGGUUGUGUUUUCGAGUUUAAUCUAUUGUAUGUUGAGGGUUUAAUGGUUAUGAGAGUUUGGGGAAAGAACCUUUGUUGUUGAGAGGGUUUAGAGUUGGAGAAAUUAAGGAGAAAAGUCGGAUUUUCUGGGAAAAAGGGCUGGGGCGUCGCACCAGCCAGCGCGCCCCAAAAGGGGCUCUGAGGUUUUCCCCUUGGGGAAGCGCACCAUGCAGAGCGCCCAGCAGACCCCUCUGAAGUCUGAGGGCAGUUGUUGUUGAAGUUGUUAGUUGUUGUUGAAGUUGUUAGUUGUUGUUGAUGUUGUUAGUUGUUGUUGAUGUUGUUAGUUGUUGUUGAUGUUGUUAGUUGUUGUUGAUGUUGUUAGUUGUUGUUGAUGUUGUUAGUUGUUGUUGAUGUUGUUAGUUGUUGUUGAUGUUGUUAGUUGUUGUUGAUGUUGUUAGUUGUUGUUGAUGUUGUUAGUUGUUGUUGAUGUUGUUAGUUGUUGUUGAUGUUGUUAGUUGUUGUUGAUGUUGUUAGUUGUUGUUGAUGUUGUUAGUUGUUGUUGAUGUUGUUAGUUGUUGUUGAUGUUGUUAGUUGUUGUUGAUGUUGUUAGUUGUUGUUGAUGUUGUUAGUUGUUGUUGAUGUUGUUAGUUGUUGUUGAUGUUGUUAGUUGUUGUUGAUGUUGUUAGUUGUUGUUGAUGUUGUUAGUUGUUGUUGAUGUUGUUAGUUGUUGUUGAUGUUGUUAGUUGUUGUUGAUGUUGUUAGUUGUUGUUGAUGUUGUUAGUUGUUGUUGAUGUUGUUAGUUGUUGUUGAUGUUGUUAGUUGUUGUUGAUGUUGUUAGUUGUUGUUGAUGUUGUUAGUUGUUGUUGAUGUUGUUAGUUGUUGUUGAUGUUGUUAGUUGUUGUUGAUGUUGUUAGUUGUUGUUGAUGUUGUUAGUUGUUGUUGAUGUUGUUAGUUGUUGUUGAUGUUGUUAGUUGUUGUUGAUGUUGUUAGUUGUUGUUGAUGUUGUUAGUUGUUGUUGAUGUUGUUAGUUGUUGUUGAUGUUGUUAGUUGUUGUUGAUGUUGUUAGUUGUUGUUGAUGUUGUUAGUUGUUGUUGAUGUUGUUAGUUGUUGUUGAUGUUGUUAGUUGUUGUUGAUGUUGUUAGUUGUUGUUGAUGUUGUUAGUUGUUGUUGAUGUUGUUAGUUGUGUUGUUGAAGUUAUUGUUGGUUGUGGGACAUGAUUGGGUUGUGUAUUUGAGUUAUAAUUUAUUGUAUGUUGAGAUAUUGAUGAUCCUUAGUGUUUGGGGUUAAAUCCAUUGAAGUAAGGGUGGUUUAAAGUUGAGGAAAAGAGGGAGAAAAAUCGGGUUUUCUGGGGAAAGGGCUGGCGCCUGGCAGAGUGCAGAGUGCCCAGCAGUCCCCUUUGAAGUUGAGGGCUGGUUCUUGGCAGAGUGCUCAGCAAUCCCAUUUGAAGUUGAGGGCUGGCGCCCCGCGCCUCUUAGAGCGCCAAGGACGCCAAUCCUUCCCGUUACCUUAAUUCCCCACUUUUUCAUACAUGUUCCUAGAUAUUAUACCUAUGUUUCCUAGUUGUUUCCAACACUCCAAGGUACUUCUAAAAGUCAAGAACUCAUCCGUAACAUGUGAUCAAACAUCUUGAAUCCAAAAUUCCAAUUCAAGGAGAGUUAGUUAGAAGUCAAGUGAAGUUAGAAAUUAAGAGUUAAGCUUAGAAGUUAAGCAAGUUGUAAAGUUGUUCAAGAGUAUUCAUUGAACAUUUUAACUUCAUUUUUAGACUCAAGUGUCAAGUCAAGCAAAGAGCUUAGAGUUUCAAGCUAAGUAAAGAGUCUCAAGUUUCAAGUUGAGUAAAGAGUUUAAAGUUGAGUUCAUUUUCUCAAAGUUAUUAGGGAACUAUGUAUUCCCAAAAAAGUUUUAAAGAAAUGUCUUUACAUUUAAACAAGGUUGGAAACUGAAAUUUCCAAAGAGUCUUCAGGGCUAGUUUUUGAGUAAUUAUCUCAUAUCAACAGGAAGAAAUAUGUUUUAAAAACAUAAGAGCCAGUACAUUUUUGGGAGUAGUAUCGAGCACCGAAUUGGGGGAGCGUUCAAAGAACCCACAGCCCCCAUAGAACCAUGUUAGCCACCAUGGGUAGAAAAGGAUCAUACUCUUUAGAUGAAUCCUUUUCAUAUUAGACUAGUGGAUCCAUUAGGCAGUUCAGGUCCUAUACCUUUGGCCGGGAAUAGGAUACUCUGGCAGCGUGAGGUCGAUCGAUGUAUCAUCACUAUAGCUCUCAUGUGAUGGUUGUCGGUUAGAGAAACUCCCACAACAGUUAUUGUAUUUCAUACACAAAGAUUAUUGUAUUUUUAUAUACAUCAGUUCAUUGUAUUUCUAUAUACAUUUCAGGCUUAUUGUAUCUUUGUAUACACACAGAGUUUAUAGCAUGUUUUAAACAGUCUUUCUUUAUAUCGCACUUGUUUUAAAUUGCCUUAUAUUGAAAUCGCAUACUCGUACAUUCCAUGUAUUGAUGCCAGUUGGCCUGCAUCUUAUUAUGAUGCAGACGCAGGUACCCAGGAUCAGCAUCCAGCAUGCCGUUGAUCCAGCUGAGCACUCCAGAGUCAGUGGUGAGCCUCCUUGCAUUCCGGAGGACUCAAUUAUUUUAUGUUCUUAGUUUUGUUUUAUUAGGGUGUUGCGGGGUCUGUCCCAACAUCCAUUUCAGUAUUUUAGAGGCUUUAUGGACAAACAGUCAGUCAGUUAGUUUUGAGUCUCUCAUCUAUGUAUAUAUGUAAAUAUUCUAUUUUGAGAUUCGAGUUGCCUUUAUUGCCAUAUUUUAUAAGUUAAGUUGUUUUGUGAUAUUGCAUUGCAUUGAGUUAUUCUAUUGGGUUAGGUUUCCGCUGAGUUAAGAAAGCCAGGCCAAGGGUUCGCUUGGGGCCAGAAAUGGUCUCAGGGUGCCGGUCCCGCCCAGGGUGUAGGCUCGGGGCGUGACAUCUUUUAUUGAACAUUUUUCACUUCGUUUUUAAGGCUCAAGUUUCAAGUUAAGCCAAGAGUAUAGAGUUGAAUUCAUUUUCUCAAAAGCUAAUAGGGAACUAAGUAUUCCCGAAGAAGUUUAUAAAUGUUUUUUUUUUACAUUUGAGUAAGAAAGGAACUUUGUUUUCCAAGAGAGCCUUUGGGCUAGGCUUUGAGCAAUUAUCUCAAACUAAAGAAAGAUGUGUUUAAAACACUUAUGAACUAAAGUAUAUUUUUUGGGAGUAGUAUUGAGCACCGAGUUGGGGACGCGAGUUCAUAUUAACUCAACUCUCCAUAAGAACCAUGUGGCCAACAUGGGAUCUAACGGGUCAUUCCUUCUAGAUGAUCACGUAAGAUAAGCUAGUGGAUCCACUGAGUUAAGCAAGGUCCUAUAUCAGGGCAAGGUAUAGGAUGGUCCUUGGGCAACAUGAGGUAAAACGUUGUAUCAUCACUAGGGCUCAUAGUGGUGGUUGUCGGUUAAAGAAUCUCCCACUAAAGUUAUAUUACUUUUCUACAAGUAAAGUUAAGUUGUUAUUGCUUUAUCCUUAACAACUAAGUUGUUUACACUAUUUUACAAGCUUUAUGUAUUGCAUGUGUCUUAUUGCUUUACAUUUGAGUUCAGACAUUCAUAAGUCGAACAGAGCUAAGGUAAGUGUUCUCUUGUACUUCUUUCAAGCUUAAGUUGUGGUUUAACUUUCCAUCUUGCAUACUCGUACAUUCAAUGUACUAAUUCUAGUUAGUAUGCAUCUUAUGAUGAUGCAGACGCAGGUACCUAGGAUCAGCAUCCAGCACGCCGUUGAUCCAGCUACCAGAGUCAGUGGUGAGCCUCCUUGCAUUUUGGAGGACUCGGUUAUUUUGUUCUAUUAGGAUGUUGCGGGGUCUGUCCCAACAUCUAUCUCAGUGUUAUAGAGGCUUCAUAGACAGUCCGUCAGUCAGUUAGCAUUGAGUCUCUCAUCUAUGUAUAUAUAUAAAUAUUCUAUUUUGAGACAAGUUGCCUUUUGGGCCAGAUUUUAUCAGCUAGGUUGUUUUAUGACCUUUCAUUGCAUUGAGUUAUUUAGUUGAGUUAAGUUUCCGUUGAGUUAAGUAAGCCAGGCCAAGGGUUCGCUUGGGGGCCAGCAUUGGUUUUUGAGUGCGGGCCACGUCCAGGGUGUAGCCUCGGGGCGUGACAAGUUGUCCAUUAUAUUAAAAAUAGUUGUCCAACAAUACUAGUCCAAUUUAAAAAAUCAAAAGAUAAUGUAACUUUUGGAUCUAUUUUACCCUUGCUAUUAAAUAAUAUUUAUCAUCUAAUACAUUUUUCAAAAUAUUAAAUUUAACAAAGUCAAAGGAUAAAAUAGUAAUAUUACUACUAUUAUUUAUUGUUUCUUAAGGGGUGUGUCAAAUUAAUAACGAACAACUAUUGUUGGACCAAGAGAGUAUUAGUUUGUACUUUGGAACAUGUAAAAGUUUUAGUAGACAUACCGUUGACUUUCCUUUUUCCAUUUAAUCUCUAACCUCGAACCAACCUUCAAUUUCUAGAGAUUUGAUGUUUCAACUAAUCACAUGCACAUUUAAUAAGGAUAAAAAUUAGAAACACAAGUAAAAAGAACGGCAACAAGCAAGAAUUGUGAAUGUAAACUAUUAAAUUUAUAGGUUUUGAAUUAUUAAAAAUAUAUGUAGUUAGGGGUGUGCACUAUUUGGAUUAAACCGAAAAACCAAACCAAAUCAAACUGAAUUCUAGUUUGGAUUUUUGGUUUGGUUUCAGAUUUAGAAAAAUAAAAACCAAAAAAACCGAAUUUUAUAUAUAUAUAUAUAUAUAUAUAGAGAGAGAGAGAGAGAGAAUUAAGUUUGGAGUUAACCACUUUUGUCCCUUUUUAGUUACCUUCUAUGUUUGGACAUCUAUAAUUGAUAUACUUUUAAAUAUUGUGUUUUAAGUUUUACUUGUGAUUUAUAUUAAAAAGUAUAUUUAAGAAAUUUAAUAUAUAUAUAUUAUUUUUUUCCAAAUUGCAAAUAUAACUUUGUUAUGUUUCUAAUUAUUGACAUAACCGAUUAACCGAACCGAAAAAACCCAAACCAAAAAAGAGAAAAACCAAACCAAACCAAAUUUAUUUUGGUUCGGAUUGGGGUUACACUUCUUCAAAACCAAAAACCGAAAAUCCAAACCGAAUAGUAUAAAACCAAACCGAAAAAUCGAAUGCACACCCCUAUAUGUAGUAAAUAAUAAUUUUGGAUAAAUACAUGAUAUUUCUAUAGAGAAAAUCUUCAACCUUAAGAUGGUAGGCAAAAAAUGGUAAAAGCUCCUACAUAUUAUUCUAUAUAUCCAACAUAUACAUUCUAUAAUUAUCAAGUCAAAAAUAUAAACCAUUUUUCUGGUUCUUAUGUGUGUAUGUAAUCCACAAAUAAAAAUAAAAAGGAGUAUUACUCUCUCUGCCUUUGAAUUCAAAUAUUACAUGUAAAAUGAAAUAGAAAGAAAAAUAUUUUACCUUUUUCUCUACUUCCAAGCUGUUAAAACCAUGAAAAUUAACAAGGAAAUGAUGAAUGUGAUUAUUCUGAGAGAGCUCACAAUAAAACUUAAAUGCUAAUUAAGGCUACCUUGAAUCUAUAUGACUAUAUAGCCAUACAUACAAUAAGAGAAAAAUGACAAAAGGUUAAGUUGGUCAAUAGCUCACAAUACCAUGUUCUAACAGUUUUAUAUUUCUAUUUAAAUUUUUGAAUUAGUCAACUUUUUUUCUAUUUAGUUUAAGUGAUAAUAAGAAUUAAUAUCUUCAAAAAUAAAAAAUAAAAUCCGACUUACUAAUAGUUAGUUCUAUCAAGAAUUUUUUGAUAAAAAUUGUCCACAUUCCUAAAAAUUUCUCUUUUUUUUGGUUUCCCAUCAUGUGUUUGGAGCCCACAUUGAAGUCCUGACUAAAUCCAGAUCGCGCACUGCAGGGCUCAUUCAAGGAAUACCCAGGACUCGAACUCGAGACCUCUGAUUAAUAAGGAUAAAACACUCCACACUCCUAAAAAUCUUUCCAUUUAGUCAACUAAACAGACUAUGGAUCUGCCAAUAAAAUAAAGGAUCCAUUUAGUAAUUAAAAUUAUUUGUUUAUUUUGAAAUAAUUUUUUUAUUUUAUUUAAAUAUUGGGACAAGGCACAAGUAUCUCCUAGACUAUAACCGAAAUCUCAGAGACACAUCUUAACUAAACCAAGGUCAUAUUACCCUGAACUCUUUAUUUUGUUAAUUUUAUGCACCUUUUGGCUUACGUGGGGCACUUCAUGACUCCAUGUAGUUGAGGCGCGUGGGAGAUGUUUGGAUGCCACGUAAGCCAAAAAGUGUACACAGUUAAAAAAAAAGAUGGGUUUAGGAGGGUAAUUGAACUUUAAUUUAGUUAAAAUAUGUCUCUAAAAUUUUGGUCAUAGUCCAAGAGAUACUUAUGUCUUAUCCCUGAUAUAUUAGUGUAAAUCUAUGAUGAAAUGCCUUCUAAAUUAACCCGGGAAAUGUCAACUGAUAAAUGCUUAUUCUGUUAUUCCCUUGCAAAUAUAUUUAUGGAGACUGUCAGCAAUCAUUUCGAUUUUCGAGUAGAAAGACUUGGUUUUAAUAAUUCAAAAUAAUUAAUCACUUUUAGAUCUAGACUUUGAUUAGACUAAUUGAAUGUUCACGUUAAGGCUGCAAACAUAAAUCAAACAUUACAUAUUCUACAAGAAGUACUAUUGGGUCAUUUGCACUUUUAUCCUUGUUUUAUGCUGCUCUUUAAUUUUUGCUUAGUGGAGUUAUCGUAUCGUAAAGAUGGUUAGACGAAUAUUAUUCAUUGAUCUCAAAUUGUAUAUCCUAACACUUAAUUGAAAUCAUAACUUCACAUAACACGUUACAAAAUCACAAAUGCAAACUUAGCUUAAUAGCUUCCGCUUAUCGAAGUUAACAUGAUAUGAAAGCGCAUGUACGAAUCUGCACUAAUUGAAGAAUUGAUCGUAGUAGCUUAAGGACAUAAAUCUAGUCUAGGUAACAUAAGAGCAUAAAUUGAUCAUAAUCAUCCACUUUAUCUUCAACCUAAUGAUACUCCAUGUAGUUCUCUCAUCCCUCUUCAGUUAAUUGGAUCCGAGAAUUAUGACCAUUUUUUCUAACAGAAUUUAGUGGUAUCUAAAACUACGAUGUCAUCGAACCACUCAAUAGCAGUAAAAUACAUUUAGAAUACUAGAAUUUAGUAGUAGAAGAAGAAGUCGAGAGAAUCGUUGUUGAAGAAUAAGAAUAAAUCCCUCUAUUUAUGGACAAUAAAUGAUAGUGUGAACAUGUGUUUAUAGUGCCUUAUCGGAACCCUUUAGAAAAGUCAAAAGUCAUAACCCUUCGUAAAAAUCACACCUUACGGAAAAAUCACAAAUCUUCACAAAAAUCACAACCCUUCAAGUUAACAAAAAAACUAGAAUCUUAUAUCAGAGAUUAGAGACGAAAUAAGAUUCAUAACUAACAAAAAAACAUGAAAGAAAACUCUCAAAACAUUAAUUUUGAGCAUCUCCAGAACCACGCAGAUGAACUGAGACUGCAAAUGCAUGUGUUGUUUCUUUCUUCAUUGUUGUUCUAUCCUUUGGGCAUUCUGCAAAUUAUAUAUAGUAUGAUUUAAAUUAAAUGAAGUAUAUAUGUAUGUAGGGGUAAAGAUGUAAUAAAUUAAUUACCUCUGUUUCAUCCUCUUCUUCAGCUUCUAAUUCAUACAACACACCUGAUAAAUAGACUUGAAGUCUGUCCUCUCCUGCGAAAUCUAUUAUCUGUUUCUUAAUCUCAAUGGCUGAAUCUUUAACCGCACGGUUCACAAUCAUUAAAUGAAUGGACUUUAAAGUUUCUAUAUCCGCAAAUGCACAAGGGAUCUCCGUAAACUCCUCACAGUAUUCUAGUUUUAAUUCCUCAAGCUUGGGAAAAGUUUCCUUAUCAACUUGCCAUUCUGAAAGGUUGACCAUUUGAAAACUCAAAGUCUUAAGACUUCGAUAGAUGUCCUCACUUGCAUACCACUUAUCCUCCACGAAAUCAGAGAACAUAAUCGCCAGAAUUUCAAGCUGAGGCAAUGCCGUGAUUGCUGACAACAAAGCAGGUCUCACGUGAACACCAAACAACCGUAACUCUUUCAAGCCGCUAGGGAAGUGAUAUUCAUUGGGAUAAACAUAAUCAAUCCAUUCGUAUGCUAUAAAGAGUGAUUCAAGUUUGUUAAGGACAUCAAACUUGGGAAACCAAUCAUCGUGUGUUAGAGGAUCCUUGGGUAUCCAGAUGAUGCACUCAAGGUGUUGAAGAUUUGGGAACUUCUUCAGAGCAUCAUUCGUGCCUUCAAAAUAUGAGAUAUCAACAUGGGAUAAAGUUGUCAGCUUUGAAUUCUCACCUUCCAAUAUUCUACUUUGGAUAUUGUCCUCCUCCUCUUCCUCUUCAAAGAAAGAACUCAUGUCAAUUUUCACAUGUUUCAGCUUUGACAGUUUUAAUAUUCUGGGCAGUAAUACCAUGGUGGAAGAUCCAGUAUUGAUCAACAGAGUUUCCAAAUUCUGGAGGUUCAACCACGACACUGGGAUAGCUUUUACACCUUGAGUCCGAAUCCUUAAGAAUCUCAAAUGAAAUAAGGACCCUAUUUCUUCCAUUAAAGAAUCUUCCAAAACAAUGCUAUCCAGUUGCAACACUCUAACGAGUCCAAAGGGUCUUGUGUGACAGACAUACCUGGAGUUAAGAAGCGAACCGCUAACUUUCAAAGAUAUGAGAUGCUUACUACCAACUGAACAAUUUUUAGAAUUGAACAAAACACAUUUUUUGUGGAGUUCGCCCGCCUCAGUAUGAAUGGCUAGACGAUGGUGUAGGAAAUCAGAAGCAUGAAAUCGAGCACCUGGAUUGAUUAACUUGAGAAACUUUUCCUUUUUCGCUUUUACUGAACAAAAAUCGUGCACAACAUCAUGCACAUAGCAAACCUUAAUCCUAACAGAAAAAAACUUUCUCUUCCAGUUGAGGAUAUGAUCCACCAUUAUCAAGUUACUGGAAAUUAAAGCAUCCAAGUAACUUUGAGUUGCUUCCUCUAAACUACACUUGGAUGGGAUAUCAUGAUCCACCAACCCUUCAGCCAUCCACAACUGCAUCAACUUAGAGACUGGAGUUCGUUUGCUCUUUCGAGAUUUUGCAAAGUAAAGCAACAACGGCUUCAGGUGGUAUGGUAAAUGGUCAUAACUUAAUUGCAUAACCAAAUUGAUGUUGGCAAAAAUAAAGGAAUCCAAAUUAUGUUGAAUUUUAAGCCACAAAUCCUUUUCCUCUUUCUUUCCUUUCCUUACUCUAACAAUUACUCCAGCAAUCAAAACAACAGCCAAUGGAAGCCCUUAACAUUUCUCAACUAUUUGGUGUCCAACUUCCGACAGUUCAGCAGGGCAGUUUCUUUCUCCAAAUACCCUUUUUUCAAAUAACUCCCAACUUUUUUCAGUUGUUAAAAGUUGAAGGUGGAGAGGAUCACUAUGGCAUUUAACUUUCAAACCUACCUCACUACUUCGGCUAGUUAAGAUAACUCUAUUUCCUCUCUCAACCUUUGGAAAACAUGCUAUUAACAUCUCCCCUGUUGCAAUAUCCCACACAUCAUCCAAGACGAUGAGGUACCUUUUAUCGUACAGUGCUACUCGUAGCUUUUCAGCAAGGCCAUCCUCACUUUCUUUUCCUCCCGAGCCAGUAACUUGCUGAAGAAUCUCCCCCAACACCUUUGACUUGUUAUACUUUUGGGAAACAGUGCACCAAGCACGAACAUUGAAAUGACUAGCAACUAACGUAUUGUUAUACACUUUUUUGGCCAAAGUAGUUUUACCGAGUCCUGGCAUUCCGACAAUGGAAAUGACAUCAAGCUCGGAUUCAUGUUUAUCAAGGAGCUGGUCAAUCAUCUUGGCUUCAUCUUCUUCAUGACCAACUGUUACCUCAACAAAAGAUGACGAGGUUGACUCAAUUGGCUCGUAGGAAGACUUUGCAUCAAGGGGAUCAUCCCCAUUCUUAUCUUCCAGCUGUAAACAUGUGACUUCUGCCACGAUAAGCUUGAUCUUAUCGGUGACCCUCGGAAGUGAGAAGAGGAGAUGUGAGAGAGCUUUAUCUCUGAUAAGAAUGGAAUUAAUGACAUGUUCUGCCUCAUAUGCCACAUCUAAAGCACGCAACCAACAAUCUUUAACUACUCCACUAGUACUGUCAUCCAAUGUUUGCCUGACUUUCUUGAAAGACGAUCUUAUGAAUUCAAGGCUUUCUUUUACCAUCCCAAUUUCUUUCUUUAUGAGAGAAACUGAAUAAGCAUUGGAAAUGAGCAAAUCAUUUAAAUGUCUGAGUAGAAGAUUCAUGAAGAGGAAACCAUCAUCCAUAGGAAAGCAAAGUUGAGAUGACUGAUCCGGGGCUUUCAAAAAAUUCCGUUUGAUAUCUCCCUUCAUUUGUUCAAUUUCUUGCAACAAGUCUGGAGCUGAAAAGUCCGCUUCAUUGAUAUUAUUCUCAGAGCUCUCCUCCAUGAGAAUAGAUAUCUUCCUUGUAAGUAGUGCGACAUGUGCCAACAUAUCGUUCAAUUUGUCAGGAUGGAUAAAGCGCUUUGGUAUAUUGGUGAGAAAGAUCAAUAGGAACUCGAUCAUGACAUUAAUACUUUGAGUUUGAGAGUAAUUGACAGCUACUGCACCUACCAUGUGUCCUUGGAGAUGAAUGAGAUAAUUUUGAAGAAUCUUUGGAGAUGCUUUUAGGAUUUGCUUAACAAACCUUUUUAGUUCAGUUGACCUUGAUUCUUUCGUGAGCUUAGAAGUAGAAAUGUAUAGAACCUCCAGCUCAAGAGGGAUUAUGUCGAUCAGUAGAGAAGAUACUUUGGAAGAGCAUUCAGAGACUUUUUUGUUGUAAUAGUAAUCAGAACGUGAUAUAUAGUUUCCAGUCCAAAUAUCAAAAUAGAAUUGUAGAAAUGUAUGGGCGAUGAAUUGGAAGCGAGGAAAGAGAUAUUGAGUAGUAGUUGUUUUGUUGGCCAGGAGGAUAGGAUAGAAAUCUGUCAGAUGACGGAAUACUUGGCGAAGAAUGUUGCAGUCAGUUUGACGACCGAGAUAUUCAAAGAAAUAAAAAGAAUAGUUUGGUAGAUCAUAUUGGACGUUUGUGAAGAGGUAUUCAAACAUUUUCUCCUCUGUGCUCAUAAUUGCUACAUUAUUCUUCAAACUUAAAUAACUUUCCAUCUCUUCCUGCAGCAGAGGGACAACACCAUCCAUGUUGUAUUUCUCUAGAAUUACUUCAUCAUUAUCUUCAUAGAAAAGUGACCAAAUCAUACCACACAACUUGUUUAUUUUCUUGGUCAUCCUGUAAUAAAAGUCAUCAUCCAAACUUGAAUCCCCAAACAGGACAAAUGUUCUUAGGAAUCUCAGUUCCAUUCUUAGCUUUUCAACGGCAUCCAAUUUUGAAGCAGUGAACUCUUCUUCUUCAUUCUUUAUUUUCUUCAACCCAUUCAAGAAAUCAUCAAUAAGAUUCCUGAUUCUGCUUCUUUUUUCCUCAAGUGGCACCUCCUAAAUUAAAACAUAGUCAUACGUAAUUAAAUUAAUCCAUGAAUAUUUUGGUGAUAUGAUUUCCGAAUGAUUUUUUAAAAAAACAUUUAUGGGACCCUCCCUAAUAAGUUGGGAGGAGUAAUAUGUAUAACCUCAUCAUGAUCCACAUACUUUUGGGCUACACAAUCAAUCGAAAAGUCAAAUAUGACUUAACAGUUCACACUUCUUAAUGAGUUUUAAUAUAUUGGGGUACCCUUUUAAUUGUUUAUCUUUUUAGCUUCGGUCAUUAAAUAUACUCAUUCACAACUUUUCAUGUACAUAUUCUCUCUUCCUUCAUAAAUUUGACAAAAAAUUAUUAAUUUACAACACUUCUGUAUUUUAUCAUCUUAUAAUUUUUAUAUAAUUUUUUAUUUAUUGGUCAUUGGGCCAAACAUGCAACACACAUUCUCAAAAUAAUUGUUACAAAAAUAUGUAAAACUAAUAGUAAUUGCUAGAAAAUAAGUAUAAUUUAUAUGUAAAACAUAAUUAUUACUAAUUUGGAGCAUGUAAAAGUAUUGAUAGACAUACCGAUGACUUUCCUUCUUUUUCCAUUGAAUCUCCAACCUCGAACCAGCCUUCAAUUUCUAAAGAAUUGUUUUUUCAACUAAUGAUCACGUGCAUAUUUAAUUACGAUAAAAAUUACGUAGAAGAUAGUAAUCACAUGCACAAGUAAAAGGAAAGGCAAGAAGCAAGGGUUAAGAAUGUUAAUUAUUAAGUUUAUAGGUUUUGAAUUAUAAUUAUACCUAGUAAUUUACUAUUUUAAGUAAAUACAUGAAUUGGUGAAAGUAACAAAUAGCAUGCCAAAAUGUAUAUUUUCUGUUCAUUAGACUUGAUAGGUUACUCAGAGUGGCACACAAGUACACACACUAAUAAAUUUUCAAGAAUUUGGACCAUAAUAUAUACUCCCUCUAUUCCAUAUUAAGACAAUGCACACAUAUAUAUUAAGAAAAACAUUUAAGAACAUAACUUUUACUAUUGUCUUUUAAGAAAUCAUAAAUAUAACUUUGUAAGUAGUGUAAUUUAUCUCAUAAAAAAUAUAAAACUCCAAUAAAUGAAAGGGUAAACAUGGAAAAAAAUUCAAACAUCCAUUUAAACUAACAAUUCAAUUAUUCUGAAUAAUGAAAAAAAUCUAUAAUUUUUUACUUAAUAUGAAAUUGAGGAAGUACUAGAGAGACGGAAUCUAAAUUUAUACAAACCAUGAGUGUGUUUGGUAUGAAAGAAAUUAUUUUCUUAAAAUGUUUUUUUUUAACUACUAGGUGGAUUUGUUAUUUUAGUUUUUAUAUGUUUGGUAUAUUUUCUAAAUAUUUAAGUAAUCGAACAUGACAACAUUAAAAAAUAUAAAUAUUUCAUCCUAAACACACUAUAGUAAAGUGUUUCCCGUAUCAUGAUAUAUUAAGAUCUUAAAUGUAAAAUCUAUAUAAACUACGUUAAAAGGUCUCUUCAUAUCAUGAUUAGUGACCUUAAUCUUCCUUUACAAACUUGGACCCUAUAUGGGUGUGGUUGGUACAAAGAAUUUCGACUUUCGUACUUACUAAACAUGAGAAAAUUGAAUGAAAAAAAUGAAAAACAGUGUAAAAAGGGUGUGGUUGGUAAUAAGGAUUUCGAUUUUCUAAUUCUUAUUAUGUAUGCUUCUUUCAAAUAAAAAAUACAUGUAAAAUGAAAUCUAGAAAAAACAUUAUAUUAUACCUUUUUGUUUACUUCCUUCCAAGCUAAUAAUUCCUCUCAAAUGGUAGUUUGCCUUGUUGCAGAUUUACAACACUUUUAUUGAGAAAAUUGAGUCAGCAAAAAGCAAGCAGCAAAUGUUGAAGAACCUAAUUCACUUAUUGUUAGAUCUGCAAAUGUGAACUUUCAGUUAGUUUAUCAAAGUCUAGAUCUGAAAUUAAUAGAUAAGUUUAAGUUUACUACUCCCUCUGUUU
Molecule: long non-coding RNA, 127752 nt
Filed under: Solanum tuberosum (potato)
Lineage: Eukaryota; Viridiplantae; Streptophyta; Magnoliopsida; Solanales; Solanaceae
Description: long non-coding RNA (STUB_LNC004310)
Source: RNAcentral